GGAAUUUCUGCAACAUUAUAUUCUUGUGGAAAGAUAACAAAAGCUUGUAUAUUCAUAUAGAAAUGCUCAAGUUCCUACAUGAUUAAACAAUACUGGGAAUCAAAAUUCACAACGACAAUUAAUUAUUGGAGAGAGACAGACCGAUAAAACAGCAGUAGUCACAUAUAUAAGGGAUUUCACUUGGAAAAGAAAAUGUUUCAUGCUAAUGGAUUGAGGUCUAUAACCAUGGGUUACAUGAAAUGCACCAAAACAAAAGCAAGCCACACCUGAGAGAAAUAAGUGAAUUCCAAGAGUCCUCUGAGUAUUCUGGUUUUGCAUUACAUUAUGUUUUUUAAAAUAUGAAUAAAUAAGAGAGGAUAGGCUCAUUACUUAGUGGAAAAUGACUCGAAUAAAUCCAACAAGUAACUAAUAAUCCCGUAUGUAUGUAUGAUGAAAUAAGAAACACAUACCAAAGAAUGUUUGACCUGUAUCAUUCAGUUUCUGGGAGAAUACAAAAAAUAUAUACACUGAAGCUCCUAUAGGAAAAUAACUUUUUCUAUUAUUUGACAUGUAAGCCAAUAUAUCGAAAAACUAGAAAACUAUUUUGAUUAUAUGAUUGAAAAAUAACUUUCAGUAUUGUAUUUGAAUAAAUGAGUAUUAGUAGUCAAAAAAUGAAAUAUUAGUUAGAUAUGCUUGUUUUGAUCAAUCUUCAUAUUUUAUUUCCCAGAAUGAGUGUGUAGACAUAUAAAGGGAGGGGGGAGGGGAGGGGAGGAGCUAUUUUGUUAUUAUCUUAAAUAUGCAGCACAGAUGAAAUACGAUAGAUUGAGAGAAAUUACUGAUGGUUAAGAAACUACCUGGUCCUGAUUUUUUCAACUUCAAUCCGUCCACUACUAAAAAAUAUGGCAUCAGGCACGAAUUUUCCAUUCCUAAAACCUUGAUAUCCGUUACUAUUACUCUUUACCAACAGAAUAUUUGCAACCACAAAUUCGUUGUUAAUUUGAGAGUUGCUAAUAGCUACCAACGGAUUGUGUCGUAGAUAAAGAGUAAACAUUUUACCAACGAAAAUUUCUUUGGUAAUGUGUGAAUUUUUUACCAAUGAAAUUUCCGUUGGUAAAAAUCUUAACCAAUACCAACCGAUUUUUCGUUGGUAAUUGUCUACCAUUACAAUUGGUAAAAAUCAAUGUUGUAAAUAGUCGUAUAGGUGUGAGGCAUGGUAAAAAAAAAUAAUAAGAAAUAUUUACUUAUUUUUUUAUUAUUGUUAUUAUAUUUAUUUAAUAAUUAUAAAUUUUUUAAAACUUUUAAACAAUUGAAUUGAAAAGCCAAAAUAUUGUUUAACCACUUAUUGGACCACAAAUUUAUAGAGGACAACUCCAGAGACUUUGCUGUAAACUUCCUGAUAUGAUCCAGGAGUCGAACUCGACAAAGGCGAGUGCGAGACGAGACCCGUUGAUAGUCGAUGGCGGACCAAUGAACCGAUCAAGGGCAAAGAAAGUGAAACAAGAUAUGGGAUUGCUCGUUCAAAAAACCAUUGAUGGAAACAUGUUCGGGACUCAAAAAUGGAGCAACUUUCAUGUUCAGGUCGAAGGCCGAACCAGUUUGGAUCAAUUUAAUAUCGAAGGCCGAAGACGGAGGAAAUUAAGCCUAUGCGAUCGCAUAAGCUUACUAGGCUUGCGACCGCAUGGAGGCAUACCAAAACUCAAGAUGUGAUUUUUGGUUAAACCAUGUGACCGCAUGGAAAUACACUAUGUGGUCGCAUAGUUCAUUUUUUUUGGCAAAAUUCCUAAUUUUGGCAAUUUUGUUAGUUUUUGAUUCUUUUCCAUAUUUUGGGGAUUAUGAUCGACUUUUGCAUGAUUUUUACCUAGUUUUUAGGUUUAGUAUAAAUAGGAGUUUCCAUUCAAUUGUUAAAAACUUUUGACAUUAUUGAUAUUGAAUUAAAGUGAGACGUAUUGUCUUCUCUUCAUCGUUCUUCAUUGAACAAUUUUGAACUUAUCAAGUGUUAACUUGUAGCGUUCAAACAACCAGAUUUAAUUUUCGGAUUGCAUGAUCAAGGGGUCUUUCAAGCGUCAUUCUUGUUAGGUUUUUUAGUUCGACUUUCUUUUGGGUUAAUCCUAAACUCUUGGAUUAAUUUGGGUUUCUUGGGUUCGUCAAUCUCAUUGUGGGUUUCAUAGUCAACGUUGCUAUGGGGUUCGCAUCAGUUGGUAUCAUAGCUUUGGCUCCAAAUUAAUUGAAGGUUAUAUCUUUUUCUUUAUUUGUUUGAGUUGUUAAUUUUGUUUUCUUAGUUCUUCUUCAUUCUUGUUUUUCGUUCCGUCGUUUCGUUUAGUUGUUGGUAGUUUAAUCAUCUUCUUUCAUCAAGGAGUAAAAAACAAAAAAAAAAAGAGAAAAAAAAUUUGAUACUAUUAUUGUUUGAUUUUGUUUUUCUACCAACAACAAUUCCUAUAUUGUGUUUGAUUUUGGGAUAUUCAAUUGGGUUCGAUUCUUUCAAUCUUCUAUUGAGUCUAUUCACAUAUUCUUGUCAAAACAUUCAUCGAUUUCACUUAUUCAAGUCCUUUAAGUCUCGUAGUCUUUGAUUAAUAUUCGGUUUGUUUGAAUUUCCGGUAAAAUAAUUGAUUUAGUUCACUUGGUUCUUUGAAGUGCUUAGAGGGAGACUUUGAGUGGUAAAAGGCCAAGUGGUGAGUUUAAUAGAGGAAAAAAGCCAUGUUGAGUGUUUUUCGAGUGAAAUCUUUGUGAGGCAUAAAAAAAAAUUGUGUGAUAUGAUGUCGGAAAGAGAAGGUUCUAAUUCAAGCCGAAAUGGUAAUGACAACAAUACAUCGGAGGACAUGACAAGGAGGUUUGAAAGGGUACUUGGUGAUGUUAGGGAGAAGGUGGAUAGGCAAGGGGAAUGGAUGGCACAAAUGGGUACUACAAUUGCUACAAGUGGAGAUGUCUAAUGCUAGGGGGCCGGGUAGGCAUGAAUCUAGGAGAGGAAGGCAGGAUAAGUAUCGUAGUGAUGAGGAUGAUUUUGAUGAAAAUGACAUUGAUAUGGGUCGAGCGAGGCAUAGGGGCGAUAGGAUGGAAAUACGGGGUAGAAAUAACUUGGGAGAUGAAGUAGAUGAAAAUUUGGGGAGUAUUAAAAUGACUAUUUCACAAUUUAAGGGGAGAAGCGAUCGAGAAGCAUAUUUAGAGUGGGAAAGGAAGGUUGAGAUGAUUUUUGAGUGCUAUAAUUAUUCGAAGGAGAAAAAGGUAAAACUGGCGGUGCUUGAAUCUGUGGAUUACACGAUAUCUUGGUGGGAUCGAGCACUUACAUCACAGCGUAGGGGUCGAGAAUUAGCACUUGGGAUGAAUUGAAGGUGUUGAUGAGGAGGAGGUUUGUUCCGAAUCACUAUUAUAGGAAAAUCUAUCAAAAAUUGCAAGGUUUGCACCAAGGAUCGAAAAGCAUAGAGGAUUAUCAAAAGGAGAUGAAAAUUCUUAUGAUUUGGGCUAAUGUGGAGGAAGAUCAGGAAGCUACCAUGGCACGGUUCUUGAAUGGGUUAAAUCGGGAUAUUGCAAACGUUGUAGAGUUGUAACACUAUGUGGAAAUCGAGGACAUGUUACAUGUGGCAAUGAAAGUCGAGAGGCAAUUGAAGAGGAAGGGGACAUCUAGGCAACCGUUAGGUACUUCAACUCCUAAUCUAACAUGGAAAUUGAAGUGGGAUGACAACAACAAAAAUGAGGCUACACCUAGAGGUAAAAAUGAUUGGCAAAAGGGUAAUGAUGAAAAAUGCUAGCAAACUAAUAUCAAAAUUGGAGGCCCAACCAUCGCGCAAUCGGGAUAUCAAAUGUUUUAGGUGUUUGGGAACGGGGCAUAUUGCUUCUCAAUGCCUAAACAAACGGGCGAUGGUAUUGCGGAUAAUGGAGAGAUUGUGAGCGAUAGUGAUGGCGAGUUUGAUGACAUGCCGGCGUUGGAGGGUGUUAGUGAAGAAUAAAAAGUUGAAGGGCCUGUUGGGGAUUUACUAGUCAAGGCGAGCUCUCACUACUCACGUCAAAGCGGAUGACUUGGAGUUGUAACGGGAGAACAUUUUCCACACUCGAUGCCACGUCAACAAUAUGGUAUGUAGUGUUAUAAUUGAUGGUGGUAGUUGCACUAAUGUAACUAGCGUAUCUCUUGUAGAAAAAUUGGGUUUAACAUUGUUGAAACACCCUAGACCUUAUAAAUUGCAAUGGUUGAAUGAGAGUGGCGAGGUAAGGGUGAAUCGAAGGGUGUUACUUAAUUUGUCAAUUGGGAGUUAUAAGGACGAGUUAGUGUGUGAUGUGGUACCAAUGCAAGCGGGACAUAUUUUAUUGGGGCGACCAUGGCAAUACGAUAUGAAGGUUAUGCAUGAUGGGUACAAAAAUCGAUAUAGUUUCAUUAAGGAUGGAAGGACCAUUACUCUUGUGCCAUUAACACCGGCGCAAGUCUAUGAGGACCAAUUAAAAUUGAGAAGUGAGGAAGAGAGGAGAACAAAAGAGUUAGAGAAAAUGAGAGCAAAUAGUGAGUUGGAGAAAAAGAGAGAAAAUAUUGAGAUAGCCAUUAGAGAGAAAGAGAGAAAUCAAUCAUAAGAGAGAAAAGAAAGAGAGUGCCCCGAGAGAAGAGAGAAAACACUAGCAAAUAAAAGAGAGUGAUUUGAGGAGGGCAAUAGUUGAGAGGAAAGAGACGAUCUUGUUCAUUUAUAAGGAAUUACUCCUCAAUUUUGAGGAAACUAACCCACCCUUCCCUACUUUGGCUAAGUCUUUAUUGCAAGAAUUCGAGGAUGUAUUUUCGGAGGAUGUACCAAGUGGAUUGCCGCCUAUUCGAGGCAUUGAACAUCAAAUUGACUUCAUACCCGAAACUGUCAUUCCAAAUCGACCGACUUAUCGAAGUAAUCCCGAGGAGACUAAUGAGCUUCAAAGGCAAGUAGAGGAGUUAAUGAGCAAAAGAUAUGUGAGGGAAAGCAUGAGUCCUUGUGCGGUACCGAUUUUGCUUGUACCAAAAAAGGAUGGAACAUGGCGAAUGUGCGUGGAUUGUAGGGCUAUCAAUAAUAUAACGGUAAAGUAUCGUCACCCUAUACCUAGGUUAGAUGACAUGCUUGAUGAAUUGCAUGGUGCUUGCAUAUUUUCUAAAAUUGAUUUAAAAAGCGGGCAUCAUCAAAUUCGUAUGCUGUAGGGCGAUGAAUGGAAAACGGCUUUUUAAACUAAAUAUGAUUUAUAUGAAUGGUUGGUUAUGCAGUUUGGACUCACAAAUGCACCUAGCACUUUUAUACAUUUAAUGAAUCAUGUUUUACGGGCUUUUAUAGGAAAAUUUGUUAUAGUGUAUUUUGACGACAUCUUAAUCUAUAGCAAAAACCUAGGGGAGCAUUUGGAACAUUUAAAAUGUGUGCUAAUUGUUUUAAGGAAAGACCAACUCUAUGCUAAUCAUAAGAAAUGCACAUUUUGUAUGGAUAAAGUUAUAUUUCUUAGAUUUGUGGUUAGGGCUAAUGGGGUAGAAGUAGAUGAUGAAAAGAUAAAAGCUAUUAGAGAUUGGCCGGCACCUAAAAGCAUAACCGAAGUUAGGAGUUUUCAUAGUUUGGCUAGUUUUUAUCGGCUUUUUGUGAAAGAUUUUAGCACUAUCCCGCAUCACUCAUGGAAGUAGUUAAAAAGAGUGUAGGUUUUCGUUGGGGUGAUGAACAGGAACUUGCAUUUAAUACUAUUAAAGGUAGAUUGUGAAGCACCUAUUUUUGGCAUUACCUAAUUUUGACAAAACAUUUGAGAUUGAGUGUGAUGGCAGAUGCGUUGUCAUGAAGGUACGUAUUGCUAACUACUCUUGAUUCUAAGUUACUUAGGUUUGAACAUAUUAAGGAAUUGUACGAAAAAGAUGUUGAAUUUUCGGAUAUUUAUUUGUCAUGCAUAAAAGGGGCGGCUGAUAGGUUCUUUAGGCCUGAGGGGUAUUUAUUUCGAGAAAAUAAGCUAUGUGUUCCUAAUUGUUCUAUUCGGGAGUUGUUAGUAAGGAAGGCACAUAGUGGUGGAUUGAUGGGACACUUUGGGGUUCAAAAGACUUUCGAUGUACUGAAGGAUCAUUUUUAUUGGCCUAAGAUGAAAAGUGAUGUUGAGCGAAUUUGUAGUCGAUGCAUAGGUUGUAAAAAGGCUAAAUCUAAGGUUUUACCACAAGGUUUGUACACACCUUUACCUACACCUAGUGAGCCUUGGGUUGAUAUCUCGAUGGACUUUGUUUUAGGUUUACCUAGGACUAAGAGAGGUCGGAUUCUAUUUUUGUGGUUGUAGAUAGGUUCAGCAAAAUGGUAGAUUUUAUACUAUGUCACAAAACUGACGAUGUCACGAACAUUGCUGACUUAUUCUUUAAAGAGAUUGUGCGUUUACAUGGGGUUCCUAGAAGCAUAGUGUCGGAUCGGGAUUUCAUGUUUUUGAGUCACUUUUGGAGAGUUUUGUGGGGGUAAGUUAGGCACUAAGUUACUAUUUUCCACAACUUGUCAUCCACAAACGGAUGGGCAAACCGAGGUAGUGAAUAGGACUAUGACACAAUUGUUACGCACAAUAAUCAAUAAAAAUUUGAAGAGUUGGGAGGAGUGUCUACCAUUUGUUGAAUUUGCAUACAAUCGAGCUGUUCACUCUACUACGUCAUAUUCUCCAUUUGAAAUUGUAUAUGGUUUUAAUCCACUAACUCCUUUGGAUUUAAUUCCUUUACCUAAGAAUGAACGUGGUAGUUUAGAGGGCAAAAAGAAGGCGGAAUUGGUUAAGUCAUUCCAUGAAAAGGUAAAAGCGCAAAUUGAAAACAAAAGUAAGUUGGUUACGUCGCAGGCAAACAAAGGUAGGAAGCGCGUGACAUUCGAGUUAGGAGAUUGGGUUUGGGUGCACCUUAGGAAGGAGCGCUUUCCGAAUCAAAGGAAGUCCAAGUUGCAACCGAGGGGCGAUGGUCCAUUUCAAGUGAUUGAAAAAAUAAAUGACAAUGCUUACAAGUUGGACCUUCCAGGUGAGUACAAUGUUUCGAGUUAUCUGAUCUCUCUCUGUUUGAUACAGGUUCAGAUUCGAGGACGAAUCCUUUUAAAGAGGGAGGGGAUGAUAUGAUCCAGGAGUCGAGCCCGACAAAGGCGAGGGCGAGACAAGACCCGUUGAUAGUCGAUGACGGACAAAUGACGCGAUCAAGGGCAAAGCAAGUGAAACAAGCGAUGGGAUUGCUCGUUCAAGAAACCAUUGAUAGAAACAUAUUCGGGACUCAAAAUGGAGCAACUUUCAUGUUCGGGUCGAAGGCCGAAUCAACUUGGAUCAAUUUAAUAUCGAAGGCCGAAUACGGAGGAAAUUAAGCCUAUGCGACCGCAUGGUGGCAUACCGAAACUCAAGAUGUGAUUUUUGGUUGAACCAUGCGACCGCAUGAAAAUACACUAUGCGGUCGCAUAGUUCAUUUUUUUUGGCGAAAUUCCUAAUUUUGGCAAUUUUCCAUAUUUUGUUAGUUUUUGAUUCUUUUCCAUAUUUUGGGGAUUAUGAUCGACUUUUGCACGAUUUUUACCUAGUUUUUAGGUUUAGUAUAAAUAGGAGUUUCCAUUCAAUUGUUAAAAACUUUUGACAUUAUUGAUAUUGAAUUAAAGUGAGGCGUAUUGUCUUCUCUUCAUCGUUCUUCAUUGAACAACUUCGAACUUACCAAGUGUUAACUUGUGGCAUUCAAACAAUCGGAUUUAAUUCUUGGAUUGCGUGAUCAAGGGGUCUUUCAAGCGUCGUUCUUGUUGGAUUUUUUGAUUCGACUUUCUUUUGGGUUAAUCCUAAACUCUUGGAUUAAUUUGGCUUUCUUGGGUUCGUUAAUCUCGUUGUGGGUUUCGUAGUCAACGUUGUUAUGGGGUUCGCAUCACUUCCGGUGUGGGAUAAUUGAAUUACUUUCACCAACGGAUAAUCCGUUUUUAAUUACCAACGGAAUAUCCGUAGGUGAAAGGUUCAAAUGUUAAACUGUCAUAUUAGGUACAGGAUAUUCGUUGGUAAAGAGAUAUUAUCAUUACCAAUGGAAAAUUCAUUGCUGAUUAUCGUAGUUGAAAGUAAAUUACUUUUACAAACGGAUAAUCUAUUUCUAAUUACCAACGGAUUGUUUCCAUUAGUAAUAUUUGGUAUGUCACCUACAGAAUAUCCGUAGGUGAAAGAUCCAAAUGUUAAACGGUUACAUUAGGCACGGAAUGUCAGUUGGUAAAAGGAUAUCAUUGUUACGAAUGAAAAAUCCGUUACUGAUUAUCGUAGUUGAAAGUAAAUUACUUUUACCAACGGAUAAUUCGUUUCUAAUUACCAAUGAAUGCAAUCUGUUGGUAAUUUUUCGUAGGUGAAAAGUUGUUUUUUAGUAGUGAUCUUUGGAUAUAAUCUCACUAACAAUUUCAAAUGUGAUUUGAGGAACUCUAUUCCUUAAUUCAACCAGUAAAAUUUGCAAUUUCCUACAAUUUUUAACUGCUAAAAUGGAAAGCAAAGGCAUGGAUCCUUCCUCCACCUUCCAUGUCUCUAAGAAAUGCGAAGUCAAGAGCUCUAACCGUUUGAGUUCCUUGAAACCAGAUUUAACGCAUAUCAUUUUCUCUCCAGCAAUUGCGUUGUCUUGCAAUACUAGUACUUGCAAUUUUGGGAGCUUGUCCAAAGUUGCAUAGGGUCUUCCUUAAAUUCAAAGCCUAUCAAGACUAUCUCAAUCAGGCUUCGAGUGUUCUAUAAUAUAGUGGUAUCUGUCCAAGAUGCCCAUCCAUAUGCAAGGUGUGGAGAAUCUUACACUCGAGUAGUUUUCUAAAAACAAAAUGCCUUUUUUCUGUAUACCAGUCAAAGUUUUUUAUCCUAAUGGAAGGAUAUAAGACAUUUACAUUCUCUUAAGUCAGGUCCAUGCCGCAGAUAAUUUGCUCAAGAUCCUCCAUAAUCCCUUCAAUGGUCAUAGAAAGUUAUCGUAGACUCAUCAUUUCAAAAAGAUCAGCAACAUUACGCCGCCCAGGGUCAGAGUUUUCAAGUAACUCAAUUUCCUUCAAAUACAAUUUAUCAUUAUUUGGCGUUUGAAACUCGAGCGGAAGAUAUAGAUAAACAAGUUUUCCUAGCUUUCUCAAGAUAUUGGGAAUGAUUAUUUGACUUGAAACUCAUAGAUCAAGAGUUUCCAAGAAUGACAAGCUUCCUAUUGAUGAUAGCAACACCCCCAGAAUACAUCCUUUGAAACUCAAGUACGUAAGUUGGAUUGGCCAUACCAUUUCACUAGGUAGACCUCUCUGUUGAAAGUCAACUCGCUCAAAAGUUAGAACCCUCAGCAUUCUCUACCUCUUCAGUUUAAACAUUCUUCGAGACCAUUUCAACUUCACUUGAAGAUCCUACAGACUCAAGAGUAGAGUGAACUAAGAUGGUCAACCUUUUCAUUUCUUAACUGAUCAAUAUAAGAUCUAUCAUCUUCCUUAUCUAAAUGUAAAGCCAUUCUAAGUGCAGGAGUCAAUGAGACGGAAUGGGAAUUUCUAUUGUUUAGAAUCUUAAAGAAAUAUUCUUCUCCCUUCUGUAAGCAAUGAUCUUGCAUGUGCUCAUGAACUCUAUAAGACUUGUAUUUUCUCAAAGAUGGAGUUUCUUCUUCUUCGAGCUCAACCAUGUUUCUCUGUACCAGAUCGUUCAAAUAUUUUUCUGCUAAAUCCAUCAUAGUUUCAUUUGUUUGACAAUCAUCUUGUGAUAUCCUACCCUUGGCCAUCCAUUGAAGAUACAGACGCUCCACUUCUAUCUUCGAACCCUUUGGAAACAAGCCCAAAUAAAGAAAAUACGGUUUCAAGUGAUACGGUAAAUCAUCAGAAAUUAAACCUGAGAUUGAUUUUUGCAAUAUAAUUUGUUCAACUGGUAGUCCUUUACUGGUUAUUAAAUUGAUAUCUUGAACAACCAUCUUCCAUUCUUGUGAUGUAUGCUUUUUAGCUAAAACUUCUCCGACUGCAACUAUAGCUGAUGGCAAGCCUGAGCACAACCUCAAUACUUCGUCCAUUAUAUCCUCCUUGAACAAAUUCUCUUCUGCAUAUGUUAUACAAUAAUUGUUGAGAAAAUCCUCAAUAUAUUCGGUAAUCAUGAAACAAUGAGACCAUUACGGUUCAUUUCCAUUAUAUUGCUUGCGUCAGCUCUUAAUAUACAAUAAAGAUCAGCAAUAAACGAAAUUCUAUCUUCAAGAGAAGCAACUGACCAUAUGAAGAGGAUAAAAAUGAUAAAGUUGAUAGAUCUUAAUAAUAAUAUGCUUGUGUGAUACCAAUAUCAACAUUACAUAUAUUGACUACAAUAAUCAAUAUCAAUUAAUUAAAAUAUAUUUUUAAUUAAUUAUUUCAUAAAUAAAAUUUAAUUAAUAUUUGAUUUUUUGAAGUUUCAAACCUCAUUUCACUACAAAAAAAGCAACUUUUUACGCCAUUCAUUUACGGCGUGUAUCCAUGACAUGUCAUAAAAAGAGACUAAUUAUGGCAUGCGCUAUAUGUAUGCUAUAAAAGAAUAAUUAAUUAAAGUAUUUACGGCGUGCAUCCUUUGCACGCCAUAUUAAACUAGCAUUUACGGCGUGCUUUUAAUGCAUGCCGUAAAAAAAUUGAAAUUUUACAAAGCCCUAAAAUGCAGCAUUUCUCCCAUUCCACCCCCCAUCAACUCCUCCUCUCCAUGACUUUGCUCGGUGUCUAAGCUGUCACUCUCGUAUCUCUCCGCCUUUCAUCGCCAAUAACCGGCGUCAAUCACUCUCGUCGCUCACUUCCCAAGACCCAAAAUAUUUCUAUAAGGUAAGGACUCUUCAAAUUAAUACCCACCCUGUCUUGAACUGAUUUAUGCAUUUUGAUUGACGAAUCUAUAAAUAAUUGGCAUGAUAGGUUGAAGGGAUUGAAGAAUAUUUGAAACCAAUGGAAUUAGAAACUGCUCAAUCAUCAAUUGAGUCACCGGUUAAGUUAGAAAAAACAUCUCCAUGUGCAUUUCCUACCAUUGGGAGGAGUACACAUCAGAGAAAUGUUGUUAAAGAGGAUGUUGGGUUUUGAUACCUAAUAACUCCCUGGGGAAUGAUGUAACCCCGGUUUUAUCUAUUAUCAAUCGGCCUUGGCCACAUGAUUGAUUUAUAUGUCGACACAAUUAUUGAGACAACCCAACCCACAUCCCUAUGGGCCAUUAGAAGCAACCUAUUGUUAAUAGUGUUGCUCAUGGUUCGUCCCACUUCCUUGGAGGACUAUGGUAUUAAUUUGGAGCUCAUUACUUUGAGUUGAGCCUUGUUUGGUCCACUAAAUAAACCUAACCCUACUUACCAUUUUUUGGUCACUUACUUGGCUUAUAUUCUCGACCUCUCUUUGCCUCCACUAUGAAGCAUAAUCCAUCUCUCUCUGUGACAUUGAUUUUCGGCUUCUCCUCUUCAUAAAACCUUUGUGGGAAUAUUAUUAUUUUUCACCCUGGCCAACUCUUUGUGAGUAUGUUGUAGCAACCAGAGGUGGGAAUAUAGGCGGUGGUCAUUUGGGUGUUGUCUCAACCGGCGGUGGUGUCGACAAAUUGUGGGAACUGAGCUCAGUUUACCUUGGUAAUUGUUAGAAUUCGACCCUACAACUGGUAUCAGAGCCAAGGUCACCAUCUCCAGCAAGAAAUCGACUCAAAAGGGCAGCACAUUUGCAUUUUUCAAAAAGGAGCCGAACCUGCAAUUGCAAAUUUCGGCCAAACUACAAACUUUCUGGCGAAACUGACCCCACACCUAGAACCAGCAGGCAGAGGCUCUCCUUCCAGUGGGGCGUGUGGUGGCGACGGUGGUGCGUGGCUCUCUGAUAGCGGCGCGUGGCGGCUUUUUCAGGCGAACCUCCUUCGGGCAGUUUGGUCAUUUCGAUCCCCUGAACGUACUGACAUUGUUCAUUUUCUAUUUCAGGUUACAUAGAAAAAGUUGGACAUUUAUGCCCCUGGUGGAUCGAUGGUUGAAAUUGCCAUAUAUUUACUGAAUUACUUUAGGCCAAAAUCGCGGCCCUAAAGUAGUAGAUUCGCAUCUCUCUCGAUUAUAAGGACUCAGACACAUUCGCUUUGAUAAAUUAGCUUAACCCUUUAAUUUCAGCAUUAGCAUACUGUGCUUUGUGUUAAAAUUACUGUGAAAUUUCCUUUGAUCUAUUUUGUUGCAUCAUAAAUUUUGCUGUGUUGUUACUUCCAUUAGAAUACCUAGACCUUACCCGUUUGAACGUUCCCUUGAUCUAAGAUCACGAGUCUUAUGAAAUCCUGAGAAUCUAGAACGGUGUAUAUUGCGGCUGUAGGAUUACUUUGUGUGAUCUAUUCAUCCAAUUGAUUGCUUCAUUUUUCAAAAAUGUCUUCACAUUUUGAAAUUGGUAUUUUCAAUGAAAAAGGUGAUUUUUCAAUCUGGCAACAAAAAAUGAAAGGUAUUUUGGUCCAACAAAAGAUUUCAAAAGCCAUUGAAGGCAAUUUUCUGGCUAAUUUUUCAAAAGAACAAAAAGAAGAAGCCGAUGAGCUUGCUUAUACCUCAAUCAUUUUACAUUGAGAAAAGUGGGAAAACUGAAAACCACAAGAUUUUUGGAAAAAGUUGGAAGAUCUAUAUUUGCUUAAAUCCACUUCCAAUAAACUUUACCUUCUUGAGUGUUUCUUCAGUUUUAAAAUGGAUCCUUCAAAGGAUCUUGAUGACAAUUUAGAUGUUUUGAAUAAACUUGUCCAAGAUAUUGUUAACUAUGAAGAAAUCGUAUCUGAAACCUACAAGGCUAUAAUCUUACUUAAUUCUAUGCUUGAGUCAUAUAAGGAAGUUAAAAAUGAUAUUAAGUAUGGUAGGGAUAUGUUGACUCUCGAGAUUGUCAUAGACUCACUUAGGAGUAAGGAGAUGGAAACAAAAGCUGAAAAUGAAGAUAAGAGGAGUGGUGAGUUACACAUGAUAAGGAGUAGGAUGAAAUUUAAGAAAAUGAAUUUGGGUAGAGCUCAAAAUAGUGGUGAUUCGAGUAGUGACUCGAGUGAUGAAGGUGGUAAGAUGAAGGGCAAGGGACGGGAUAAGUCUAGUGGUAGGCGGUGUUAUAGUUGUGGUAAGUCUGGACAUUUUAUUAGGGAUUGUUCAAAGAAGAAGGAUAAGCAGAAAGAUAAGAUGAGAGGUGAGAUGAAUGUGGUUGAGAGGUCCAGUUAUGACCCCAGUGAAGUUUAUUGAGAGAGUAAACCUAGUCACUGCAUAUGCAUCUGUGUGUGAUCCUUUCAGCAUGUGUGUGAUUGCCUAAUUUGUUGCAUGACUAAAUGUUGCAUUUCAAUUUGUUUGAUAUGUGUGUUUACAUGAAUUUAAGGUAAUGUGAUUGCUUGGUGUGAUCGUUUGCAUGCACAGUGGGUUUGGAUGCAUUAUCAGUGAGUUAGAUGUCUUUCAGUAAGGUGGAGUAUAGAUGCCUAGGGGUACAUGAUGUUUUUGUACCGAGGGAUGUAGGGUGUGACAUUUGGAUCAUGAGUGGAGAUGUGAUCAAAUGUGUCGAAUCCUUUAUCUGUGAAAGAGACCUUGUAUAGGUGGAGUGCGAGAGAGGCACUUCUAUCACUUCUGUAAGGUGGAGUCCCAUUAUCCACAUAGGUUGGGAGAAGUGAUGUGAUGAUACAGGAUUAUCCCUAGAACUUAGGAUUUAUUGUGACUUGCCAGUUUAACAUGAGUUGUGUGAUCUAUUUAGUGAGCAUGGUGGGUGAUGAGAGGAUAUAUGUGUUCUAAAGGUGGGAGUAACACGAAAUGGGAUAGGAUAGGUGUAGUGAGAUCUUUUGUGAGGUCAUUUAUGCAUAUGUUGCAUAUGUGUUUUGAUCGUGUGCUGAUUAACUUGGUGUUAAUCGGUGGUUCUGUGUGUAUGAAUUUAAAAGAUCUAUGUGAGUUAUCCUAUACAAUAUAUUUAUCGCAUGAUUAGUUGUUCACUGUAAGUACUUGUUUCUACCUACGUGUUCUUGACCUUAGCCCUGGUGAGUAUACGGAGCAGGUAUGGUGUGUGUUUCAAGUUGGAAACACGAGGUAAGUUCUAUGAGCCCAAUUUUAUUGGAUUACCUUGAUUUUGCAAGUAUAAACUAUGUGUUUUUUAUUGCUUGCAGGUUAUUGGCCAUCAAGGUGGAGAUUGUUGCAUUUUGAUACCCAAUAACUCCCCAGGCAAUGAUGUAACGCCAAUUUUAUCUAUUAACGAUCGGCCUUGGCCAUAUGAUUAAUUUUUAUAUUGACACAAUUAUCGAGACAACCCAACCCACAUCCCUAUGGACCGUUAGAAGGAACCUAUUGUUAAUAGUGUUGCUCAUGAUUCGUCCCACUUCCUUGGAGGGCUAUGGUAUUAAUUUGGAGCCCAUUAUUUAGAGUUGAGCCUUGUUUGGUCCACUAAAUAAACCUAACCUAACUUACCAUUUUUUUGGUCACUUACUUGGCUUAUAUUCUCGGCCCCUCUUCGCCUCCACUAUGAAGCAUAAUCCUUUUCUCUCUGUGGCAUUGAUUCUCGGCUUCUCCUCUUCAUAUAACCUUUGUGGUUUCUUGUGGGCAUAUUAUUGUUUUUCACCAUGGCCAACUCUUUGUGAGUAUAUUGUAGCAACCGGAGGUGGGAAUAUAGGCGGUGGUCAUUUGGGUGUUGUCUCAACCGGCGGUGGUGUCGACAUAUUGUGGAAACCGAGCCCGGUUUACCUUGGUAAUUGCUAGAAUUCGACCCUACAGAGGAGUAUGAAACUUUGUCGUCAAGGACUACUACACAGCGUUCAACAAGAAAGACAGUUGUUGGAGAAGAAGGUGAAAAGGGGGUUGCAUUUGGAACUCCGACAUUGGUAGCGACCACUAGAAGGAGGGCACAGGUGUCAACGGUUCGGAGAAAAGUGGAGACUCAAUUCAAAAAGGAGGAUAUUGGAAAAGGAAAAAAGACCAUUCCAUCAAACCCUACUCCAUUAGGGACUACUAUCCAGAGAAAGGUAAAGGAAGAAGAGAGUACACUGAAAAAGGUGUAUAGCACGUACAGAUCGAUAAGGUUGGCUGAGAAGAGUGAUGAGACACAAAGUCCAACAAUGAAGAAAAAUUAGAAACUCCUAAGCAAGAAUUGUUUACAAAGAAAUGGGUGAUAAAUUGGAUGUGAAUCUGAUGCAGGGAUUAGAUGCUAUUUUUCUCUUAACUUGUUCAAGAAUCAACAAGAUUUGUUUCUAAAUCAGCAAUAACUUUCUACGAUUGUAGGUAUUGAUACGAAAACAAUGGCACAGGAUAAUUCGGAAAGGGAAACAAUGUCUGAUGUCAAGGAUCCAAAGUUUUCGAUGGAGGGUAGCGAAAACAUGGAAAAUCAAUUAGACUUUAUCGAUGAAAUCCAAGAAAAUGAUGGUAUGCUUACAUACAGGUUGUUCAUUUUACUUUAUGAUACUUGAAAAUUUAACUGUAUAAGAAAUAUACAAUUACAAAGCUUAGUAGUAUCAAAGUAGUUAACAAUUCCAUGUGAAAUGAAUUAGUAAUUUUAUCAUAUUUGUAAUGCAGGGUCUCAUAAUACGUGUAUUUCUGAGGCUGAGAAUGCACUUGACUAAGGUGUCGAAUCAAAAUCUGAAAACUUUUUCUAAUUUCUAAUUAUCAAAUUAGUUUCAAAAAUUUACUUUUUAUUUAUUUAAACGUGUUAAAAAGUAAAUUUUUUAUCUCAAGAGUAACUUUCGACUUAUCAAUAACGGUACCCAAAGAGAAAUCAAUAAUCCACUCGUGCUGAUCCAAUAUAAUUACUUAUCAAUUCUUGUGUCACUUGGAUGCUUGUACAUAGUGCAUAUGUACAAUAGAAAAGGUACUAUAUAUAAAACAAUGUCUUUCAUGGCAAGUAUCGAGUGGAACAUUAUAGCACCUUGCAGACCAAAUGGUCUGAAUUGUAAUGAUCACAAUAAGUGGAAAUGAACCCAUUUUGUUGAAGACAACCCUAAAUUUUUUCUCAUAAUGGUGUUCCCAUUAAACAUUAUACUAAUUUCUUAUUUACGUCUGAAUUUGUCGAUAUAUUUGCAUUAUUUUUCAAUAAAUUUGAAGCAUUCCACAUCGAUUUGUGAUUGUUCUUCUAAUUCUUUGUACUAAAGAGUUGAGAAAAAAUACUUAGUUAACCAUCGAUGCCAAUUGCACAAUCACAUUCAUUCUUGUAUAGCACUUUUGAAUAUUUUGCGUAAUAUAUCAUAUAGUUGAUAUGGACAGUGUUGUACCUUUAUUUGAUUUAACUCUUUUUUCCACUUUACUUCAGAAAAUUCUCUAAAUGGUAGUAUUAGACAAAAUUAUCCAUACAUGUUUUAUUUCUCAACAGUAAAUGUAAGAAAUCUGACUAUAUUAAUUAGCUUGUUGCGUCCAUAAAGAAUUGCUCGCCAAAAACAGUUCUAGAAGCCGCAAAAGGUCAAGGAAAAUAAUUAAAUUAUAUUAUCAGACAUACAAAACACCAAAAUAGGGGUCCUGAAUUCUUAGGAAGUGAUUAGUGUCUAAAAGUGCUUCAAAGAUAUAUCAGACAUUCACUUUGUUUAAAAACACUAAUGUUAGUCUCUAAUUUCAAUUCUCUUGCCGUAAAUUCAAUUUCCAUAAAUACAUGGUUAAAAAUCAAAUUAAUUGAAAUACGUAUUUACAUACAUGUCGACAUGAGUAUUAUACAUUUGAAAGAGUAUUUAAUUGAUAUAUUUCACAUGUAUUUCCAAUUUAGAACAAGGGGAUGAAAAAAAUGUUGAAAAGUCAAGAAUAGUGAACUGUCUCAAGCAAGAAGCAGUUGUCGGUAAAAUGAUCAUAACUUGCGCUGCAGACAUUGAACCAAGGUGAUUCAAAUUGGGUUGGAAAGUAAGGCAUCUAUCUACAACUUUCAUGUUUUUCACGAAGUCAUAUUUGUAUCACAAGACAGCCAAAAUUACCGUGCAAAGUCCAGCUUGUUAGCUGCCGGAUACAGCUUUUCUACCUGUGAAGCAGCACUCAUUUUUUUUUGUAAUAUCUAGAGUUAUAUAGAUCCAAUAAACCUGAUAUUUUUACCAAUGGAAAGCUAACUCAAGUAAAAAUAAUUUAUCUGUUGAUCAUAAGUCCAAAUUCGCUUCACAAAGUAUCUGAAAAUUGGCAUCAAGUUGCAUGUUCUAGUUGUCUUGAAGUUGGACAGAAACAAGUUGCAUUGUCCACUUGCAUUUUGGAUGUUCCUUUGCCUAUAAAAGGGGACCUUGGCCACGAUUUUGAGAGCAUCAGUUCCUCUCCAUCGUAUUCUAGUUUCCUUCAUUUUCUUUGUAACAUUUCAAUAUGUCUUUCUAAACCAUUAGCUAGAGCUAGGGGUGAAACUUUGGUGAAUGCAUAGUAUUGUCCUUGAUCUUUCAUUUUGUUCUUCAAUGUUCAUCUUCUUACUUGGUUGAAGUAUAUGUUCUACAAAUGAUUUUGUUUUGUUAAAGACUUUGAUUUAUAUUUGACAAUUUUAGUACAAUAAAUGCUUAGAUGAUCUCUACAUACCAACAACUUAUUUUGACAUAUUCUCUCAAACAAUUAUCAAGAUCUAUCUUUUAGUAUAUUUGCGAUCAAUGUUUUAUCUUCCAUAUUUCAUGAGUUGAAUAAAAGAUCAAGAGUAAUUUCUACCCAUUUAUCUGAAGUGAAUCCCCGACGCUCUAGUGUUCUUCUCCAUCGUAUUUCCACCAACCAUUUACCACUCAUAGAAUAGUUUAUUUCCUUCCAAUUCCCUGUGGUUCGACCUCGGACUUCCAACUUUACUACUUGCGACAACCUGCACUUGGGUUUGCAACCUUAAAGUUACAGCAAGUUUCUGCCGGGGAUUUGCGUCAAGGAUUAUUUUCUUCUACUUUCUGUGAGGUUUUCUUCUCUUUCAUAAUCUUCAUAAAUCAGGUACACUCGUUUCUUUUUUGAUCUUAUUACUUUAGUUAUUUUACUUUAAAGGAAGGCCAAGCCUCCUUUGUUUUUUAUUUUCUAUUUAUUUUCUUUCUUUAAAGGGAAGGCCGAGCCUCCCGAUCUGUCGUUUCUUUAUUAUAUGGUUAGCUGUACCACCUAAUUUUUGUUCUUUACAUUAUUAUAUGGUUGGCCGUGCCACCUAAUUUUUGUUCUUUACAUUUAUUUUAUGUUAUUUCAUGUCAUAUUGGUAUCGUGAAUUUAAUUCUCCUCGUUUAGUUAAAGAUAAUUGUGAAACUUUCUUUAGUAAUUUAUUUGAUUCACCUCAACACUCACUCACAUCUUCCACCAUAGCUGAUAAUGAAAGCGUACAUGAUGAAAAUGAAAACCAACAAGCACAAACCAUGCGUGAUGACUUGCAACUUCCUUGAAAUUCUACUCCUUCAUGUUUCAUUUUCCCUCUUUAAUGCUAAUAAUUUUCGAUUCAAUCCAGGUAUGAUUCCAUUACUUCCUAAUUUUCAUGGCUUAGAAUCCGAAAGUCCAUAUUUGCAUCUUAAAGAAUUUGAGGAAGUAUGUGCCACAUUUAACGAUCAAACUUGUCCCAAUGAAAUUGUUAAGUUGAAAUUGUUUCCUUUUUCUCUAAAAGAUAAAGCAAAAACUUGGCUUAACUCUUUAAAACCUAGGUCGAUUGGCACAUGGCAAGAAAUGCAAAGUGAGUUUUUGAAGAAAUUCUUUCCAGCACAUAAAACUAAUGCUUUGAAAAGACAAAUCCAAAAUUUUUCUAAAAAAACAAAUGAAGCAUACUUUCAAUGUUUAGAAAGAUUUAAAGAUUUAUUAAAUACAUGCCCACAUCAUGGUUUUGAAAAAUGGCAUACUAUAAGUUUCUUUUAUGCCUAACUCCUGAAAUAAAACAAUUUGUAGAAACGAUGUGCAAUGGUGAAUUUUUAGAUAAAGAUCCAAAUGAAGCUUUAGAAUUUCUAGAUCAUCUAGCUGAAAAUUCUCAAUCUCGGCAAACAGUAAAACCAAUCAAAAACUCAAUCAGAUCUAGUCUUUCUAGUUCUAGUGGAGGAAAAUAUCAGUUGAGUCAAGAUGAUUAUCUAAGUGCUAGGAUUGCUAGUUUGUCUAGAAAGGCUGAAGCUAUGGAAUUAAGGAAAGUAAAGGAAGUUAAACCCGUGCAAAAUGAUGAAAUUUGUAGCAUUUGUGAAACUUUUGGUCAUCUUACGCAUGAUUGUCCUAACAUCCCAGUUUUCAAAGAAGUUUUACAUGAUCAAGCCAAUUCUAUGAACACUUUCAAAAAGCAUUUUCCUUAUCCAUACUCAGAAACAUAUAAUCAACAAUGGAGAAAUCAUCCGAACUUUAGUUGAAGAGAUGAUAAUCGUGUUCAUAUAUCACAACCUCAAGGGCUUUCAAAAUUUCCUUCUUUUCCACCACUACAAUCAAAGACUCUUGAGGAAACAUUGCAAUCUCUUAAGUAAGGACAAGCAAAUAUUAAUAAUCAAACUUCACAAGCCAUCAAUGAAAUCAAGAACACACUUUCUUCAUUGACCUCUUCUUUGCGUUCUCAAGAGAAAGGCAAAUUUCCUGCUCAACCUCAACCAAAUCCUUCUGGGCAAUUUAAUGUAAAUGCUUCUAGUUCCUCUGAAAGUCAAUAAGAAAAUGCCAACUCCAUCACGACCCUUCGUAGCGGAAAAAUUAUUGAUAAAACCAUCCCUUCAAAAGAACUAAAAUCUGGUGGGACUUCAAAGCAAGAAAAUGACAUUUCCAAAAGUGAGGAAAAAAUCAUUUCUGAACCUAUUGUUGAAUAAUGUCCCAUUCCAGCUCCAUUUUCUCAACAAUUGCAACAAAUUUCAAAACUCAACCAUAAUUCUGAAAUUUUUGAACUUUUCAAACAAGUCAAAAUUAAUGUACCAUUAUUGGAUGCAAUCAAACAAGUUCCUUCAUAUGCAAAAUUUUUAAAAGACUUGUGCAAUGUCAAGAGGAAACUUAGUGUUCAGCAAAAAGCAUUUUUGACAGAGAAUGUGAGCUCAAUCAUUCAACAAAACACUCCACCUAAAUUCGAAGAUCCUGGUUGUCUAUCAAAUUCUUGUGUGAUUGGAAAUAAUAGGAUAGAGCGUGCUUUGCUUGAUCUUGGUGCUAGUGUUAAUCUAUUACCUUUUUCUGUGUAUGAGCAACUUGGUUUGGGAGAAAUUAAGCAAACAACAAUAACACUUCAACUUGCUAAUCAUUCAGUAAAAGUUCCAAGAGGAGUUGUAGAGGAUGUUCUAGUUCAAAUUGAUAAAUUCUAUUAUCCUGUUGAUUUUAUAGUUUUGGACACACAUCCUAUUUUAAAUUCAAAUGUACAAAUACCUUUCAUUUUAGGUCGUCCCUUUCUUGCUACUUCAAAUGCAUUGAUAAAUUGUGGAAAUGGUAUCUUGAAACUCUCUUUUGGAAAUAUAACUGUGGAAAUGAAUGUUUUUAACAUUUGCAAGCAACAUGGAGAUAAAGAUGAUUGCAUGAAGUAGUUUUUAUUGAAUAACUUGUUGAUGAUCAGUUUAUUGCUACAUCUUUAUCUGAUGCACUAGAAUUUGAAUUUAACGAUAAUUCUAAAAAUUCGCAUAUAAUUUCUUUUGGUGAAUUCUUUUCAGGAGAAAAAGACAAGUGAUUGGAAAUCAAAGUUUGAAAAAUUAUCACAACAGUCCAAUAUAUCCAUGAUUUCAAGUGUUCAAAUGCUAAAGCUCGACUUGAAGCCAUUACCAUCUAAUCUAAAAUACUCAUUUUUGGGUGAAGAUGAAACUUUUCGAUAAUAAUUUCUUCCCAACUUGAUGUGCACCAAGAAGGUAAGUUGUUACAAACUUUAAAAAUGCAUAAAAAUGUUUUAGGAUGGACCACAGCUGAUAUAAAGGGGAUUAGUCCUUUGAUUUGCACACAUAAGAUUUAUUUGGAGGAAUAUGCUAAACCUACAAGAGAAAUACCAAGAAGGCUUAAUCCUGUUUUGAAAGAGGUGGUAAGAAGUGGAGUCAUUAAACUCUUAGAUAAUGAAAUCAUUUAUCCUAUUUCUGAUAGUAGAUGGGUAAGUCCAAACCAAGUAGUACCAAUAAAAUCUGGUGUUACUAUAGUAAAAAAUGAAGAAAAUGAGUUAAUUCCAACUAGAACUGUUACUGGUUGGCGCAUGUGUAUUGACUAUAGGAAACUCAACUCAAUAACUAGGAAAUAUCAUUUUCCUUUACCUUUUAUGGAACAAAUGAUGGAAAGAGUGGCAUGACAUGAAUUUUAUUGUUUUCUAGAUGGAUAUUCUUGGUAUAACCAAAUUGAAAUUGCACUUGAAGACCAAGAAAAGACCACUUUCACAUGUCCCUUUGGUACUUUUGCUUAUCGUAGAAUGACUUUUGGAUUAUGUAAUGCACCAGCUACAUUUCAAAGAUGCAUGCUUAGUAUUUUUAGCGACAUGAUUGAAAGAUCUUUGGAAGUUUUCAUGGAUGAUUUUACUGGUUCUGGGGGUUCAUUUGAUGAUUGUUUAACUAACUUGUAAAAAGUUUUAGUUUGGUGUGAAGAAAAGAAUCUUGUGCUCAACUGGGAAAAAUGUCAUUUUAUGGUCACUAAGGGCAUCGUACUUGGUCAUAUUGUAUCACCUAAUGGAAUUGAGGUAGACAAAUCUAAAUCUAAAUUGAUUUCUAAUUUGCCUACUCCACAUAGUGUUAAAGAGGUAAGAUCUUUUUUAGGACAUGCUAUUUUUUAUAGAAGGUUUAUCAAAGACUUUAGUGCCAUAUCUAAACCAAUGUGUAAUCUCUUAUCUAAAGACAUGCCUUUUGAAUGGACUAAGUCUUGUCAAGAAGCUUUUGUUAAACUUAAGAACAUGCUUACUUGUGCUCCUAUCAUGCAACCUCCAGAUUGGAAUUUACCUUUUGAAAUCAUGUGUGAUGCUAGUGAUUAUGCUGUUGGAGCUGUCUUAGGCCAAAGAAAAGAUAAAAAACCUCUUGUCAUUUAAUAUAGAAGUAAAACUCUAAAUAAUGCUCAAAUGAAUUAGUCCACCACUGAAAAAGAAUUGCUUGCUGUAGUGUUUGCUUUGGACAAAUUUCGAUCAUAUCUAGUUAGCUCACCAAUUGUUAUUUUUAGUGAUCAUGCAGCUUUAAAAUAUCUUCUCUCUAAGAAAGAUGCUAAACCUAGGUUGAUUAGGUGGAUUCUUUAACUCCAAGAAUUUGACAUCACCAUUCAAGAAAAGAAAGGACUAGAGAAUGUUGUAGCUGAUCACUUGUCUAAGCUUACUUGUGAUGGAUCAUUUGAAACAACAUCGAUCAAGGAUACUUUCCUUGAUGAACAACUUUUUAGUGUUUUUGACUUGUCUUGGUUUGUUGAUAUUGCUAAUUUUCAUGUGAUGGGUCAAAUACCAUCUCAUUGGAAUGCCCAAGACAAAAAAAAAUUAUUCAAAGAGGUAUGAAAUUUCUUUUGGGAUGAUCCUUACCUGUUCAAAUAUUGUCCAGACCAAAUAAUAAGAAGAUGUGUGCCAAAUAAUGAAAUCCAAAAGAUAAUUGCCUUUUCCCAUUCUAAAGCAUGUGGUGGUCACUUUUCUUCAAAGAAAACUGCUGCAAAAAUCUUGCAGUCUGGAUUUUAUUGGCCAACUCUUUUCAAAGACACAUAUGAAUUUUAUAAAGCUUGUGAAUGUUGUCAAAAAAAUAUGGGAUUACUCAUAAAGUGUCUACUCCUUAUCAUCCAAACACUAGUGGUCAAGCUAAACUUAUAAAUAGAGAGAUUAAAUACAUUUUGGAAAAAACAGUGAAUCCAAAUAGAAAAGAUUCGUCUUUAUGAUUAACUGAUGCUCUUUGGGCUUAUCGUACAGCUUUCAAAACACCCCUUGGUAUGUCACCUUAUCGACUUGUUUUUGGAAAGCCUUGUCAUUUACCUGUUGAAUUGGACCACAAAGCAUUUUGGGCUAUUAAAAUGUUUAAUUUCAGUUUAGAUAAGGUAGGUUCACUUAGGAAACUUCAACUGAAUGAGUUGGAAUAAAUCAGGAAUGAAGCUUAUGAGAACUCUCGAAUUUACAAGGAAAGAAUGAAGGAAUUCCAUGAUAAAAACAUUGUUAGAAAGACUUUUGAGCCUUCCCAAAAAGUUCUUUUGCACAACUCAAGGUUACAUUUAUUUCCUGGAAAAUUACGCUCCAAGUGGACUGGUCCUUUCAUUAUCUAAACUGUUUACCCACAUGGAGCUGUAGAAAUUGAAAAUCCAAGUAAUGGAAAUAUUUUUAAAGUUAAUGGACAUCGUUUGAAACCAUUUUUUGAGAAUUUCUCUAGAUUAGAAGAGUCCAUUGCUUUACAUGAUCCUGAAGAUUGAUAUCAUUUUCUCAUUACUUUAUUUUGUAGGUUUAUUUUAAGUUUUAUAACGUUGUAUGUUUGUUUUAGGUGUGUUUCUUUUAUUGUCUUUUUUUUCACUAAUGAAAUUGAAGGUUCAUUUAGACCAAGUUUAUGCAGACUUUCCAGGUAAAGCUCAAAACUUGUCCCUUUGUUCAAAAUUUUGCUCCUUACUGUCCUUCAUAUAUUUUGUACAUUUAAUCUUUACAUUAAGGAAAAUGUUUCAUUCAGGUUGGGGGGAAAGGAAUCGAAAAGUUAAAAAAAAAAAAAGUUCUUACCGACUGUUGAUAAUAUGUGAAAUUGAUUUUAUUUAUAAUGAUUAGGGGAUGCUGCUUUGAUUUAGUUUAAGCUUGUUCAUGUUAGAUUGAUUUACAUUGAGCACAAUAAUCAUAAAUCACAUAUUAUUUAUAUUGGAUAAAUGGAUAGAAUAUAUAGAAUUAACUAUGACAAAAAAAAUAAAAAUAAAAAAAUAAAAUUCCUACUCUAGGUUAGUUUGGGGUUGUUGAGCUGUUUUAGGGAGAUAUUGAGAUACUUGUGGAUUCCAUGUGUAUUAAAUUUUGUGUGGAUUGCUUAAGACCAAUAAGAUGAUAAUUAGGUGAAAAUCUAAGUUAAAAAUCGAUUUUCGAGAAUAAGUGUUUAAUGAGGGGCAUUGCACUAAUCAUUGCAUAGAAGGGAAAAAGCUGACAUGUUGUGAAGCUACCCUAAAAGAGCCCAAUGAGGACAAUUAUAUAUAUAAAAAGAGAUCAGGCUAGGGCAUGAAACAGAAUACGCACGACAAACUUGGAAAAAAAAAAUAGGUGCAUGAAAUAGAUGAUGCACUGCAUGCCUUGAUUAAGUCCCAAAUACUUAUUUUAGAGAAUUAGACCUUUGAUAAGAGAUUAGUAGCUUAGUUGAUUCUUGGAGAUUGAAUCAGUCACAAUUAAGGAGAAUCCUCAUUUAUUGAUGUGUUGAGCUACAAUUAGUAAAGUCUAACCAAACUAGAGAGGGUGAGUAAUAGUAUAUAAAUUUAACCAUAAAUCACACUGUGGGAAAAUAGUUACAAAAUCAAGUUUGGGGGUGUGUAUCCAAUGAGAGAAGAGAGAAACAAUUGACCAUUGAGGAUUGGGAUGAAUCCAAUUUGAAAAAGUAUGUGAUUGGUUGAAUUGAUUAUGCACACACACACGUUGGUCGAGUAUUGAACAAGUUAGACUAUGUUUUGGUAGCAAACCUUAGAAGUCUUUGGUUAAGCAUUUUAAAAUCCUGAGAUAAGUGCGACAAGCUAUUUCAUUUGAACUAUUUUUGAAUUUUUAUUGCUAGAGACUAGCAAUAUCUUCGUUGGGGAGUGUGAUUAGUGUCUAAAAGUGUUUCAAAGAUAUAUCAUUUACAAGGCAUUUUACAUUCACUUUGUUUAAAAACACUAAUGUUAUUCUCUAAUUUCAAUUCUCUUGCCGUAAAUUCAAUUUCCAUAAAUACAUGGAUAAAAAUACAAUUAAUUGAAAUACGCAUUUAAUACAUGUCAGCAUGAGUAUUAUACAUUUGAAAGAGUAUUUAUUUGAUGUAUUUCACAUGUAUUUCCAAUUUAGAGAAAGUGGAGGAAAAAAAUGUUGAAAAGUCAAGAAUAGUGAACUGUCUCAAGCAAGAAGCAUUUGUCGGUAGAAUGAUCAUAACUUGAGCUGCAGACAUUGAACCAAUGUGAUUCAAGUUGGGUUGGAAAGAUAAGACAUGUAUCGACAACUUUUAUAUUUUGUAAGAAGUCAAAUUCGUAUCACAAGGCAGCCAAAAUUCUCGUGCAAAGUCCAACUUGUUACCUGCUGGAUACAACUUUUCUAUCUGUGAAACAGCCCUUAUUGUUUUUGUCAUAUCUGGAGUUAUAUAGAUCCAAUGAAUCUGAUAUUUGCACCAAUGGAACGAUAACUCAAGUGGAAAUAAUUUAAAAGUUGAUCACAAGUCAAAUUCGCUUCACAAAGUAUCUGAAAAUUGGCAUCAAGUUGCAUGUUCUAGCUGUCUUGAAGAUGGACAAAAACAAGUUACAUUGUCCACGUUGCAUUUUGGAUGUUCCUUUGUCUAUAAAAGGGGACCUUGGGGACGAUUUUGAGAGCAUCAGUUCCUCUCCAUCGUAUUCUAGUUUCCUUCAUUUUCUUUGUAACACUUCAAUAUGUCUUUCUAAACCAUUAGCUAGAGCUAGGGGUGAAACUUUGGUGAAUGCAUAGUAUUGUCUUUGAUCUUUCAUUUUGUUCUUCAAUAUUCAUCUUCUUACUUGGUUGAAGUAUAUAUUCUACAAAUGGUUUUGGUUUGUUAAAGACUUUGAUUUAUUGUUGACAAUUUUGGCACAAUAAAUGCUUAGAUGAUCUCUACAUACCAACUUAUUUUGACAUAUUCUUUCAAACAAUUAUCAAGAUCAAUCUUUUAGUAUAUUUGCAAUCAAUGUUUUAUCUUCCAUAUUUCAUAUGAGUUGAAUAAAAGAUCAAGAGUAAUUUCUACCCAUUUACCCGAAGUGAAUCCCCGACGCUCUAGUGUUCUUCUUCAUCGUAUUUCCACCAACCAUUUAUCACUCAUAGAAUAGUUUAUUUCCUUCCAAUUCCCUAUGGUUCGACCUCGGACUUCCGAGUUUACUACUUGCGACAACCUGCAGUUGGGUUUGCAACCUUAAAGUUGUAGCAGGAAGGUUUUGGGAAAGUUACAUUGGGAAAUUGAGAUUGUGUGAACACUGUUUAAUAUGCACAAGAGAGUGAAAUUUUAUGUAUGCACUCAGGGCUAGCAAAAUUUUCUCGGAAAGUAUGGAUUUAUUUAUUCAAAUGCAAGAGUUUGGCUUUCAAGACUACUAAGAGAGGAAAACUUUGAUUAAGAAUCAAACUGACAUGAAAUUAAGAGUUUAAAAACAAACAAUGGGCUUUCAUAUCUGAUAACGGUAUUUUACAUACUUAUUUGGGCCUGAAAAUAUAGAUAUUUAAUAGUUAUUUUUGAUUAAUUAUGUCCUAAUUUAUUGUAUGUUUUGUUUAUUUAGCAAAACUCGAUGAAUGGAAGUAGAAUUGAAAGGAAAAACCGAAAAUGGUGAAAAAUGAUGAAAUCCAAAGUAUAGGGACUAAAUUGCACACUUUCAAUAGUUGAAUCGGAUUUAAGACCUCAAUUGGAGAAUGAUUGGGUCUAGUUGAAUGCAAUUAGAAGUAAAAGGAUCCAAAUGCACAAAGAAUGGACUCAAUCCGAACAGAGGAUAAAAAUCAAGGACUGAAUUGCACAUUGGUGAAAAAUAUCACUCACACAUGUGGGAACUUGGUUGGCAUGCCCACACUAGCUGAUUGAAAACCUCCCGAGAGCAAGCUAAGUCUAUGCACGGGCGUGCCAUGUAAAAAUUGAGUGACGGAGGACCCAACGUGUAAAUUACCUGUUUGUGUUAGAGUUCUUAUUCCAUUCAAUAUUGGUUACGAUUUCAAGCCUAUUUUAGAAUUCUAUAAUUAUGGAAUAGCAAAAUACAUCAAAAGGAACCUCUUCUACGCCAUUAAUAAUCUAUUAUCAUCGUCAAAUAUAGGCCAAUUCCAUUGUUCUUUUGAGAACUAAAGGGCAAUUGCAACUUUUCAAGAAAUUAGAGAUCAAAACCUUGAAAUUUUGGUGAAAAAACGAAAGGAAUAAUUGGAGAUUCAUCGAGAUACAAUUGGAGAAAUUCAAAAACAUCACGAUUAUUUUCACUUCUCCUUCAUCAAUUCAAAAUCCGGAGGUUUUAUUCUUCCAGUUAAACAUAAUUUCUUGUAAAUUUGUAAUGUUAUGCUAGGAUUUCAAUUACUAAGACUACGAUGUUUUAAUAUAAUUUCAAUAAUUUGACAUUCAAUAUAUAUUAAUUAUUGUAUGAUUGUUAUUGGAUUUAAUGCAUUUUCAAUUACUUGAUAACAAUUAGAUUUAUUUUGAAUUUUAUUGAUUUCGAGAGACAAUACAAUGGAUAGCACGUUAACAGCGAUUGUAAAUUCCAAGAGGAUAAAUAUAUACAUUUAUGUUUUUCAUGAUUUUUAUAGACAUUCUAGUGUUUUUAAUGUAUUCUUUUAUGCUUACAUCUUUCAUAUAGAUAUAGGAAAAUUAGAGAUGACAAAUUUAAUUGACGUCGAGAGAUAUUUUUAUCCAAGUUAGAAAUAUUUAUCUACAAGAAUGAGCACAUACUGUCAUGUUAUUAAAUGGAACUGAAAUGAAAUAAUGACGGGGAUUCAAGGUUUUAGUAAUUAUCCAAUCUAAAUCUAGAGAGAAUUCUCUUUCAAGCGACUAUUCCCUAGAUACACACACUGUGUUUAGCAUUAGAACAUUUAUUUGCAAAUCCCUUUUUUUUUUUUUAAUCUUAGAAAUAUGAAAAAUACCUUCAUAAUUUGCUCACUAGAAUUUGUUAGUUUAAUUAGAUUAAUUAGUAUAAAUCAUUCAAACAAAUAAGGCUAUUUGAUUUCAGUUGAAAUUGAUUAACACUAGGUUAAGUAUAUAGUCCUUGUGGGACAAUACUUUACUCUUCACUUUAUUACUUGUUUGUGAUACCAUAUACUUGCCGAAAAUCAAACGGUCAUUAUCCAAUUCGAACAAUUUUGCAAGGAAAAAGGGUUUGCAAGGGAAAAGACGAUUAGAAAAGCUCCUCAACAAAAUCAUAUGACUAAGAGAAUGAAUAGAAUUAUUUGAGGAGUUACAUGUGUUACCUAAUGUAAAAUUAUCUACCAUGGCACGUGUUAAAUUCUUGCCAACCCAGUCUCCUAUACUUAAUAAGCGGAGUAUUAUAUAAGUCGUGCUCCUUACAUUAAUGGCACAUGAAGCUUGAUGCACUCCAUAUUUAUGGCUAAUCGUGGAAAAGGCCACUGGAAGGCACGUUCGGUACUUGAAGGAUACAUAUAAAGUUAGUAUAGUGUACCGGGCAACAAUGAAGACAUAGAGAAUUCUGUAGAUUUAGAAUUUGCAGGGCAUCUAGACAAAAGAUGACCAUUGACAUGAAAUAUUUUAAAUCUUGGGAACUUACUUGUUCAGUUAAGAUAUUUAGUCAUCUUGUUUGUUAGACAAUGUAAACUUCUAAUGUACUUCCUUUUGUACAAUUUUCUUAUUUGGUUGUAUGAUACCCUAGCUCCCUCUACUCUCUUGUCUUCCACCAAUAUCCAUAUACUAUCAAAGCUUCAACUAUGGUAGAUGAUAUCAGACUAUCAUGUAUUAAUGUCUGGUAUUCUUCUUGUUACUUCCUUUAUUUUCAAUUUUGAUAUUUUUGGUGCUUGUACUAUUUGCUUGGGAAAUUAUUGUGUUGGUUGUUGGUUGGUUAUUGAAUUUUUAUAAUGGCGGGGACAAAUCAUAAUUCACCUGGGUCCAUUACUCUGAGAUUAGAAGAGAGAAAUUAUUCACGUUGGAGUGUUGUCAUGGAGAACAUUUUGAAGGGUAAAUUAAUUUGAGAUUUUGUAAUUGGUAUUUAGACCAAACUCCUAAAUUCCCUGUAUAAGAAUCAUUCCCUAUACAAAUUAUCCAUGUUUGAUCAUAAAACUCAGAUUUCAUGGCCACCAUCAUUCUUAAUGAAUUCAACAAUGAUGUAUGGUCCCAAAUCAUGAAAAUGCAGAUUGCAUGACAUGAGAAUCUUGAAUAUAGUAAAGGCAAAACGUCUCCUCCACAGGCUACUGAUGCUUCUGAUUCAAAGUGGUAUGUCGAAAACAAAAAAUGUGAAGAGAUGGUUGCUAAUUUCUAUCUCACAAGACAUUAUGAAGCGCUAUAUUCAAAUGUGCUUCGCACAUAAAAUUUGGAGUUCUCUCGCCAAAACUUUUUAUGAUGGGACAAAUGAAUUGCAACUCUUUGCACUAAAUUAGUGAGCCUUUUCAAUUAAAUAGUUUGGUUGUCUUCUAUUGAUCUAUUAAGAUGAUCUUGUGGAAAUCGUCCAAGAAUUAGAUCAUCAUGAUAAAAUUGAAAUAAAAUAUCCUGAUGAUGUUAUCACCUAUAAAGAUUGUGUGUGCAUAUUUUCUUGAAUGGACUGGAUGAUGAAUUUGAACAAAUUUGAGGUGAGAUUCUCAGGAAGGAUCUUGUACUAGAUCAUGAAGAAACAUAUGUAUCUGUAUGUUGUGAUUCUAUUUGUAGAACCACGCUUAACAUUGAACUCGGUCAUAUAGAGUUAUUUGCAUGGUGGCUCGUUGAAGCAAGCCUCAACAUCCUAAACCAGGUCAAGUAUCUAGUUCCAUCAUUGACCAAAAUCCAUCAUCUAGAUCCCAAAAAUCGUAGCCGUGAAAUUGCAGCAGCACAAUCAAAAGGCGUUUGUACUCAUUGCAGUAAAACUGGACAUACUAAGUCCUGAUGGCUUGAGAUGAUUCGGUAAUCAGUAUGGUGGGAUCAUGCCAAGGCACCUUAAAUGGAACUUCGAACCAAAUCACCAUGCCUCAAUUGCUAUGGCUGAUCCUUUCACUAACACUUCCAAGGAAGAAUGGAUAAUUGAUUUGGGUGCUACUUACCUCAUGACUUUUGACAAUCAUCAUAUUCAGUAUAUGAAGUCGUCUAAACAACGGUACUCCUACUGUUGAAGAAAGUUUUAUCACUUACUGAAAACAUGAAUUUAGAUUUUGUCCUGAUGGUUCCUGCCCUCAACCAUAAGUUAUUGUUUGUUGAUCAAAUAACUCAUACAUUGCAUUAUAUUGUGAUUUUUUUGGCCUAAUUCUUGUGUUUUUUAAGACACCGGGACUCGAAAUACAAUUGGUUACAGUACUGGAAGGGUGACGCUCUAUUAUCUUGAUCUAAUGCCGACAAGUUCAAAUCAGUUUGCUUAAGUUUUUUCGACGGAUAAAUCUAGCACAAUUCAGAAUUCAGAAAUUUGGUUUUGGCAUAGAUAUUUAGGUAAUGCAUCUUUCUAAAGCUCUUUGAACAAUUAGCUACUUCAUAUUUCAAUGUGACAUUUGUAAAAUGGCUAAAAGCCAUUGUGUUCCAUUUUCAACAAGUAUGAAUAAAAGUCCAGCACCAUAUAUGGUUAUUCACUCUAAUGUACGAGGUCCAUCAAAUACUUCUUCUCCUAGAGUAAAUGUUAGUUCAUUUCACUUAUAGAUGAUCACACCCGUACGAGAUAUCUUUGCUUAAUGAAAUUAAAAAAUGAAGUUAGUUCAUUAUUCCAGAAAUUCCACAAUAUGAUAGCCACCUAGUAUCAAUCUAGUAUACAAGUUCUCUGUAGUGAUAAUGGUGGAGAGUUUGUCAAUCAAGACUUAAAACAGUUUUUGUACAUUCAUGGCAUUGCUCAUCAGACUACUUGUCCUUAUUCAUCCUCAACAAAAUGGGCUCUGGAGUGCAAUGACCUUCACCUUCUUGAAGCUGUACGUUUUUCCUUGUUUGAAGCUCAUAUGCCUACCAGUUAUUCGGGUAAAUCUAUCACUGUUGCAGUUUUCCUUAUUAAUCAUGUAUGUUCCAGUGCAUUUCAAUUUCAUACCCUAUUUAACGUUCUUCAUGAGGUGAUAAGCGCUUCUGCUAUACCAAUUAUGCUACCUAAAGUAUUUGGAUGUUUAGCUUUCGUGCAUCUUUACAAACAUUUAAGACAUAAGUUGGGACUUCGAGCUGUUCAUUGUAUAUUUAUUGGCUAUGUCCUUAACGUCAGAAAGGCUAUUGAUGCUAUCACCCCUUUGAUGUUGUAUUUUAUAAGGAUGACGUGCUACUACCAGGUCUCCAAUUCAGGGAGAGAAUAGAAACAAAUUGCAGACCUUUAAUCACACUUUGGAAAUUUUGGAUAUUAGGAAUGGUGACAAAUUGGAUGAGAUUAUUGAAUGCCCAAAUGAUGGCAACUUUGAUAAUAGCUAUGAUUGCCCAUAUGAGACAAAUUGGGACAGAUUGGAAGGUAAAAAUGGUAAGGAUAUGAUGGAAGUGGUACAACCAGCUGCUCAGCCAUUUCUCCUAUCCACAAUGUACCUGUUGACCUAUUUAUCGAUCAGACCGAUUCUAUAUCUAAAUUUCACGUAAAAUCUAAACCCCAACUAAAGAAUUUGGUUUCUGAUAUGAGAAUAACAUGGGCUAAAAGUUACAUUAUAAGAAGGUAAGUGACUUAUUUUGCACUUAUCCACUUAACUUUCAUUGAAUUUGGACCCAUUAUUUUCAUUUGGAGAAUGAAAAAAAAAUCAGGGAAGAAUCGAGAGAAAGGUUAAGGAAGGAAAAGAAAAAGAAGAAGAAGAAGAAGAAGAAGAAGAAGAAGAAAAAGAAGUGGGUUUUCAAGUUUGGGUUCUCGAAUUCAUAAAUUUCUCAAUUGAUUUAGAGAGGCAAGUGUAAGUAUGUUGAAUUAUUUUGUUGGGUUUAUGGAAAAAUUUCUCAAAUUUGAAAUUAAUGAUUAUUGCUAUAUGUUUGAGGUAGUAAACAACAAAAAAAUACAUACAUACAUACAUACAUAUAUAUAUAUAUAUAUAUAUAUAUAUAUAUAUAUAUAUGGUUCCCCCAUCAUUAAAAAAUAUAUAUAUAUAUAUAUAUAUAUAUAUAUGAAAGAUUAGUAUUGAAAGGAAGGAAGGUUGAAAUGAGUUUGUAAAUCAGAGUUUCAAUAUUUAAUUUUUUGUGUUCAUAUAAUAUAAAACACUUGAAUUAUGAGGGACUUAAUAAUCCAAAUGGUCACUAAACUUUACAAAAAGCUUUUAUUGGGUCACUAAACUUUAAAAAUGACCCAAAUCAUCAUUGAACUUUGUAAAAAAUUUACACGAGGUGAUUAAACUUCAAAAAUCACUCCAUUCAUCACUAAACUUUUCAAAUGAUUUCACUGGGUCACUGUGCAAAAACUUUCCUAGGGGUCUUUUUAAAGUACAAUGACCCCAUGAAAACCUUUUUCAAAUUUCAGUGACGACUUGAGUGAUUUUUAAAAUUCAGUGACUCUGUGAAAACUUUUUACAAAGUUCAGUGACCAUUUGGAUUAUUAACUCAAUUAUGAGGUAUUAAAGUAGUCCAAGGAUUUUAGGUUUGAUUUUGGUAUUUUUAAACCAUUUUCUUCAUUUUUUGACCAAAAUUAGAACAAUGCUGCUGCUUUGAGAUCUACCCGAAAGGUGCCAUUUUUGUCAAAGGUUCUGGAGACAGUUUUCCCUAUGUAGAAACUGGUGCCAAAUUUCAUUAGGUAUUGGAUUAAAUCAUGUAUAGGGGUUGUAUAUGUACAAAGUAGUGGGUUUAAGAAACUAUGAUUUAAUGGAUUUUAUCAUGUGUGACGAUUUGUUAGUAAAUCAUUAAAGAUAGGAAAAGUUAUAGAAAUAGUGACGCAAGAAUUAGUAUAGAAGUUGAGGAAUUAUGUGGUGGAUUUGCAUUAGUUUACUUGUCAGGUUUUAAUUUGGGUUAUUAUAUCAUUAUUUUAGUAGUGACGUAAAAGUUUGAAAAUGCUCAUCAUAACUAAAUUGUUAUAUGUAGAUCUAUGAGUGGAAAACUUAUAUAUUUUCAAAUAUUGAUAAAGUACUUAUACUAUUGUACGUGCGAUUAUGUGAAUUAUUUGUUCAAUUACGUGAUUACUAUGGAAAGGUUCUUUCACUAUGAUAAAUGUGGAACUCAAGAUCGUCUGUGGAUGAAUUUUGAAUUGAAAUUGAGAGAUGUGAUAUUGAGAUCGAUAAAAAAGUUAUCCUUGAUUAUAUAUUUCUUCUAGUUCAUAGAGGGACCUUAGCUGUGUUUCAUCUUAUACAGAGGGGUCUUGACCGAACAUUUAUCUUGGUCAUGUACAUAUAGUUAACAGAGGGACCUUAGUAGUGGUCUAGAAUUAAUUAUCAAAUGGGGCCAAAGACCCUUGUCGAACAUGCUUAGCCCGAGGGACGUAUUACAGAUUUCGGUCAGAGGGUUUAUUUUUGGGGACUAAAUGUAAUGUGAUGAGAUGAUGAUAUGGAUUUGGGUUGAUGAUUAUAUCAUGACUAUGAGAUGAUAUUUUUCAGUGUUAUAAGGUGUCUUACAUCUUGAUUAUUAUUACAUAGUGCUAUACUUUAUACUGUUAAAUGAUAUGAACUUGAUUUUCGAUAGAUAUGUAUAGAUAAGAAAAUAUAACUAUUUUCUAUAUUUUUCAUUCACUGAGUUAUCAACUCACAUAUUUUUUAAUGAUUUUUCUUACAUGUACCAAUUGGUUCUUGAUAACUUAAGGAGCCUGAUGAUUCUAGAGUUAUAGCCACACGACAUAUUAAGUAAUAUGAGUCAUUUGGAUUAUGUAAUGCCCCGACCCCUAGUGGAUUGGAACGCUACUUACUUUACUUAGCUUAACCGGUGGUUUAGUAACAAGUGUAUACCUUUUAACGGAAGCUUACAUCUUCGGAUAAUAAUUUAAAUAACAAUACUUCAAAUACUUUAAACAAAAACACUGAAUAAUUUUUCAAAACAACAAAAUGUAGUUUAUUUGAAGAAAACAUAACUUGUUCUCGCAUUCUGCAUUAUUCAAAACGUAUAUAACAUUGAUGUUCUCGAAGAAAUGCAAUACACGUUAUAUAAAUAUUCAAGAAGAAUAUUUAUUUAUUACUCAUGUAAGGCAUAAAUUUUAUUAUUUAGCUCGAAAGAUAGAAUGAAUUGUUAUUGUCAACAUUCCAUAAGAAUUUGUAUUUAUACUCUUGAAGAUUAUAUGUCUAUUGUCUGCCUGAUGAAAGCACAACGUAAAAUAAAAAUAAAAAAUUUGUGUUAGUGUUCUUGAAGAAACAUGAUGUUAUUAAUAAUUUAAAAGAAUAGAUAUUAUAAUUUCAAUAUUCCUGAAGAAUAUUGAUCGAUUCUAUUUAAAUCACAAAAUAAAUUUCUAUAUUUAUUUACGUGUCCAUUUUUCUGCAUACAUAUUUAGAUAUUGAUGUUUUGGUCAGAUUUUAUUGCUCUUAAAGAGUAUAAUGAUAUAUAUCUAACAUAAAAUUAUGUUUUUACUCUUGAACAGUAAAUUCUUACAUAAUUAUUACUAUAAACAAUAAUAUGCUAUUGCUCCUAAAGAGCAUCACAUUGAAAUUUUAAUAUUUUAGAAGAAUAAUGAUCUAUUGUUCUUGAAAAAAUAAAAUAUAAUGUGAUCUCAAAAUAGACAUUAUAAUUUUCAUUAAUAUUCUAAUUAGUUAUUACUUGCUCUCGAAAAGUAUAAUUACAUAUAAUUUAACGUAAAUUAUAUUUUUACACUUGAAGAGUAAAUUAUUGUAUAAUUUAAUAUUAUAUGAUUGCUUCCGAUGAGUUUGAAUUAUAAAUUUCAAUAUUCCAAAAGAAUAUUGACAUAUUGCGUUUGAAUUAGCAAUAAUAAUAAUAAUAAAAUUUAUAAAGUGAUCUUAAAGUAGCAUAUGUUUCGAAUAUUUUGAAUUCAUUUUUAUCCCUAGAGGAAAACAUAUAACUACUAUUGUUAGAACAUUGAUUAGUUUGACGACUUGAAUGAUAUAUUGAUUUUAUUAUUUGGCAUGACCAGUUUGACCAUCAUUGGAUCAAUAACGAUGCGAAAUUAAAUUUUUUUUCAUUAAUAUUAAAUGAAGAAUCAGAAGAUUUUUCAAUCCAAUGAAUUCCUAUAUAGUAUUUGUUCUCUUUAUUGACAAUUGAUCAUUAAACAUCGCUAGCUAAAAUAGGGAUUGAAUUCCCUAUAUUUCUAAAAAUUAAUUAGGGUGAUAUAUGGGGCCCCGUCACCCACCAUAUUAACUAUCUAAAUAUUAUUUGUAUCUAAUAGAUUUGACACAAAUAUUAGAUGAUGCAUGGUAUUCGCAGCAUGAAGUUUUUCGAAAUUAUUGCUCAAUUUAUGAGCAUAAUUUUCAGAUUAUAUAAUCAAGACUAUGUCUUGUUAAUAUUAGUGGGUAUAAAUCUCAACAUUUUAAUGUGUUAAUUGAGAUGUCGAUAAAUGGUUUAACACUAUUGUUUGUUAAAUGCUUCCAAUUAAUUUAAUUGAGAAUAAAGUAUUCCCAUUUUUAUUUAGGGAAUUCUAUUACGCAUCAUGCCAAAAUCACAAUUCUCCCUAUUAUAAUUAGCUUACGGUCAGAUCCUAAUUUUUCCAUCUAAUUAUUUUUGAUAGUGUAGUAUAUGUAAAAAUUGAACACUAUAAUACACUGAGAUGAAAAAUAAAGAAUGCUGAGAGUAAGUACAUAUUUUGAACAAUUAUUUCAAAUCGACGAUAUUUUAUAACAUUAAAAAAAUGAUUAUCAGUUUAAUUGGACAAUUCUCUCAGCAUUAGGGGAGGAAUUAAGAAAUUGAAAAUAAUGUGUAAAUGCAUCAUCAUCUAAAUCCUUUCUAAAUAUCAUUCGAACCAAAAGUUCAAAAAAUUUUAUUUAGAUGCAUUUAAUGUUCAAAGAGAUCAACAAUAUAUCACACACCAAUUUUUGAUGCUCCAAUACGAAUUGAUGUCUUAGGGGACAAUUUGUUAACAUUAUAUUUGGUUAUCUAUGGCACGCCUAAAGCGUGAUGAUGUUCAAUUCUAAUACAAAAAUCUUCAAAAGAAAAUGGAGCAAUUAACAAAGAUGGUUUCAUUGAGAAAGCAUAUACUCUUAAUGAGUAUUUACAAAUAACAAAUUAUAAAACCCCAGAAGAGGUUUAAGUACCUGAUAUGUUGAAAAUUGAGAUAUCUAAAUAAGUUAUGUCAUUAUAGGAAAAGAAAUAGUAUCGAACGAGAAAAGAAAAAGUUGUCGACAAAAAAUUUGUAUAUGAUAUACAAUAUCAUAUGUGAAUCAUGAGAAGUCAAAAAAAUGCAUCGAAAUAUAUCGAUCGAAAUAAUGUUUGGCCGAAUAAAUAGAGACGCAAUCUUAAAUUGAAUUUACUAGAUAAAAACGAAAAUUUUGGACCUAUAGUCCGAAAAUCUAAAGAUAUAUCAACGGUGACAGAACAAAGCACAUUUCUCCAAAAAUGUUUUCAUACAAAGACAAUGCAGCUUAUAUUGCACAACUCAAAGGAGACUAUAUCGAAUAUGACGGGACGAAGCACAUUUCUCUAAAAAUUCUUUCAUACACAUGAGCUUCAAAAGAAUAGCGACAUCGAUAUCCAACAAAUUUUCUUAAGUGACAAUGUGGCUGAUUUAUUCACAAAAACACUGCCAAGAUCUACAUUCGAGAAAUUAGUUCAUGAUAUUAGAAUGCAUCGACUCAAUUUCUUGAGUGAUCAACAUUAGGGGGAGUAGCUGUACUCUUUUUCCUUCGCUUAGGUUUUGUCCCACUAGGUUUUCUUAGGAAGGUUUUAAUGAGGCCGUAUUUAUUUUUAAUACUCCAAAAUAACUGUACUCUUUUUCCACCUGAUAUAACAAUAAAAAUUACAAUUCAUACGAGUAUAUUGGUGACCUAGCGACACACCCAUCUUAGAUCCUCUUAUAAUCUUGUAGGAUUUCAUAUCUCUUUAAAAAAAUGAAUGUCUACUGGCAAUCCAUGCAUUUUUUAUUAGACAUAAAUGUAUAAGGAAACAAAAACACUUGCACUUAAAGUAUCUUACCUUGUUAGAAAAAUCUGAAGCACGUUCAAAAUCUUUUCUCCGAUUUGAAAAAUAUGUGAUUAAUAUAUUCAACGUAUGCAAACUUUAUUUCCAAUGCUACCUUCUCUCUCUCUUCCUUUCUCUCUCUCUCUCUCUCUCUCUCUCUCUUUACUUACCGUACGUGUGAAUUGGUGUGAGUAAAACUUUUCAUCAUGCCUAUAUAUAUAUAUAGGUGUAGGCUAGAGUAGAUAAACCAAAAUUUGAUUUGAUAGGGCCAAAUCUUGUAACAAAUGUCUACUAACAAUGUACUUUAUUAUUAACUUAUUCAACUACAAGAUAUCCACUAUCUCUAUCCAACCGUAUAUGGGUGUAUAGUGAAUUUUGUCGUAACUAGAAUAGUAGAAUAGUAAAAACAUGUGCCAUCCUAUGAAUCUCUAAAUGAAAACUAACAAAUAAUGAUAAAAAUCUCACCUCACACUUUUUCUUUUUGGAGAGAGAAAAAGAUAAAUUGAUUUAUAAUCUAUAUAAAAUUACAUUUAUACCAUUUUCUUUCAAUUGGGUCUAGCUUAAUGUGUCCUUAUCCAUAAUAACUUUUUCUCGAGUCAAUGACUUCUAAUUAAUUACGAGCUAUCUAAUGAAUACAAUAUUGAUAUACUCAUAAUUGCUCUAUCAAAAUCUAAUUUGUUUGACCCAGAUAAAAUCGGAAUUUAUAUAAUAUACAAAAUAAAUAAAUUUUUAUCUAUAAAAUUUUUGGGUUGCUACAAUCUACCCUCCUUAAGAGAAUUGCGUCCUCGAAAUUUACCUGCGUUAGGAUCUUCUGUGGCCUCUUCUUGGGCAAAAGUAAAAACUCUGACAUUUCCUUUCCUUUUUGGCUCAUCAUUCUUCUUCAAAAGGUCAUCUUUGUAGUUUUUGGAAAUAUGCCCGAUUUUACCGCAUCUAUAGCAGACAUGCUUCCCAUACAGACAUUCACCCCUAUGCAUUUUCUUGCACUUUGGACAAUGUGGAACGACUUGUCCAAAACCUGGUCCGAAGUUAGCCUUCUUGUUCAGUCCUUCUCCUUUCUCUUUGUUGGACCCAUUCCAUUUCCUCUUUCCUCAAAACUUGGCCCCUUGCUGGGGAGUUUGGUCAAUUUCCAACCUAUUUGAGAUUGCUUGGGCAGUCUGCAAUACUCAGCUAUAGGUGGUGAAUUGGUAGGAUGCUAGUAUUCCACCAAUCUCAGGACGCAAUCCCAGUUCGAACCUCUUUGCUUUCUUUGCUUCACUGUCCACUAGGUGUGGUACAUACCUUGAUAGUUGUUCGAGUUUUCUCUCAUAAUCCUCAAGCUUCAUUUUUCCUUGUUUAAGUUGAAGGAAUUCUGUCUCCUUUUGAUCUCUCAGAGCUUGGGGAAAGUAUUUUCCCAUCACUUCGUCCUUAAAUUAUGUCCAAGUUAGAGCACACUAUUGUGCUUCUGUUCUAGUACGAGAUGCUGACUCCCACUAGUGGCAUGUAGCAUCAAGCAACAUGAAUUCUGCGCAUAACACCUUUUGAGCAUCAGUGCAAGAUAGAUGUUUGAAGAUUCGCUCCAUUCCUAUUAUCUAUUCUUCGACUGCUAGUGGGUCUAUCUUGCCAUCAAAGAUUAGGGAUUUGUAGCGAUAGAACUGUUCCACAAUUGAGCUGAUGUUGUUAGCGUUUGCACCAUGGGGACCACCCUGUGUUUGUUGCCUACCCAAGUCUUGUACCGCAUUUAUCAAAUCCCUGGUGAUCGUAACUUGGUUUUGUUGUUGUCUUGACAUUUUAUUAACACAAAUAAAAUUUUAAUUUAGAAAUAUUUAAUAAAACAACAUAAUAUUAUUAAUAAUCUUUGUAAAAACGAAGAAUUUUUAAAAUAUAAAUUUUCAAAUCCUUACAUAUAGUAAUGUGAUCUUCAAAAUCAACUAAACAAUUAAACUUUCCUAAGUAUAUAAAUAACACUUAAUCCUAAUCCUUGUGAGUCCUAAAAAAAAUCUUCUUUUAUGGCAUCUCAUCAUCCGAAGUAAUGCAUGACUUUGACUCAGAAUCUACAAUCAAAUCAAUAAAAUUUUGUGGUUGGAUUUCCUACUCAGGGUCUUCCAACUCUGGUUCGAUAUCUUCCUCUCGGUCCUCUUUCUGGUCCUCCUCUGGCUCUUGCCCUAGUUCGGGUUCUGGUUUGGGUUCGGGCGUUGGUGUUUAUUGUCUGUCAUUCCAUAAAAUUAUGAUAUCCUCACAGUAUCCUUUAAACUCAAUCUCGUCCCAAUCUUCUUCCAAAUAUAACUCAUAAUCCAUAUCCCUCAUUAAGUAAAUCACGUCUCUCCAUUGAGAUCACAUAGUACUUAUAAGCUGGUAUAUCGAGAGGAUUGUCCCCUCAUUAUAUCCGAAUGAUCUUACUCGCUCCCACUUAGAAACGAAACCUUCAACAUGUUUAACAAAAGUUCGCUCCCAUCUUACUUCAUAAUUUAUGUAGUUCCCAAUGGCCAUUUCAGCACGCUGGAGGUAGGUUGGAUAAUUCCUAGUCAUCCUAAUCACAUGACAAUUAUAAUUUCAAAUAUGUGUAAUCUUGCAUUAUCAGUAUUUUUUUUUCAGUGCAUACACGAUAUUCUAGUAAAAUGUAAAAAUGAUAAAUAUAUUAUGCGAGGUGAACAUGCUUAUAGCCAUGCUAGAAAUUAAGAAUGAAACGAAUUCAUUUCAUACCCGGGAUCAACUGGAGAGUAGUCGAAUGGUGAGCGCCACAUGCCAAGUGUUUUUAUAACAUUAUUUAUUUAAAAAAAAAAUUACAGUAUCCUUUAAACUCCCUAUUUUCUUUUCCUUUCUUCUUUUUUUUUUUUAAAUAAUUUCACUAUAUUUAUUUAUGAAUUUCUUAGAAUAGAAAAGGUCAAGAAGUAAAAGUUCAUAACAACAGUAUCGUUAUUUAAAAUCACGUUAUAAAUGGUUAUUUAAACACAAACAUAUAAUACAUACAUAUACAUUCUUGAAAAUAAAAUCACAGUAAUAACACAUAAGUACUAAUAGAGCUAGAUAACAACCACAUAGUAUUUUAAGAAAUUAAUUUAUAUUAUAAAAAUUAAUAUAUACUUAAAGGUAAUUGUGGGCUAACAUUUGAAAGGUUGGUUUCAAAGUAUGUAUACAAUUACAUAUUAGUUAGGGCAUGUAAUCUCAUUUUACAUAAAAAUUUUCACAAAAUCUCACUUUAUAAUAUUAUUAUUAUUGUUGUUGUUGUUGUUGUUGUUAAUCUUUUAAUAAAAUUUUCUCAAAAUAGAAGUUUCAAAAUUUUAAAUUUUCUUAAAUUUAGAAUUGUCCAAAAUAUUGUCUUUCAUCUUGUUGAUUUGAAUAAUGCACAAUUAAAAGGCUUCCAGAUGAGGAGGGGGUCACAGACGGACCACUUAAAUCUCAAACUCUUCUUAGACAGUUUAGGUCUUUUUGACAAAGCCUUUCAAUUUUGCAAUUACGCAAUUCAAACAAUAAAUCAAAUGUAAAAUCUCUUAAAAUAUCAGUUUUUCAAAGGUCUAUUUUUUUUUUUUUUAAAACAUCCCCAAAGGCUGAAGUUAAAACACAUAAAAAUUUAUCAUAUGUAAGAUUUAAACCAUAGGCAUGAAACUAUAACAAUUAAAUUCUAAACUACUAUUACUCGAAAUCAAUUUAAACAAUCAUAUAUUCUUCAAAAUAAAGAGACAAAUGCAUAAAAAUAAAUUGUUAUUGAUUUGAAUGGUAAUCCAAACUACUACAAAAUGUGCAAAAUGUAUAAAAAUAAUUUGCAAUAUUCAAAGUAUAUCAUAUCAUAAUUAAAAUUAUAGAACUCUUUGCCAUGUCAUGUAAAACAAAAAGUUUUUUUUUUUCAAAACAUUUAAAAAUUUUUUUUUAACUGUUCACUUGAACCGUUCAAUUUCUUUCUUUUUUUUCUUUCUUUCUUUUUUUUUUUUUUACAAAACAUGUCUACAAAAAAGUCAAACCAUGCUCUGAUACCAAACUGUAACGCCCCAACUUUUUAUAAUCCGGAACGUUAUGAAAAACUCAUUUUUCUUUAUUUUAAGUGUAGAACUAUAAAAAUAAAAUUUUUUAUUAAACAAAUAACUGCACCAUUUAUAAAUCUAAAUUUAAAAUAUGAAAAUUUUAUCUAAACAUAACAUAAACUCUUAACUAAUUCAAAUAACACGUUUGGAACAAAAUUUAAACUAAUUGAUAAAUUUAAAGACGGGAAACUCAUUUAUUUUUCUUUUCAUUUGAUCCACUUGGCAGCCCACAUCACCGUCCUUCCACAAUUCCAGUCGACCUGAACUAACCUAUAAAAAUUUGUAAGGGUGAGUAUUCGAAAACUCCCAGUAAGAUACGUACAAUUUUCAUAUACAUAUAUAUAUAUAACAAUAAGAAUUACAAUUCAUACCAUCUGAUCUAAUGGAAUAUAUCGGUGACCAAGCGACUCACUCAUCUUAGGUCCUCUUAUAAUCCAGUAGGAUUUCAUAUCUCUUUAAAAAAAACGAAUGGCUACUGGCAAUCCAAGCAUUUUUUAUUGGACAUAAAUGCAUAAGGAAACAAAAACACUUGCACUUAAAGUAUCUUAUCUUGUUAGAAAAAUCUGAAGCACGUUCAAAAUCUUUUCUCCACUUUGAAAAAUACAUGAUUAAAAUAUUCAACGUAUCCGAACUUUAUUUCCAAUGUUACCUUCUCUCUCUCUUUCUUUCUUCUCUCUCUCUCUUCACCUACCGUAUGUGUGACUUGAUGUGAGUAAAAAUUUUCAUCAUGCCUAUAUAUAUAUAGGUGUAGGUUAGAGCAGAUAAACCAAAAUUUGAUUUGAUAGGGCCAAAUCUUGCAACAAAUGUCUACUAACAAUGUACUUUAUUAUUAUCUUAUUCAACUACAAGAUAUCCACUAUCUCUAUCCAACCGUAUAUGGGUGUAUAGUGAAUUUUGUUGUAACUAGAAUAGUAAAAUAGUGAAAACAUGUGCCAUCCUAGGAAUCUCUAAAUCAAAACAACAAAUAAUGAUAAAAAUCCCACCUCACAUGUUUUCUUUUUGGAGAGAGAAAAAAAUAAAUUGAUUUAUAAUCUAUAUAAAAUUACAUUUAUACCAUUUUCUUUCAAUUGGGUCUAACUUAAUGUGUCCUUAUCCAAAAUAAAUUUUUCUCGAGUCAAAGACUUCUAAUUAAUUAGAGCUAUUCAAUGAGUACAAUAUUGAUAUACUUACAAUAUCUAUAAAAAUUUUUAGUUGCUACAAUUUCCGUCUUGUUCGUGGGUUCCGUAGCGCUUCCCUACGAGGGUUCACAUCAGUUGCAACUGACGUGAACCAAUGUAGGCAAAUGCUACCCUACGUGGGUUCACAUCAGUUGCAACUGAUGUGAACCUGCGAAGGCAAACUCUACGGAACCCACAAACAAGAUGAAAAUCUUCCCAGGAAAGUCAAAGCAGGGUUUUGAAUUCGAAUUCGAUAAAUAUGAAACCAAGCAACCCGAAUCACCGACGAUGUGCAGACCUCUUGAUUACGCAGAAUUAUGGAAUCUCACCCGGUUGAUUUGAACACCACAAGAAUUAGAUCUUGAUAAAUUCGAAAAUUUUCAAUUGGAAGAACAAAGAGAGAGCAAUUAAAGUCUUUCAAUUAAUCAAUAUGUCAAAGGUUUUUUUUUUUUUUUUUUUACAAUGAAAAUAAUAAGAGUAUUCAUACUAGUCCUAUGAAUCUAGGUGAUUUCGUGCAUAAUCUCCUAAAUAUGGUAAGAAAUCAAUUAAAUAUAUAAUUCUAGCAAUACUAGGAAAAUCACAAAAAAAAAAAAAAACGCGUCUGAAAAUAACCAUGUGGUCGCAUGGUUCAAUUCCAUGCGGCCACAUGGAAUUGAAGUCCGGUCCCCUUCAACUCUCGACCUAGGUCUAUGCAACCGUAGGCCAUGUGUGUUGUGCGGUCGCACAGCUUUGGCUCUCCACUGCGUCUUCGUCUGCCUUUAACACGUUGAUCCAAGUCUCUUUGGCCUUCGAUCCCAACAUGAAACUUGUUCCAUUUUGUGUCCCAAACAUGAUUUCAUCAACGGUUGUCUUGACAAGCGAUCCCAUCACCUCUUUUACUCGCUUCGCCCUUGCUCGAGUCAUCGGACCGCCCUUGACUAUCAACGGAUCUUUCUUUGGGCUUGACGUUGGAUUUGACCUUGACGCUUGUGGCUCCUGGAUCACAUCAACCUCUAAUUUAUCCAAUUGAUGUCAUAUGAUCUUCAAUCAUUGUUUUGUGGUCCAAAUUAACUAUUAGAUGUUUACACUUUGAUCCCCGAACUUUGGAAUUCCUUUGUCUUCACAUGUUUUUCGUUCAUUUCUUCCAAAUCUAUCCAUGUGCAUUGAUUUCAACAUAACAAACAUAAUUAACACAAAAUUAUGCUAUAACUCAUUCAAGUCACUAACAAAUAUCCUAAUUCGAUGGCCUUGAGUUGAUGAGGACUUCACUUAUUUCGGGCUUCUACUUGGAUGUUAUUUAUUUUAUGUUUUAUUAUUUUAAUUGGAUUGUAUUUAUAGACUAGCCCAAGGCCCUCUUAUGCUUUAGGAUUGCUCUUUUUCUCCUAUAUUAAUGAAUGUGUACUAUAAUUGGAGGGACGACAAUGAAAUGAAAUGAAUGAUAUGCCUGAUGCAUAAGUUUUCUUCUUUCCCCUCUCCCUAAGUUCUUCUUCUCUAUUUUUUUGGUGCUACUGCUCUAUUUCUUCUCCUACCCUUCUAGAUUAUUUCCCCUUCUUGCCUCUUCCCCCAAAUCUAUCCUACAUAAUAUCACCUCUCGUGGGAAAAUGAUCCCACAAAGAAAAGAAUUGUAUAGUACAAAAUAACAUAAUUGUUCACUAAAUCAUUGAGUAAUUGGCCAUAAAAUUCAAAGCAUUGAAAACAUUAUUAAAAUCCGAACAUAUAAUCAUAAUAAAUAAGAAUCUCAAAUGAAAGAAAUAAAUGGUCCCAAAUAGGUUACGUUGUUCACCCUAAAAUUAGAUUUAGCUACUCAUAGUACUGAAAAAAAUAAGUUAUUAUGGAAGAUAUCACCGGGUUUUGAAUAAGAAUAUAGUAUAAGAAAUCAAUCUUGCAACAAGAUUUUCUUCCUCUUUCAAUUUAUGCUUCAAAACUUGGAUGGACUGAUGUUUUUCUCUCUUGAAUUCGGCUUUCAAUUCUUCAAUGUUAUUAAGGUGUUUUUAUGCAUAGAAGCGUCUCCCCCAUGUUUAUAGGAUGUUCUGGUACUUAUAUGGCUCCAAUUUAGGUAAAAAAAUAUCGCCCAAUAUCAUUCCAAGUUGAGUUUUAAUUGUAUAAGGAAACUUGGGAUUCGGCCAAACUUUUGUACUAACGCGACCGCAUAGUUAAAAGUUUUUUCCGUCGGAUAGUUUUCUGUAUUUUAGUCAUAUCUUUCUCACUUGAUAUUCGAUUGAGAUGUUUCAAAGUGCGUUGGAAAGAUAAGUCAAAGAUCUACAAUUCUUUUAGAUAUAGCAUUUCUCCAAUUCGAAUGUUUUCUAACUGAAAAAAGGGUAUCAAGUUGAGGCUAAAAAUUCGAAGCAUAAUUUUUUUUUGGCUGGAAGUUGAUUUGUGAGAAUAUUUCGACGCUAUUUCACUCAUUUGACUUCUUUCCUCAUUCGAUUGACUCCUAACACUCUCAAAUCUUCAUCAUAAAGUUUGACACAACUUUUCGGUAUACACAUUUUGGUCCACAAACUUUGGAUCUUACUCUUUUCCGGGUUUCGCUCUUGUUUCUUCCAAGUUCUUGUACCAUCAUUGAAUUUUACUUAUUCAACAUCAAACGCAACAAUUUAAACCAUAAUUCAUUUGAGAAGAAAUUAAAUAUUAUCAUUUUAAGGCCUUGAAUAAGUGUACAAAAUAUACUUACCAAAUACCCCCAAUCUUAAACAUUUGUUUCCUCAAGCAAAACUAUCAUCUAAAUAACUAUGAACACACAAGCACGCAAAAGAUAACAAUCAAGCAUUUUACCUCAGGUUUGAUAAUUUGAUGCUUAUUCCAAAAUCAUGCUUCAAGUCACAAUACCAAACCAAUAUCUACUCUUCUAUUGAAUUAAUCAACCAUAACUGAACAAGUUGUUUCAAUUCCCGACCCUGUGGGGUCAAAUAUAUCCUUACAUUUUUUGUGUGAUUCACUCACCCCCAAACUUAUUUUUUUAGUCAUUCCCAGUGUAUAAUCUAAUGUUGAAUAUUUUAUUACUAUCGUCACCCUCUGGAGCUCAAUUGGACGUUAUUAGUUGCAAGUUAACAGCUCAAUGAACAGGAGAUUCUCCAAUUAUUUGAUUGCUUUGACCGCCACGACUCAACUAGCUAAUUAUCCUUCGUAAAAAGUCAUAUUCCUUCAAAUAAAUGUUGGGCUUGACCAAGGUAUUUAGUGAUUUUGCUCUUUUCAUCCAUUUGCUUUUUCUGUUUUUCAAAAGUUUUUUUGUUUUAACAUUCUCUUCAUUAAGCAUUCUAGAUGACCCCUAUAGUAGGCAUUAGGCUAAUAACUUCCAAAUUAGAUGAUUUUACGGAACCAGGUUUUAAACACCCUUACAGGCUUACUGACUGACCCGAGUAAAAAGGGUUUCGAAGAGAACCAAUUUUUGUUUCAAGUGCAACUUCAUUUUGAUUGCCUUCUAAAUGACCCUUAUACCAAGUUUUAAAUUGAUGACUCCUAAGUCAGAUGACUUUAGGAUACCAGGUUUUAAGAUACCAUUGCAGACUUAAUUACUCGAAUCAUGAAGACUUCAAAGAGACAUUUUUAGAUUUCAAAUGCAUAUGCCUUGAUUAUUGCAAUGUCUCUAUCACACACUUAUUCAAGCAAAUCGACCUCUAACUUAAGACUUUUGCCUAGUUUUAUCAUGUUAGUCUAAAACAAUCUACACUUAAGUUUACACAAAUGGAAUCCACAUUCAUCUCCGUAUCUUCCUAAAACUGUAAAAUCACCUCCAAACUGCGCUAAAUUCGGUCUAAGAAUAAAUAAUGUAAUAUGGUUUAGGUAAAGCAUCUAUGUCCAAUUAAAUCAACAUAUCAAACAAAUGAAUCAAUUCAUUUCAUCACAGUGUCAAACUCUUUUCUAGUCCGCCUAUAAUAUCAAGUUCUACAAGGUUAAAUUUCAAUCAAUCUAGCAUGCAUACUAUCCACAGUUCAUAGAUCAAUACUAAAUCUCAAAGUAAAUCAUCAUUGUCAGCCAAACUGUCCAACUAAAGCAAAAAUUUAGGUAGGCAAUUAGGCAAUUAAUAAUACACCCCAAACUUAAACUAAACACUGUCCUCAAUGUGAAAUUUAAAGGAAAAUGAGGGGGCUUUCCUGAAAUGUCAAUAUUGCCUAUGAUGUUGUGGUGCCUUGGUGUUGAAUUUGAUCGAAUCUUCUUCUACAUUAUCCCCUAAACUUGAGAUUUAUCUCGUGUUCUCCUUGUCAAUGUUAGUUUGAGUCUUCUACGACGUCAAGUCUCUAAAAAACUCAAAUUUGAAAUAUUAGAUACAUGGAACGAUUUACUUAGCUCAAACAUCUAAUAACCAACUUAGUUACUAAAUGACCGAAAGGUAAAUGUGAUAUGGGUGAUGACUCCUAAAUAGACUAACAAAUAAAUUAGACUAUCCUAUAAUUUGAAAAUAAAAUAAAUAAAAGAAGAAAGCUUGGAUUGCCUCUUAAGAAGCGCUUCUUUAAAGUCAUUAGCUUGACUUUUUGCAUUAAUUGAUCAUGGUUGCUGGAACCAAGUUAUUCUAUCAUUGCGCUUUGUGCAAUAUUUAUAUAUGCAACCUUUUUUGCUCUCCAAAUUUUCAUAAUUUCAUUUUCAUCUUGUAACGUGCAAUAUUUAAAUAUGCAACCUUUUUUUGCUCUCCAAAUUUUCAUAAUUUCAUUUUCAUCUUGUUACAACUCAAUUUUUAUAUUCAAAAAUUCAAAUGUUGACUACUCAAGAUCAUAGUCAAUUAAGGACUAAAAUGAAUUAAAUAAAAUAAACAAUAAUCUAUCCAUAUUUAUAAACUAAACCCCCAAGGUUAAUGAUGGCCAUUUAAAACCCUUAAGUAAUGUCAAUUAUAGGAGUUGGUAGAAUACAAUUGGCACUUUGAAAACCAUUAUCUUCAUUUUUUCCCACACACAUAUACACUAGAAGCUAGAAACGGGUAGAAGGAGAAAAAAAAAAUGGCAGGAAGAACCGAGAGAAACUGAGAAAAAGAAAGGAGAAGAAGAUGAAAGAUAAAGGAAAUAUGAAACACUAGGAAACUAGAAGCUAGGAACUAUUCCAUCUUUUCUCCAAUUUAAAGUCCUGUUUGGCUGUAAUAUAAGGUAAGUUAAGAACUUCAAUUUGGUUGAAAUUUUUUCGAGUUGGGAGUAGUAAUAAAGAAGAGCAUGACAUUGAAGAGUGAUGGGAACUAAAGAGCGGUAUGUGUUUGUAAAAUUGUCAUAGAAAAAUUAGUCAUUAUGGGAGUUUAGUGUAGCUUGUUUAUUUGCAAUUACCAUUUAAUUAAAUGAACUUGUGAUUAAAGAACAAGGAAUUGAAAUGGAAAAUUGGGCAUUUAUACGUAUAGUGGCAAACAUGUAUGUAAGAAACAAGGAAAGGAAAUUGAAUAGGUAGAAAGACAGUUGAAAAUUUUAUAUGCAUAAAAGUAAGAAGAUGUUGGGUUCUUGCUUCAGCAACCAAACUCGAAAAGGAAAGAAAUGUUUUGUGUCAUUUUAUUAAUACUUUGGAAUGGGAAAUUGUGUAUAUAUUAGCAUAUGGAUAUGUGUGCUCACUUGACUAAAACGGGAAGAUAAAAAGAAAUGAGUAAUAGUUGAGAUUUUGAGGUUUGGCUGAUUUUUCAGGUUGGUUUUGUCCAUGUUUAAGGGGAAACUUUGUCAAAUUUUUUAUAGAAAUAUGUCACAGUCAAAGCAGGUCAAGUUUGCCUUGGUGGUGGGUCUAGCAUUUAGCUGGCAUCUACCAUUGGAGCACGACAUGUGUCAAGUCAAUUAGGUUGAAUCGGGACGGGUCGUGUCACAUCUCUACCAAAAAGUCCUCCAAAAUUUGGUUUUCUUUCCUAACAGCUUCGUUGAUCAGGUGUCUCUUCUUCAUCAAUUCUACAACAACUUUUGAUUUGGGAGUUGGCUCAUAUUGAGUAUAAAUAUUGAAUAUGUCUUGCUUGUCCUCCAUCCUCAAUACCAACUCACCAUUCUCCAUGCCAAUUAGGGUUCGUCCCAUUGCUAAGAAUGGAAAUAUCUCGAUCUUCUGGUAUGUCCAGGAAAUAUAAAGUUUCCUACUUGUACGAAUACAUCCUCAGCUUUGCCACGUAGGCUUACAAUUGUUCUAUCAGCUAGUUGUAGCAUUAUUGAUGUUGAUUUGGCUUUACCUAGUUCCAAUUUUCCGUAAACGGAAUAUGACAUUAGGUUGGUACUUGCACUUGUGUCACAAAAUGCUUUAACUGAAUAGGGAUUUCCAAUUGAAACUAGCAAAGUAAAACUCCCUGGAUCCUUCAACUUAAGAGACAAUUUUUCAUGACCCUUGUAUUACUUUUCUCAGUUAAUGCCACAGUCUCAAAUUCUAGAAUCCUAUUUUCUUUGUCAACAUCUCUUUCAAAAACUUCGCGUAGCUUGAAAUUUGUAAUAUUACAUCAAUGAAUGGAAUAUUAAUCUGGAGCUUUUUGAGAGCAUCAAGAAAAUUUUUGUAAUUUGUGUCUUGUUUGUUCUUCUUAAGCCUUUGAAGAAAUGGAAUGGGAGACAUAUAAGUUUUGACUGGACUCGUUGCCUUGGUAAUAGAUGUUUCUGCACUUACUUUAUUUUUCGUUGAGGUUGGUGCAGAUUUUCCACCUUGGUAGAUUCAUCAAUCACAUUCUGGUCAUCUUCACCUUCUGAUCUCUUUGCAUUAAUUUUUGACGAUUAUACCUCACCCUUUGUAGCUAUAUAUGAAUAUUUUGCUCUGUUGAAUUCUUUUAAAGUCUUUGGGGAAAUGGAAGUGAGGGUACAUAUACUUUAACGUUCGUAGAGGCCCUAGGUAGAUUGUUUUCCACUACUCUAAUUACCAUCACCUGUUCUUUAGGAUUUAUCAUUGUAUUGUUGCACUAUUUGACCAAUUUGUUUCUCCAGUUUCUUGAAGGAUGCAUGCUGAUUUUGAAAGUUUGUGUCAAUUUGCUAAACACAUUGUCUGUCUUCAGCAUAUAUUGAUUGAACAUCUCACCCAAACUUGGUUUUUCUUUGGUUGAGUAUUAUUUGAUCUAUUCCCUUGUUGAUUAUCUGACCAUCUGAAGUCUGGGUAUUGCCUCCACCCUGGGUUAAAUGCUUGUGAAAAUGGAUUAAAAUUUCGAUAGUCAUUCUGAACGCAGUUGACUUGAUGAUUGUCUGACCAUCUGAAGUCUGGGUAUUGCCUCCAUCCUUGUUGAUUAUCUGACCAUCCCAUAAACGUUCAGUUUUCUGUCAGAUGAUUGGCUCUGCAAUUCUCACAUGAUGGAUAGCUAUCAUUGCAUUUGCUCCAUGUGUUCGCAAUUUUACAAAUAACUAUACCUAUUUUAUUAAAGCUGUUAUCAAUGCAUUGGUAGAUGUUGUGUUGUCUAAUUCAUAUUUUCUAGCUGCCUUUGGUGGUACUACUCUUUCUGAUGAAAACAUUGAAUGUAUGGUGACAAUUAACUCAAAAGAUACAUGGUUUGUUGCACUGAUUUUCCUAUGAUUGAUCUGGCAGUAGAGGCAUCCACAUGAGAUUUUUACAAUAGUGUAAGUCCGGUGUAUAAAUACUUUAGUUGGUUUCCUAUAGUGAUUCCAUAGUUUGGACACUUUAUCAUCAGCUCAUUAAAUCUAUUCCAUGCCUCAUGAUAGCUCCCCUUCUCUUUGUUGAAAAGUUUGAAUUUCCAACGUGAUUUUUGCUACUUUCGUCUGUGAGCAGAAUUUUCUAGUCAAUUCUUCCCAUCUAGUAAUGCUUCCAUGAGGUUUGAUAUCUUACCACUCCAAUGCAGCAUCUCUCAGUGUAAAUGAAAAUAAUCAUAAUUUAAUGGCGCCUUCAUUAACCACUAAAGCAUGGAAGUUUAGACAUUUUCUAAGAAAUUUGGGGAUAUCUGUGUUCGAAUUUUUAUGAGGUAACACGUAGAAUUGGAGAUUGUUGCUCAUCAAGUUAAUUCAAUCUAGCCUAAUCUGAAAAUUAAUCAUCCCAAAAUCUAGAUACAUAAUACUGGAGCGCGCGAUGCUGCUUAAGUGUUAGGAACAUUGAGACUGGAAAAUCUCCUUCAUUUACUUUCCCUUGCUCUUGCCGUUAUUCUUAUGGCGUGGUUUCUCUCACGACCACUUGUCCAAUUGGUUGAAUAGGUAUAGAAAUAUGUCGAUUGUCGACCAUUUGAUGUUAUUGUUUUUCUUUGUGUUCUUUGCUUCUUCAUUAGAAAGUACGUUCUAUCUCCGAAUCAAAUGAUUCAAAAUCAUCGCCUUGGGCAUGAAGCAUACAACGAACAUAGUUUUCUGUAAAUAAAAGAAAAUAAACAAAUAAAAUAAUAGUUAAAGAAUAAAAUAAAUUAAGAAUGAAAGUACAUAGUCUCCGAUAACGGCGUUAAAAACUUGCUAUCAAUUUUAUAUCCGCAAGUGUAUGGAUCAUAACAAGUAGUAAAGUGGACCUUUUGAGUCCAAAUUAUCGUUCCCACGAGGACUCUACUUUAAUACUCAAUUUGUUAUUUCUAACUUCUAUUUGAUGAAAAUAAACAAGGACAAUGAUUGAUUAUGAUUUUGAAUCUAACUACCUAAUAAUACGUGGAUGCGCACAAAGAAUGAUUGAGAAUUAAAAUAAAUAAAUGGAUAUUAGGGUGGAACAAUUUCAUCGAUUGAUCACCUCUAAGUCUUAAAUCAAGAUUCAUAAAACCUAGGGGAGUGUUUGGUCGAGUUGUCCAGUUGUAUUCAAUUUACCCCUCUCGAGUUCUCGUUGAGCCUAUUUAACUACUUCAAUUCCAUAUCUCUAUGCGAACCAAGCUUAGGUAAAUGAAAUAGUAUUUCUAAAAAUUCAUUUUUGACCGUAGUAAUAAAUAUAUAUAUAUAUAUAUAUCUCUGCACAUUAUAUUAAUUUAUGAAAUUUUAAUGUAUGGUCUAAACAAAGAAUCCGCAUCUAUACAUAAUUAUUUUUCACUAAAUUACUGAAUAAUUGGCUGAAAAAUUCGAAGCAUUGAGAAAAUGAUUAAAAUCCACACAUAUAAUCGUAAUGAACAAGAAUAUCAAAUAGAAGAAAUAAAGGGUCCCAAAUAGGUUAUAUUGUUCGCCCGAAAAUUAGAUUUAGGUACUCAUAGUAAUUAAAAAAAAAAAAAAAAGUUAUUGUGGAAGGCAUCAUUGGGUUUUGAAUAAGAAUAUAGAAGAAGAAACCAAUCUUGCACCAAGAUCUUCUUCAUCUUCCAAUUUAUGCUUCAAAACUUGGAUUGCUUGAUGUUUUUCUCCCUUGAAUUCGGCCUUCAAUUCUCCAAUGUUUUUAAAGUGUUUUUAUGCAUAAAAGAGGCUUCCCCAAGUGUAUGGGACAUUUUGGUACUUAUAUGGAUCCAAUUUAGGUAAAAAAAAACAUAUCGCCUAAUAUCAUUCCAAGUUGAGUUUUAAUUGUAUAAGGAAACUUGGGAUUUAGCCAAACUUUUGUACUAUGCUACCGCACAAUACAUUACCAUGCUACCGCAUAGAUCACUUUCUGGACUCCAAAUAAUUCUCUGCAUGCAUAGAUGCGACCGCAUGAUUUUAUAAUUAUGCAACCGCAUAGUUAUAAGCUUUCCCGUCAGACAGUUUUUAGUAUUUUUGUCAUAUCUUCCUCUCUGAACAUCCGAUUGAGAUGAUUCAAAAUACAUUGGAAAGAUAAUUCAAAGAGUUAGAAUUAUUCUGGAAUAGUAUUUCUCCAAUUCAAACUUUCUCUAACCGAAAAAUGGGUAUAAAUUUGAGGCUAAAAGUUCGAAGGAUAAUUUUUUUGGCCGGAAGUUGAUUUGUGAGAAUACUUUGACACUAUUUCACUCCUUUGACUUCUUUCCUCAUCCGAUUGACUCCUAACACUCUUGAAUCUUCUUCGUAAAGUUUGACACAACUUUUGAGUAUUUAUAUUUUUGUCUUCGAAUUUUGGAUCUUGCUCUUUUAUGGGUUCUCCUCUUGUUUCAUCCAAUUUAUUGUACUAUCAUCGAAUUUUACCUAUUCAACAUCAAAUACAACAAUUUAGACCAUAAUUCAUUCAAGAAGCAAUUAAAUAUUAUCGUUUUAAGGCCUUGAAUUACUCUUAUCAAUUUGUAACCAAGCAGUGGUCUUCACACCGUCCUAGAGAGAGUUGUCAUGGACGAAAAAUAAGCACUGGACUCAGGUGUAACAGAUACAGAUCUGAACAGACAAAAAAUGCUUCCCCAAACAGGAAUGAGAAAAGGCUCAUUUGAGAAUUCAAGAAUGCAACCAUGUACCUUCUUCGGACACAUUAAAGUAGUAUUGAGGAUAAAAAAAACCAAAGAAAAUCAGUUACAUGACCCCAUCCGUGAUGUUAAUGUGGAACAGAAGAUGAAUUGGUUAGUACACUUGAUUUAAAUAGAAGAGGAAUUGAGAUUGAAAUUGUUGAUUGUUUUGGAAAGAUGAAUGCUAAAGCCUACCUCGAUAGAUUGACAAAGAGGAGCUCAAAGUAAUCUGGAGGUGGGCAAAGAAUAUGAAAAGGUCUUCUCAUCAGAGUCGAGUUUGCCAACACAAUGAGGAUGAAAGUGGAGUAAUUACAUGAAACAAAAUUGCUAAGAAUAUUAAUUAUUAUCUUGACCUGACGUGUUACUUUAUUUCCUACAAUCAUGACCGAAGUUCUCAAGUUUGCUCAAGGGUUUUUUUGGCCCCAUUUUUUGGGAGAAAUAGAUUUUCUAAAAGUGAUUUUUUGGAAAAAAAGUGGUUAAAAAGUAAGAAAAAUUUUGGAACUAUGCGUAAAAUUAUUUGAUCGAGAGAAUGAGUGAUUGAAAAAUAAAUUUGGAAAAAAUGAGUUUUUAAAGAAUGAAGCUCAAACAGGGGGCUAAAUUUCAAAUUAUAUUUAUGCAUCUUAUGGUUUCUGUAGAUUUUGUGAUAAGAAAACAACCACUUAAGUGUAAAGGCACUUUAUUAUUUUUUGUAAGGGCAAGAAUUUAUGGAGCUUAAGAACAACUCUCUAAGGGCGGACUGCCGUGACUUAUUUAUUCAUCAUUUUAUUGCUGAAUCCGAAAGUAACAUGCUAGGUUCUUUUUUCCUUGACUCAUAUAGAUGUUGUUCCCUUGAAUCAUUUUCUCUUUGAUAUUUUGCGCUUCUUAUUUGCUGCUGGAUUUCUUUUUUGGGUGUAAACUGCACCAACAGCUUCGUAGGAUUGUUUAAUUCAUAUUUACUUCACCAUCAGAAACUAAGAAAUAAUUACCUAACUAUAAAAUGACAAAUAAAUACAUGUGCUGCUUCAUUUGCAACAUUCUUAGUCCAAAAAGAAAGUUUGUAUUGCCUUAGGGAGACACUGGUGACCACUUCACAGAUCUCAUCAGCUUCGUCAAAUUGUUCCCCAUCCAGAGCCAUCAACUAAGGAACAAAAAUUUAUCAGUCAAAUAUAAAAAGAUGAACUUGUUAAUUGUAUAAAAAUAAAAUCGCACCAGGGUUCUCGUUAUUCAACCCUUCACAAACAUGCUAAACGGUGUGAAGAAAGAGGUUGUUCCUUUUUUUAACACAGUUUCAAGCCACAUCUCGUCAAGAUUAGCCUUUCUGUUGCUAGUAACAGUCCAUUUGCCUCCGUUAGCACAUUCAGGAUCUUCCCAUUUGGGCUCCAUUCCAGCUUUGAACAAGUGAAAGUCAGUAUCUGCUGUCAACUUGCUUGGCCUAAAUAUCUUAUCAUGUAAACUGCAGGAAAAAUCACCAUUUCAAUUCAUUCCAUUUAUAAAAAGUUCAUCAUACUUCCACAUUAAGUGUUCUUUACACUAUGCACGGUUUAUCAUUUUGUAUAGGCGGCAAGCUGGAGGUUCCUUAAACACAUCUUUAUAUUCUUCCAGCAUAGUUUGCAAGCUAAGCUUCAUUUCCUUAGGUGUCAUGUUUGGUAAGGUGGGUUUUGAUUCAGGUUGGAAGCACAGCGUAAAGCUUGCAUGGCCCUACGCAGAAUUCUAUUAACGAAGCCUCCCGUAUAAUUUGUCCAUCCAUUCCCUGUAGUCGGCAUGCCUGAUUUUCCACACAAAAUCCAUAGUUAAUUCGUUCCAGUUACACACCACAUAUCCUAGCAUUUCCAACCAAUGAAUCCCCAAGAUAAUAUCAAGACCUGAUAGAUUUAGCGAAAAAAGGGUGAGAUAAAAUCCGUGCCUUGCAUGACACAUCCCGUCCCAAGACUCAAGACGUGACGUGCGCGAUGAUAAGUGCCAACUAGGCAGUGGACCCAACACCAAGGCAAAAGUAACUAAACUUUAAUAAUAAAGCAUCAUUUGACCAAUUAAAAUCUUUCUGAACUCCAAUAUACCAACACAAUAAUAUCAUUCACUCGCCUAGCCAACAACAUCCAUAUCAUUUUCAUAAUAACUGCCUCUCAAAAGGAUAAUAGAAGGCAGUUUAGAUUACAAUAUUCCAUCAUGAUCAUUGGUACAUAUAAAUACCAAAAUUUAUUAUUACACAAUUUCAAACAAAAGAACCUAUAAUUGGUGGUAGUAGUGGCUGCAAAACUAUCAAAAUAAUCUCCACCACAGCUCAGUCAACAGCGUCCUAUAAGGAAAAGUUAAGAAAAAAUAUGAGAUAAUAAUCCCAAUGAGUGGAGUGCAUAAAAGAUGGUUAUACAAUUCAAUAAUCUAAAACCAUAAUCUGAAAUCCACAAGUUGAACUGUAAAUGGGAAAGUGUAAGCUAAAGACUAAUAAUCAACUAUAUAAUUAAAAUUCACAUCAAAAUAUAUCCCAUGUAAAUAUCUACUAAUGAUCUAAAAGCUAUAAAUCAUAUGUACAUAAACCGUUUCAUCAAUAUUCUGUACACAACCAUAGUCCCUCAGUGUACAAGAUGGAAACAACGUAAUCAUCCUUAUACACGACUGUAGCCCCUCAGUGGAUAAGAGUUACCCGUACACACGGUUGCAGCCCCUCAGUGUAUAUUGGAUACCUUUACCCACGAUCGUAGCCCCUUAGUGCAGUAGAGUAAGAUAAUCACAUCAAUUAUUUUAUGAUAAUUUCAAAACAAUCGUGCUCGUUUGCUAAUUCUUGAAAAUAAAGCAUUUCAUGUAAUUAACAUGCUUCUAUAAAAUAUAAAGAAAAUCUUCUUUUUGAAAACAUAGAUUCUCCACUCACAGAUAUAGGCUGGACUACCGGGGCUAGUAUGCUGUUCCCACGUCCAAAUCCCCUCCUUAAACGAUCAUAAAUAUAAGCCACUUCAAUUACAUCCAUAUACAGUUACAAGGGAUUUCUCAAUAAUAACCCCUUCUUAUCAUUAAGAUAAAAUAUAUAUCCCACAAUAAGCACUAAGCUGAGAUGUAUAUUUAUAUUUCAUUUGGUUACUUAAACAUACGGUUCACUUAAUUUCGAAUCACUCUACAUCCUUAACUCGUUAAUACUAACCUUUCCCGGCUGCCCCAUCAAGAUUCAACAAGCUUUUCAUGAUAAUAAUAAUCCACAUUCCUUAUUUAAAUUCUCUUUUAACUAAAUACAUGAAACUCAUCAAAAGCUCCUUUUUUAUAUUCUCCAUAUUCAAUCAAAGUGAGAACUCAAGAACAAGAUAAUUUAUUUUCAACCAAUCUAACUUAAUACUACACAACAAUCACAAGGGAAAAUAACAAGAAUGCUAAUUUUUCCCCAAAUUUUCAGAUUAACCCACAUAUGACAAAACCCUAAUAUAUAAAUAUCAUUUCUUCCAAUCCACUAGAAUAACUAGCUCCAAAUACUCAAAUAGUUAACUUCUUUAUCAUAUUUUUCAAGUAUAAGCUAUAAAUUUAAAACCCUAAACAAAAAUUUACAAAAACUAAACCAUAAAUUCUUAACCUUACCUCUUGAAGAAUCAAAUAAACAAGAUUGAAGUAGCUGGCACAAGAUUUCUUCUUUCUUCUUCCUUUUUUCCUUCCUUUCUUUUUCUUUUCUUCCCUUAUCCUUGAUUUUUCCCUCUUCUCUGCAUUCUCUCUCACUCAACACAUUCUAGUGUGUGUUUGUGUGUGAUUUUAGAGGGGAAAAAAAUGGUCAAAGUUUGAAUAUAAAGGCCCACUUGUUCAAAGUUUCAAAGGAAGGUCCCUCUUCUUUAAUAGAAUAUAACAUUUAAAUCCUAAACUUCCAAAAAUAUAUAUAAGUAAAUUCCCAACUUUACAUUGUAGCCAAUUUAACCCUAAUAUAUGGCCAAUUAUAAAAUAAACCCCAAUAAAAUAUUUAAUUUCAUUUUAAUCAUUAAUUGACUUGGAUUUUGACUAAUCAACAUUUGAAUUUUGACUAGAAAAUUUUGGGUUGUAACAUUGCAACUCUACUAUGACUUUGUCAAAGUGUCCUUGUUACUGUAGUCUCUCUCCAUUGGCCACCCAAACGGUAAAAGCUUCAAUGGUUACCAAGUGUAAUUUCAACAUGCUGGCCAAACGAUCACUAAUAAAGUUAUACGUUGAUCUACUGUCGAUCAACACUUUAGCUUUGUCAGGACCCAUUUUGGUUGUCAUUCUCAUAGUCCUAGGCAUUGCUCAUCUAGUUUACGCAUGGAGCGUUAUUACUGGCUCCAAUUCAUUCUCGAAUAGCCGUCCAUUGGUGUCUUCUUGCUACUGUGGGUCAAUAACCUCUUCGCAUAAUACUUUUUUGGCAUCCUCAUAACCUUCUACCAUUAACAGUUGAGGUCUUUGACAUAGAUGCCCUAUUGACAACUUCUCAUUACAAUGAAAACAUAAUCCUUUUGCCCUUCGUCGUUGCAUCUCAUCCCGUGUCAGCCUUUGAAGUUCAACUAGUGCGGUGGAAGUCACACAAGCUGGUGAUGGAAGUGCAAGCAGAGGUCACGUUGGUAGUGAUUGUCGCCGGUAUCUCAUCUGCUUUGUAAGCUAGUUAUCUCGCAUCCUAGCCAAACUGAUGGCAUAUUUAAUGUUUGUGGUUAUAACACACGUAUCCCAUCAACAAUUUAAGUUUUUUAGACCAUCCAUGAACGUCCCAAAAAGGGCCUUCUAUGUCCAUCCUCUAACUCAAUUCCCAAGCCUUUCAAUCUCUCGUUGGUAUUCUCUUAAUGAUCCAACUUGUCUGACCUGUGAGAGGGCCUUAUCAAAGUCUUCACAAUCCGAUGGCCCAAACCAAGUCAAUAGCUCAUCUUCAAAGUCUUCCCAAGAUAGUACCACGCCGUCAUUUUUGUAUGACCUCCAAAGCCACUGCCACCAUUGGUUUGCCUCACCCUCCAAGUGAAAAGUUUCUAAGGACACCUUCUGAGCUUCAGGUAUGGCUUGAAAUUCAAAGAACUGAUGUACAUGUAGGAUCAUCUCCUGUGUACUGCUGAAACUCCAAUUUUACCAUUUUUUUAUGAACACACCAAUCGUAUUCCUUUGAUGUCCUCUGCAGGUUGUUAUCAUAGCUGUUUCGUGAAUUUUCUCCUCGUUCAUUAUUGCGGAAGGUAGUAUUGGAUCCUUCCCAAAAUGAACGCAGCAUUUUAGUUAGGCGAUUGAAGUUAUUCUCCAUAUUCUGGAACUUGUCGCGACCCCUCACUCCACACGGUUCAUCCCUUCUUGACGACCAUAAAGCUCAGCCUCCAAGUUCUCACUUUGUUCCUUAUUGGUUGACAUCUCACAAUGACACCGGCUUUGAUACCACUAAUGGCGAUCCCAUUCAAAGACGGAUAGAAUGCGAAGAUUAAUUCUCUUAGGAUGAGCAUUGUACCACAAUUUUGCUAAAUAAUUCUGGAUGCCUUCUUUAUUCAUGAUCAUGGCUUUAAACAAGCCAAGCUUUAACAACUUAUGCUGAAUUUCAGCUAAAGGAAAAUGCAGUAGAAUGAAAUAAAAAUAGAAAUUGGAACAAACUUCUAAACUACUCAAUGCCUAGUUGACUUAGCCUUCACUUGUGUAACGUUGGAGGCUUUAUUCCUUGUGUAAUCCAUGCAGCCAAUAGCCCAUAUACUUCGGAUUCGAUUGUGGCUGCCUCCCCGACUUGUUGAAAUUAUGGAGCCUAAGUUUUAGGCUUCACAGAUUCUCAUGGUGUCAGAUACAUUUUUUCAAAAGGUGGCAACAAAUGUUGAAAAAAACAAUGUGUAUGGAAAUAUCUUGCAACCAUGCAGCCGUAUUUUUGGAAGAAUUUUUUUUGCCAUGCAUUUAAUGAAAGGUUGCCUUUGGUUGAAAAUGUUGGAUUUGCAACUAAUGAGGGUGGAAAGUUUUUUACUAUAAAUACGAGGUCAAAGCAGGAGCAAAUAUAGAUGUAAAAAAGAGAAGUGCAAGAAAGGUGUUGAGUGAAAAUAUGAGAGACUAUGAGCAAAGCACAAAAGUGAGAAGCAGUUAGGCUUUAGUUUGUGCAGAAAAUUAACGAGAGAAAAUUGAGAGAUUGCUUUUGCAUAGGCAGAUAAAAUACAAAGAGUGUAUUUGUUGUAUUCCUUUUUUUCUUGUUGAUAUAGUAAAAAACUUGGUGUGAGUUUGUGGAUGUAGGCACGAUUCCUGAACCAAGUAAAUUCUUGUGUCAUUUCUACUUAUUAAUUUUUUGCCACAUUUAUUUCUUCUCAGUUUAAAUUAUUUUGCGUCCCAUUGAUCCUGACGGAAUUAAUAGCAGUCUAAUUCCUAACAACUGGUAUCAGAGCUCCAAGAUUUAAGUGGGAGCAUUGAAAACAAACAAAAAGAUAUCUAAAAUCGAUAAGUUUGAUGGUACAAACUUUGGAUUUUGGAAGAUGCAAAUGGAGGACUAUUUGUACCAGAAGGAUCUAUAUAAACCACUUCACAAAAAGUCGAAGGACAUGAUAAACGACGAGUGGGAAUUGCUUGAUCAAAAGGCUCUUGGUGCAAUAAGGCUGACAUUAUCAAAGUAAGUUGCUUUCAACAUAAAAAAAUGAGAAGACAAUGGCAUCUCUCAUGGCGGCCCUAUCUAGUAUGUACGAACAACCAUCUGCAGCAAACAAAGUUCAUUUAAUCAAAAAGUUAUUUAUUAUGAAAAUCACGAAAGGCGAAAGAUUUGGAGAACAUCUAAAUGAGUUCAAUGAAGUGACGGGCCAAUUAAACACGGUCAAAAUCAUGUUCAAUGAUGAGGUUCGAGCUUUGUUGAUUCUCGAGCAGUUGCAUGAGAGUUGGAAUGGCAUAGUUACAGCAAUUAGUAGCUUUGUUGGAAAGUCCAAAUUGAAGUUUGAAGAUGUUGUAAGUAUGAUCCUGACCGAGAAAAUACGAAGAUAGACAGAAGGUGUUUCCACCUCUGGAGCCGCUUUGAACAUGGAGAGCAGAGGCAGAAGUUCAAAUAGAAGUAAAGGGCAUAACAAGAGCAAAUCAAGGUUUUGCAGAUCAAAAUCUAGAUAUCCAAAGAAUUUCAAUUUUUUUUUAAAGUUGUUGAAUGUUGGAAUUAUGGCAAGACCAAACACUACAAAAAUCAGUGUCAAGUUUCCAAGAAAGAAAAUGAAAAUAAAAUCGAGGCCAAUGUUGUAGCAAAAGAAUCUGAUGAUGCUUUGAUAUGCUCUUUGGAAAGCAAAGCAGAAUACUGGGUCAUAGAUUCUGGAGCAUCUUUUCAUGCCACCUCAAACAGAGAACUCUUUAAAAGUUAUGAAGCGGACAAUCUUGGAAAAGUAUAUCUUGGUGAUGACCAACCUUUUGACGUAGUCGGCAAAGGUGAAGUACAGAUCAAGCUUAAUGGAGCUGUAUGGAAAUUGAAGGAUGUCAGAAACCAUUCCAGACUUGAGGAAGAACUUGAUAUCUGUGGGCCAACUAUCAAAUGAAGGUUAUGUUACAACCUUCAACAGUGAUAUUUGGAAGGUUUCCAGGGAUGCAAUGACCAUAGCACGAGGCAAGAAAAGUGGUACUCUUUACACCACAAUGAGUGCCUACGGAAUAAUUGCAGUUGCUAAUUCAAAUGAAGGUCUGAAUCUAUGGCACCAAAGACUGGGGCACAUGAGUCAGAUAGGACUCAAGUACAUGCAUGGUAAAGGGAAACUAUUGGGACUUCAAUAUUUGAUGUAGACCUAUGUGAGAUUUGCAUUUUCGGGAAGCAGAAGCGGGUGUGUUUCAACAAGUGUGGUAGAAUUUCGGAGGAAAAAAAUCUAGAGCUAGUCCACACGGAUGUCUGGGGGCCAACUGUAGUUCCAUCUAUUGGCGAAAGUCCUAUUUUGCGACUUUCAUUAAUGAUCACUCCAGAAAAAGUAUGGGUCUAUUUCUUGAGACACAAAUUCGGAGUGUUCGAGAUGUUCAAGAAGUGGAAAGCUAUGGUGGAGAAUGAAACAGGUUCGUGAGUAAAGAAAUUGAGAUUAGAUAAUGGCGGAGAGUACGAAUAUGUUGAUUUUAAAAAGUUCUAUUUCUAGAAUGUUAUCAAAUUGGAAAGAACGUUGCCAGGAACACCGCAACAAAAUGUUGUGUCCAAAUGAAUGAAUCAGACGUUAAAAGAAAGAGCCAGCAGCAUGCAGUUUCGUUCUGGUUUGUCUAAACAAUUUUGGGCCAAAGCUAUCAACAUAGCAGCAUACUUAAUCAAUCACGGGCCAUCAGUGCCUUUGGAGUACAGGAUACCGGAGGAAGUAUGUAGUGGAAAAGAAAUAAAACUUUCUCAUUCGAAAGUUUUUGGUUGUGUCGUAUAUGUACAUAUUAGUGAUCAAGCUAGGGAUAAGCUUGACCCCAAAUCACUAAAGUGUACCUUCAUUGGAUAUGGUGGAGAUGAGUUCGGGUAUCGCUUUUGGGAUGAUAAGAACAAAAAGGUCAUCAGAAGUCGGGAUGUCAUAUUCAAUGAAAGGGUGAUGUACAAAGACAGCGAUACAGUGCUGUCCAGUGACUUACAUGAUAAUCCAACAUAUGUUGAGUUGGAUGAUACUCUAAGUAGUAGUAUGUCAAAGCCGACAGAUGAGAGUCCUCAGCCAGAGAAAGCUGUUGCAGACACUUUACCAAAGCCUCCAACUUCUAUUCCUAGAAGAUCUUCUCGAUCACAUGUUCCAAACAGAAAGUACAUAAAUUAUCUGUUACUAACUGAUACCGGUGAACCUGAAUGCUAUGGUGAGGCAUGUCAGGGAGAAGAUGCGAUUUAGAGGGAGCUUGUAAUGAAAGAUGAGAUAAAGUCUCUUAUCUCUAAUCAAACGUGGGAACUAGUGAGUUGCCAUUAGAAAAGAAGGUUCUACACAAUAAAUGGGUCUAUUGAGUCAAGGAGGAACAUGAUGGAUCAAAGGGAUACAAGGCAAGAUUGGUGGUCAAAUGCUUUCAAUAGAAAAAAGGAAUUAACUACACGGAGAUUUAUUCUUUAGUAGUAAAGCUAACAACAAUUUUAUUAGUCUUGAGUAUUGUUGCAACAGAGGGGUUGCACUUAGAGCAGUUAGAUGUGAAAACUGCCUUCUCUAUGGUGACCUGGAAGAGGAGAUAUUUAUACAGCAACCAGAGGGUUUCUCAAUCAAAGGAAAAGAAAAGCUUGUGUGCAAAUUGAAGAAAAGUUUGUACGGCUUAAAACAAGCUCCGAGACACUAGUACAGGAAGUUUGAUGAAUUUAUGCAGAAAAAUAGCUACUACAAGUGCAAUGCUGACCAUUGUUGCUAUUUUAAGAGGCUAGAGUCUAGCUUCAUUAUUUUGCUACUUUAUGUUGAUGAUAUGAUAGUAGUAGGAUCAGACAUGAACGAAAUCUAGAAAUUAAAGAAGUUAGUAGAAUUUGAAAUGAAGGACUUGCGUCCAGCUAAACAAAUUCUAGGGAUGAGAAUAUGUAGGGACAAGCGAAAAGGCAUUUUACAUCUAACCCAAGCCAAGUACAUUAGUCAAGUUUUGCAGGGGUUCAACAUGAACAAUGUAAAGGCAGUUAGCACGCCAUUGGCUAAUCACUUCCGUCUAUUAAACGACCAGUCUCCGAAAAUAGAAGAUGAAAAAAACUCCAUGGCUAAUAUUCCAUACGCCUCAGCCAUUGGAAGUUUGAUGUAUGCCAUGGUUUGUACAAAUAUUGCUCAUGUGGUGGGAGUUGUGAGCAGAUUCAUAACCAAUCCAGGAAAACAGCACCGAAAAGCAGUGAAGUGGAUACUAAGAUAUCUACAUGGUACUAUUGAUAAAUGUUUAUGUUUCAAAAGAGGUGAGUUGGUACUACAAGACUUUGUAGAUGUAAAUUUUGCUGUCAAGGUCGAUCACAGGAAAAGUACCACCGGUUAUGUAUUCAAAGUUGGUACUACUGCAGUGAGUUGGGUUUCGCAAAAAUAGAAUAUUGUUGCUUUAUCCACUACAGAAGCAGAGUACGUGGCAGUAACCGAAUCUAGCAAAGAGAUGAUUUGGUUACAAGGUUUGUUAACAGAAUUGGGUUUCAAGCAGGGGAAGAAUGUUUUGCACAGUGAUAGUCAAAGUGCUAAACAUCUGGCAAAGAAUGCAGCAUUUCAUUCGAGAAUGAAGCAUAUAGGACUUCGUUAUCACUUUAUCAGAUCUCUCUUGGAAGAAAGAGUAUUGACACUGGAAAAGAUCCAGGGCAGUAGAAACCCAGCUGACAUGUUAACCAAAAUAGUAACUAUGGAAAAACUGGAGUUGUGUUCAACUUCAGUUGGCCUUCUAAAAUGAAGAUGAGGAAAGUGAUCCAUACCAAUUUCGCAAAAAAUGGAACUGCUCACGGGAUGUCUCAAGGUGAAGCCACUAGGGAUGUCAAACGAGCCAAGCGACUCGUUGGCUCGACCGCUCGACUAGUUAAAACCCAGCUCGUGGACGGCUCGAGCUCGUCAAAUGAUGAGCCCGAGCCUGAGCUGAGCAAGGAGAUCAACCCCACGAGUCGAGCCCAUGAGCUGCUCGUGGGCUAUGAGAUGAGCUCGAGCCCAAGCCGAGCAGGGGACUCAAUCCCACGAGUCGAGCUUUGCUUAGCUCAUUGAGCCCAAGAGCCAUUUUGAUGAGCCCAUAUAAAAAUUUAAAAAAAGGUCCGAAAAUGUACAAAAUUUACAAAAAAAAUUAAAAAAAUCACGAGCGGCCCAGCCCACGAGCUUGUGGGCUGAACUGAGAUCGCCCACGAGCAACGAGCAACGAGCUGAGCUCGAGCUCGGCUCGUCUUUCACGAGUCAGGAGCUCGGCUCACCAUGAGCCCAAGCCGAGCUCAUGGGUCAAAGGGUCGAGCCGGGCAUCCCUAGAAGCCACAUUAGUCUCCAAGUGGGAGAUUGUUAAAAUUAUGGAUCCUAGAUUUUAGGCUUCACAAAUUCUCAUGGUGUCAGACACAUUUUUUCAAAAGGUGGAAACAAAUGUUGAAAAAGACAAUGUGUAUGGAAAUAUCUUGUAACAAUGUAGCCGUAUUUUUGGAAGAAUUUUUUUUGCCAUGGAUUUAAUGAAAGGUUGCCUUUGUUGAAAAUGAUGAAUUUGCAAUUAAUGAGGGUGGCAAGUUUUUCAUUAUAAAUACGAGGCCAAAGCAGGAGCAAAUAUAGAUGUAAAAAAGAGAAGUGCAAGAAAGGUGUUGAGUGAAAACACGAGAGACUGUGAGCAAAGCACAAAAGUGAGAAGCAGUUUGGCUUUAGUUUGUGCAAAAAAUUAAUGAGAGAAAAUUGAGAGAUUGCCUUUGUAUAGGUAGAUAAAGUACAAAGAGUGUAUUUGUUGUAUUUCUUCUUCUUUUGUUGAUAUAAUAAAAAAAUUGGUUUGGGUUUGUGGACGUAGGUACGAUUGUCGAACCACGUAAAUUCUUGUGUCACUUGCACUUAUUAAUUUUUGGCCACAUUUAUUUCUUCUCAGUUUAAAUUAUUUUGCUUCCCACUAAUCCUGGCGGAAUUAGUAGCGGUCUAAUUCCUAACACGACUUGCGUGGCUUAUCAAUAUGAAAGUGUAAACAGAAGAAAAUGUUAAAUACUUCUUAUUGAAAAGUGAAAUUUAAGAUGCAUAUGUUCAAAUGAAAGGAUUUGUGUUCCAUUUCGAAACUCUCCUAUGUCCAAUGUAAGAUACUAGAUCUGUAUGAAUUUUAUAGCUAAAAGUAGAAUUUUUGAUUGGUAAAUUGAUUUAGGUUGAUGGAAAUAUUUCUAAUCCCAUUAAAAAUUAUUGAUUCCAUGUAAACUAAGAUAUGAUGGUGUUUUCAAUAAUAAAAAUCCGAUUAGUCUUAAUGAAGUUCACAAAAUAGAUGCUACUUCAGGAAGAAAACAAAAAUACACGCGUGGUGACGAACAACACAAGAAGGAGAACGUGUUUGCCGUUAUUAAAAGAGUUAGAGCACAUAAUACUUUCAUAAUAUAGUAAAUAAAAGUUGAAAGUGUAUUUCAAACAAAGUAGACAAAUAAAUUCCACAAGAUAGUAUUAAAUUUCAAAUUUGAACGAAUGCAGCUUAAUAAACUUGGCUCUGUUUGGUAACCAAUCAACUCAUUUUUCCCAUACUCAUUUUCGACCACAUAUUCACAAAAUAAAAUAUUUUUCACGUAAAUUCAAAACAUUUUCCUCUUUUUUAAUCGCACAUUCUACAGAAAACUACUAUUCAAAAACUCAUUCUUUUUUAAAAAUAUAGCUGUCAAACAGGGCUUUAUUUGACAAUGUAGACAGCAAAAAGAGAGUAAAGAUCGGCUUCAUAGCCAGUGAAGUACAAAUACUCUCAAAGGUUCGAUAGGUCAUGUGUAACGACUUAGACUCCAUGCAUAAACCGUUAUAUCAUACGUACUGUUUUCUCUGGGAGGUCAUCUAUCCACUUAUUCCCUCAAGACUUUCUAUUGUAUCCUCCAAAAUUCGAACCAAAACCUCUACCUAAUGAGAGAUUUAAGUUGAAUUCUAAUAUCAAUUGAGAAUUGGUCGAGCUCAAGGAUAAAGAAAAAGCAGUAAAAAUAGACAUAGGCAAUUUUUAAUAAGUUAAAUUCAACAUUUGACCUAUAAGCCCUUUUAGAAUAAAUAAAACGUAACAAUUCUUCACUUUAACCUCUAAAAAAGGGGGCUUUUUUUAAAAACUUUACCUUUUUCAAUCCUGAUACACAUUCUAUAUGGAACCAAGUAUGACAAGGCUUUUUUUAAUGGUUAAGCUACAUGUACAUAACAUCAUGUGUGGUGAGGUAUGAAUGAUUCAUAUUUUUCCAACCUAAAAAUAAAAUAAAAUAAAAUAACUUUCCCACCCUCCUACUCUUGUUGACGCCUCAUCUCUAAGUAUACAUUAUGUUAUUCUAUUAAGUACACGUAGCAUUAUUAUUAUUAUUAUUAUUAUUAUUAUUAUUAUUAUUAUUAUUAUUAUUAUUAUUAUUAUUUUCUUUUUUUACUGAUUUUCAUUCAAGUACAGGGUAACCCGAAUCUAACUCUACCGAUGACAAACGAGACACAACUUUAAUAAGGAAAAAAAGCUAUUAUACAGGUAAUAAUAAACAUGAUAAAUAGAUGUAUCGUUCCCCCAAAAUUCUUCUAUGGUGUCAAAAGUAUAGACUUUUCAAAGAGAACUCACCCAGGCGGCACCUUGUUUCGAUCUUGAUUGGUUGUCAAACUAAAACGUCCACUUCCUUUCUAGGGGUUUUUUUUUUUUCCUUUUGCGGCUACUUAUCUACCACCUCCUCUACUUCAUCCAACGCCGUCGGAACUUCUAUUGCUGCUUCGCUUGCGAUCCUAUCAAUCUAGUUAUUGUCUCUCCCUACAAUUUGCUUUUGCAAAAGGAGAGAGGGAGAGAGAGAGAGACCUUUUUCACAAUCAAAUUUGUAUUUAUAGAAGGGUUUUGAUGGGAUUGGUACAAGGUGGAUUGAAAAUAGACUAAGCCCAGAUCAACUGGGUUGCCUUAUGUGGGUUAAGCGAAAUUGAUGAAAAUUGCCCUUGAAUACAUUAAGGAUCCACUUGAAAUGGCUUUAGAAAAGUUAAAAUGAGCCCUUUGGGGCAUAUUCCAGUGGUGCAAAGGAUAAGAGUGAAGUAUACACAACUUUGCUGACAAUCGCAGUAUAAGGGUUCGAUUCCUGAAAUAUGAAUUGAGACUCUCUGUGGGCAUCAGUGGGCAGCUCUUAUUCCUUAGUCUAUUGGGGGACAUCCCGCGAUUAACCUCUCUCACGAUGCUAUGGGGGCGGGGCGGGGCGGUGGGGAACCCGUUGGAGUUCAACCUUUUUUUUCUUUAGAAAAUUUAAAAGGAAUUUUUGUGGCGCAAAAGCUACUUUUGGACCGAUUAGAUUAAUUUUAUGGAAGUACUUCUAGUAUAACAAUCAACUUUAACUAUUUAUUCAUACAACUGCCAUAUCUUGUCCUUGGAUUCACCUUAAAUGAACAAGGACUCAAAUGAAAAAUAUGCUAUAGUGUAGCUUCCUCUAACAACACUUUCGAAAUAGGAAACUCUUUCAAAAAUUAGUUUUCAUACAAAAAUUGAGGUGACUUUAUUUAAAGGUCUUCUAUAGGAAGUAAAAGUAAAAACAAAAUCCAUGCUAAAUAGGUCACUAAUUAACAUUCAUUUAUUAUUUAUGCUUUUCAUGAAUCCAUAAUGUACUCGCAUUUUCAAAAGUUAAUGAAAUUUUCAAGUUUCAUAGUGCUUGAUAGGUGGUAAAUUACGACCACAAUUUUUCUUUGUUUUAUUCUAUGGUAUUUAAUGCUUUCUUUAGGAAGUUGACAAAUCUUUAGGAAUAGUAGCCUAGUUUGGGGUAAAUUAAUAAUUUUGGUUUUCAUUGUUAGCAAAAAUAUUGCCGGUCGAAAUGGCAGCAAUUGUGCUUUGGAGUUUUUAAGCAUUUUAAUUCAUUGAAUAAUGAAUUAAGAGACCUACUGCCACCUCGAUUAUUGAUCUCUACUGACAACGAAUAGCAUCACUCGUGACUAAUGAAGAUACCAAAACAGUACUUUAAUGACAUAUAAUCUUCUCCCUUAUAGCAAGAUAGAUUGGUGGAACUUGAAUUGCUAAAUAUAAGAUAGGCCAAAUUUCAUCCUGUAGAAAGGCAAAUAUAAUAUGUUUCAUAAAAGGUCAUGCUAAAAUAGUGUUAUUGAUGCUAACUAGGAAUUCUAAGGCCUCAAAGUUAUGCCAUGGACCAGCGCCAGUAUCUCUUUGGCGAUGCGUCUUGUGCUUCAAUUAAGUAGAUGUGUAAAAGUGUGGUAGGCUGAGUAGACCUCACAAGUAAAAAGCCAGGCUAGACACUGUAUGACCUAGCCAAGCAGCGCAUUGGUCAAGCCAAGAGAGGCUCAGAGACCAUUUAGAAUGAAAUUUUUUAUGUGAAUUCUAAACUUAUAUGCUUAUAAUCAUAUAUAUCUGUCCUUUCUAUACAGGUUUCUGAAGUCUUGAGUUUUGAAUUUAUAAGCUUUAGAAUUGUAUUAAUGUAUUGUUUCUGUACCGCUUUCCCUCAAGUCUUCGAUUAUUUAAAUAAAUCCACUUUUUGCAACUGAUCUUGAAAUUGGUAUGGAACUUUGAAACAACAUCGUGAUUUACUAUCUAAAUUUCUUGUAUAAAACAUCACUCAAAAAUUAACUAGAGCAAUAAUCGAAAUAUUUGUAGUCCAUACUUCAGAAACGACCUUGGAUGUUUAGCACAAAGGGGCAGUAAUCAUGCAGUUAAACUAUUAUGAAUCAUUUUGUGUAGUCUACCGACUUGUGUAUCUAUCACUCUCUUUAAACUACUUAUGUCAAUAUUCAACUAUUUUUACAUAACACAAUUAAGUGGCACGGUAGAAUUUAAAAGAAAAAGCCAUCCUUUAUCGUUGGAUAUAUACGACGCCAACAUUAAUUUUUUUGUAAAUUCUUUAAUUUCCAGAAUAAUUUAUUAUAAUACUUUAUUAAUCAAGCUCAUGCCAAAUUAGUAUAGAGCAUAUUUUGUUACACUAAUGCUACUCAAAUAAGGGCUGGGAACAGGCAUAUAAAUAACCUCACCCCUUGCAAUUCAAAUCAUCCACCUCAGCCCCUUGUUUAUAUGCUUGUCUCCAGCCCCUGUUCGAGUAGCAGGGCUCAUUUUGCUAAGCUUAAAUUUAAAAGUUAUAGGGAAGUUUUGAAAUAACUGACCUUUUUUUAUUGGUGAAAAUAAAAAAAUAAGUAAUUGCUUAUAUUGACAUUUCUGUAACUUGUACUUUUUCCUUUUAGGAUUAGUCACUUAUUUGAUAACUAGUUGAUUUUCAAGGUAUUCUUUUUUAGUGUGAAGAUGGAAUGGAAUGAGAUGUACGAGAAACAAAAUCAUUCUUCGCGUGUUUGGGCAUUCAAUAUUCCCCCUUUUCUUCUGAACUUUGUUUUCCUUCUUUUGUGCUUCAAAUUAUAUUGACCUUCUCCCCUGUUUCCUAUAUACAUACAUAACAUUCAUAAGGUAAUCUUGAAGGUGAAAAUCUUUCAUUUUUACACUACAAUCCAUCACGGAGCACUUUCUCACUGAUUUAGUGACACGAGUGUGAAAUUAUCGUCCUCAAGACUUUGAAAAAAGGGCUUAGGGAGAAAUAAUGCAUUGAUCUAGUUGCCACUGGAGGCACAAAGUACUAUCUAAAUUGAUUCGUAAGAGUGGAAGAGAUACUGGAACCAAUGACACUGAAGGAAGGUAUGCACAAUUAUAUCCUUCAUAUGGUAGCUAUCAGCGAAUCUAUAAAUUGAAUUCAAUUUUGGCAAUGUUUUUGGCAAGUACGCAUGGACAGUACCCAAUAAGCUAAUGCUUGGAGAAUUGUGGAAGGACCGAAGGCAACUAACAAGCAUUGACAUCUUUGGAUGCUCUGUACAACUGACUUAAAGCUAUAAACCGGCUUCUUUUUCUUUUUUCUUUUUUUUGUUCACUUUUCUUUAUGAAUAUACACACUACGGGACGUCCAAAAUCAUGAUUGUUCAUUAUAUUUCAUAUUCAUAUCAUCAUUUGAAGAUCCAUGACAUUAUUCUUGAUUCAACAUUUUUUAUUCUUAAGAUCUGCAACCACACAUUUGGGAAAAAACAUCAAACCCUUAAAUCCAAAAGACCUGGAUUCUUUAACACUAUAAGGAAGGUACUCUCUCAGUUGGGCAUUGGGAGAGGUAAACUGCAAGCGUAGGAAAAGCACAAGAACAAGAGGUUCUUGGAAUUCCACUUGUAAGAGAUACUUGGUAUAAGAUUAGGAGAAUUGAAGAAAACAAUAGAUCUUGGAGGCUGCAAAAGGUAGAUUGGGAAGUCUAGUGGGGUGGCUAAAUAGUAUCUACAUAGUAGAUCUUGAGACUAGAAGAUUGACAGUACAUCUUAGAGAUUACAGGAAUCACAACAGUUAGAACUAGUUGAAGUUGCUAAACUGGAGUUGUACUGAAUCCCUAAUUGUCUAUAGUUGAGGCACUUGGUCCCGGAGUUUUUUCAACGUUAGGUUUCUCUGUCAAUAAAUCUUUUGUUUUUACUACUUUCCAUAUUAUUAUUGUGGCAUUCAUACUUAGGGAAAUUGGAUUGGAUUGUAUGUAUAAUCAUCUAGAAACCUAAUUAAAAGUGAAUUGUUGCUUUAAGUAGUCAAUUUUGCACAUAAGGUCGAAUUAAAAAAUUGUCUGGAAUGUAAACCUGGUAAUCUUAAAAUUUGAAGUAGUGUGUAGUGUGCCAGACUCGAUUUCUCAAGGGUAUUAGAGCCUAAUUGCAUGUCCUAACCUUACAUUGUCUAGAUAAGUACCUCGUUGACUAUCCCACCCUAUUUUGAUGAUAGUAAUUACGAAUAUUAGAAAGAUAGGAUGAGAGAAUUUUUGAAAUCUAUGGAUGAGAGAAUUUAGUUGAGUGAUGUUAAUCGUUCGUUUGAACAUAGUACCACAGUAAACAAUGUUGUUGCUUCCGUCCCCAUAGAAAAUUGCUCUAUGGCCGAAUUAGAUCAAUGUAACUAAAAUAGCAAAGCCUUAUAUGCUCUCUUUAUUGCUGUUUUUCCAGAAGAUUUUAGGAAAGUGUUCGUGUGUGAGGUUGCGCAAGAAGUUUGAGAUAUUUUAGAAGUCAUACAAGAGGGACCUCAUGUGGUAAGAAAUUUAAAACUACAUAUGCCUACCAUGAGGUUUGAAGAAAUCAGGAUGAAAGAUGAUGAGAGUUUUGAUGCCUCUAUACGAGCCUAAACUACAUAGUAAAUUCUAGCUUAAACCUAGCAAAUAAAAUCCCCGAGCCUAAGAUAGUGAGAAAAAUUCUUAGAUCCUUACCAGAGCAAUUCAGGCCUAAAAUUAUAGCGAUUGAGGGAAGUUACGAAAUAGAUGCUAUCAAGGUAGAAGAGUUAAUUAAAUCCAUCCAGACCUAUGAGCUUACCUUCGACAAACCUAUUAAGGAAAAGUCCUCGGCUUUGAAAUCUAUGAGGAAUAAGCAGACCAAACUCCUGAUUUAGAUUCACAUAAUGAUAAGGAGUUGACCAACCUAGCUAAGAAAUUUGGUAAAAUGUUUAGGAAUAAGAAGAAGUCUCAGGAAAGACAAAGAGGUGGCCUAUGUGAAUCUAUGAGAAGAUUGAAAUUAGUAGGAUGCCAUAACUGUCAAGGUUUAGGUCAUGUGAGAAAUGAGUGCCCUAGUCCUAGGAGAGUUGAAGAAAAGGCUAUAAAUAGUACUUUCACUGAUCACGAGUCUAGCUUGAACAAUCAGAGUGAGAAAUCCACUCAUGAGGAAAUUGAAAAAUAUGUUGCCUUUCUCUCUCGUGGUGCCGGCGGCCAACGUCGGCCCACGUCAGCACUGCACCAGUUGCAACUCGGCGCUGCUCCAACCUGGCAGCAGCAAAGUGCUGCUGCGAUGCUGGCGGCCUCGUUCAAAUUUUUUUUUUUAAAUCCCCAAAAGAAUUUGAAUCCAAGAAAAAAAAAAGCAUAAUCUGAAUUCUUCUCAAUUAUUAAUUAUACGUCAAAAGUUUUCAAAUUCAACAAAAUAUGGAUACUAAAUUAUCAAAUCUAAAAACUCCAAAUUAUUGCAAGAAUCAAUAUCCCAAAAAAAUUGAUUCUCAAUGAUUCAACAUGAAAAGGCUUUGAUACCACUUGUAGGAUAAUUUAUUACUUUAAAUCACCGAAUUUUUCAUGUUAAAUUAUCAAGAAAUUCAAGAAUUAUAGCGGAAGCAUACCUGAAUUAGACAUGGUAAUUUGUAAUGAUUGAAUCCUGCGGUAUAGUCUUCCACAUCUUCACGCAGCCUGUAAUUCUCUCUGGCGAUGGGAGACAAAAUAGAAUGAGCAAAAGAUACGUGCAAUUUGGGGACCAUAACUGUAUUUAUAUAGCGAUGCCCUUUGACCUAAUUCGGCCAAUCAUAGAAUUGAGACUUGGGCCCGGUCUCUAUACAUUUGUAAGCCAACACUUUAAUUAGAUGCAUAAUGGACCAAAAUCGAAGCCUUAUUAGAUCACUUAAAUUGGACUCAACCGAAUUCAAUAGCCUUUAGUUUAACACACAAUUAUUCACACAUAUAAGCCCAUCAAUUGAUUAAAAAAUCCUUACACUUUACUAUAAAAACGAGUCUUAGAAAUCAAUAAGCAUUGAAGAGCCUUUGUUUACUACCAAAAAUCAGAUCAUAAAAACAUAAUUAAAAUAUGAAUUUGCGACUAUCCGAGACUAAUGGAUUCACGUUAUGUCCUUUGUGGCAAUUUCUAUCUCCCUAAUAAUGAAGGCUAUGAGCAAUUGUUUCGCAUCAUUUUAUUGAAACAAUACCAAAAUCAUGUAAAAGUCGCAUAAAUUUUUCCUUCAUUAUUAAAGGUUGAUGCAAACAUUCGUGCAAAAAUUUUACAAAAAUAGAUUUAUAUGUAAGAAACCUAGAAGUGAGAUCAAAUUUGAUUGUGCAAGAAAAACUUCAUGAAAUGCUUUAUAACUUUUAAGUGAAAGGUGAUUCCUAUGUGAAAAUACAUAAAAACUUAAAACGAUACACCAAUUAUGUACAAGAAAAUGUACAACUCUUUUGUCACAAAGUCUUUUAAAUCAUACCACAACAUUGACAAAGUAAUUUACAAUAAAAGACAUGUUCAUUUAUUCAAACUAAAGGACACAACCAUCACUGAAACUUUUCCAAAUUAAAAUAUGAAACAUUUUAGUUUAAACUCACAACUAGACAAUUUCUUUAUUCAAACCUAACCUCUUCCAACAAGAACAAAGGAGGGACAGGUUCAAGAAUAAAAGAUAUUCUCCAUGUUCAAUAGGAACACACCCUUCUUCAUGGAAUUUCUGCAACAUUAUAUUCUUUACAAAGAUAUCAAGAGUUUAUAUCUUCAUAUAGAAAUGCUCAAGUUCUAGCAAGAUUUAAAAUACUGGGAAUCAAAAUUCCCAAAGACUAAAAAUAUUUUAAAAAUAUUUUGACAUUAUUAUGAGGUUUUUAAAGCGGUAUGGAAAUGAAGAAUAAAUAAUAAGAAAAGACAAAAGAAUUUUUUACCUGUAUUUAUACAUAAAAAUAUAUAACAAGAAUAAAUAAUAAGAAAUAUACGUGUAUCUUGAAUAAUCAUUUGUAAAUGUAAUAAAAUAAAUAUUUCCUCCCCUAGUCAACAUGCCAUUUUAAUUCACAUAUCGAAUUAAUAAGGUCUAAAAUUUCUAAAGUCCGAUUCACUAUGUUAUGACUUCUACAUCAUUCUAAAUUCUACGCAAGUUUUACAUUUAUAUGCAUCAUUAUCAUUAUAUGUAAGUAUUAUGCCCUAGGUCCAAUCAACCUUGAACAUAAAUACUUUUAAUACAUAAUUAAUGUAAUUUGAUGGCAGAUCUAUUAUUUAAUUUAUAUACAAUUAAAUUAAAAAAUAGAGUUCGUAGAUUCAAAUUUUCGUAAUUUAUUAAUUACGAGGAGUUGUGAUUGUGAGAUACAAAUUACAUAUGAUUGAAUCUUAAAUCGUCUGUGAUCGUAAGUAAUAACGAGAUAUGGAUAUCGUUAUUAUAGAUAGACCAUCACGUCUGACAUGUUUUACUUGUGAAGUAAGUAGCUGAUCUCAUAAGCUAAAGUGUGGUGACACUUAAAUGAACACGUAGAUGUUUUGUUAUAGAACAAAACAUUGGAAACCCACUGAGAGAUUCCACAUGAAUAACUAUUUGAGUGUCAGUGGUUAAUCUCUAACGUUCUGUAGUGGAAUUGGUCAUUUGACUUGAGAUCACCAUGGUACCUUGUAUGAGGACAGUCAUACUUUAGUGGUGUUGACGUUGCUCUACCAAGGGCCACUAAUAUGACAUCGUUCGGGUAUGUCAAGAAUUAUAUGAAGGUUGAGAAUGACGAAUAGAGGAUUUGUCAUUCUUAGAUAGUAAGAGAUUAUGAUCUGCAUUUCAUUUAAUUAAGUCGAUAAUGAAAUUUUUGGCCAAGGUGUACUCAUAAGUCGAAAACGAGUUUUCGACUUAUAUUGACUUAAUAGUGGAAUGAACGAUAUGAUCGGUAAUCGAGAUUGAACCACUUUCAUCGCAUAAUUGAUCGGAUCAUAUUGACGAAGGGACUAUAGUUUCACGAUAAACGAGCGAGUUCGAUUUUGUCAUACCACAUGACAUUUCCAGUCACAUGUAUUGCCUGACACAUUGCUAGAUGUCAGUUUGGAACGACGAGUGUGAAUUGGUGAUAAAUUAAAAGGGUGUUUUAAUUUAUCAAUUUUGAUUAGAUCAAAAUAAUGUUUCACGUCGUUAGGUAUCGUGAUUGGAAACCUGAUGGGUUGCACAGAAAAGAAAAUUGAAAGAUUGGCAAUUUGUCAAUUAAUUAAUUUAACAAUUAUUGGAUAAAUUAAUUAAUUCGGCCGGUUACUUAUAAAACCGAAUUAAUUCACGAACCGAAUUUAAUUAAAUUGAUUAAUUAAAUUUUGGAUCGGUCAGGCGAAGUCUGUUUGGUCUUAUAUAAAUAAUUGAUUAGGGUUUACAAUUUUGAAGAGAAAUUCAUUCUUGCUAGCAUAAGAAGAAAACCAUAAUCCUACAAUCUUGUUCUCUGUGUGGAUCAUCAUUAGAGGUUGGACAGUUGGACAGUUGUGUUUGGCAGAUCUGGAUCGUUGGAACGCAAGGAAGGCAAAGGAGUUUGUAGAUCUAAGAAAAAGGUACGAUCUUUUUCACAAUUUCAUCUAAACACAAAGAGAUUAUUGGUGGGAAUCGAAAUCUUUUUUAAUUUUCUGCUGCGCCUGUUAAAUAGAUUCCCAACAGUGGUAUCAGAGCCUACUUUGCGUUUGUAAGAAAUUAUUUGACAUUUUGUGCAAUCAAAAGUUGGUUGUUAUACAUUUUACUAGUUUCUAGUAAUUAAUGAAAAUUUGAUUUUCAUUUUUCUUUGAAAUCUGGUUUUGAAAACGAAAAAAAAAAAGGAUCAAAAAUCGGGUUGGGAAACAUGAACGACGUCAACAACAGCCAUCGUCGGAGCUUGAAGCUCGCGUGAUCACCGCGCUGCCGAUUGCGCUCAAGCGAACCAGCAGCGGCUGCCAUCGCCAUUGCUGGACAGGGUAUCGUCGGCUGCUGUAUGCAGUAGCGUGUGAUAUGCUACAAGGAUGGGUCCCAUGUGCAGCACCAGCAACGUUGCAACCAAGAAGAAUGAAGGACUGAAAAUUCCUAGGGUUUGCAGUUUGCGUUUUGGGCGAGUUUGAGGUAGAGGCCUCUGAUGAGAAUUGAUUAUUUUCAGGGCCCUUCUUGCAAUUUAAUUUCUAGGGCUAAGUUGUAAUUUUAAAUAAAGGGCCUUCUUGCAAUUUGGGAAAUUAAGGGGCUUGUUUAUAUAUUUUAAGUGGCUCAACUUGCAAUUUUCAAAAUGGUUUUUGAAUUUGGAUUUUAAAAUGGUUUUAAAAUUAUAUUUUAAAUGGGUUUGACCUGUAAUUUUAAUUUUGACCCAAAUUAAAAGUUUUAUUUAAAAUUGACGACUUUUCAUAUUUCUUUAAAAUUGGAUUUUAACUUGAAUGUUAAACUUUUAAAUUGAAUUUUAUUUUUUAGGAAUUUUAAACUAAAUUAAAAUGUUAAUUCAAUUUAAUUAGACUUGGACUCUAAUUUAAUACUUAAUUAAAAUUGGAUUUUAAUUAAUUAUUCACUCGGAUACAUUCUUGGAAUUAGAAUUAGAUUCUAAUUUGACAUUUAAUUGAAAUUUGAUUUUAAUUAAAUUAUCCCGCCCAAAAAUUUGUUCUAAUUAGAGUUGGACUGUAAUUUGAAAUUUAAUUAAAAUUUGAUUUUAAUUAAAUAAGUUUGCCCUAAAUCUUGGAAUUAGAGUUGUACUCUAAUUUUGCUAUUUAAUUAAAAUUUGAUUUUGAUUAAAUUCGACCGCCUUAAGUUUUGAAGUUAGAGUUGGACUCUAAUUUAACAUUUAAUUAAAAUUUGAUUUUAAUUAAAUAAUCCCACCCUAUAAUUGUGAAAUUAGAGUUGGACUCUAAUUCGACAUUUUAUUAAAAUUUGAUUUUAAUUAAAUAUACCCGCUUAUUAAAUUAAUUUAUUAAUAUGAUUAAAAUUAUUUAAUUGUUCUACUCCAUUUGUCUAAAAGAGUUUAGACGAUCUUAAUUGCUAGAAACUUGAAACAUGUUUGCAUAUAAUAUUAGAUAUUAGAUAAGAAUACAUUUAUGUGAUAAAUACAUUAUUAGUGGAUGAUUAUGGACUCGACCAUAUGGAUGUGUUGAAUGGUUGAUUUUUAUUCUUGUUGUUUUGUGGCCAGAGAGCCCGUUAUUAUUGUUAUUGUUGUGGGCCUAUGGGCUCUUAAUCAUUUUGGACCUAUGAGUUCGUUGUUGUUAUUGUUAUUUUCGGCCUGCGAGUCCAAUUUCAUCUAGACUUGCCAACUAGUAUAGGAUACAAGUUGCAACUAGACUAAUUGAAGACACACAGAAAGGAGGAAACCAUGAAGAUGGUGCAUUGAUAUUGAUCAAUGCGAUACCCCCUAAAAAUUGACCAACUAGUCUUCAUUAUGGCUCUGGAAGACUAGAUAGUAAAGUCCAUAAUCGUCAACACUAUUACAUUACAUAUAUGUGUGUGUGUGAAAUAUAGCAUAUAUGAUAUUACGAUGAGACUUUUGAAUGCAAAAUCCCUCAAUAAAAUAUUAAGUCACAUUUAUAAUCGCCUUCUAUCAUUAUUGUGAAAAACCAGAGUUCCAAAUCGUCUUAACUUGUUGAGUACACUCAAAGCUGGUCUAUUAGGGAUAUGUUUGACACUAUGAAAUAUUUGAUAUUUCUGAAUGACGGAUUUGACAUAACUAAAAUUUAUCUUUUAUUGAGUACACUCAAUGAGAUAAAUUUUAGAGGCAUGUUAAGCUAACACAUAAGAUGUGUAAAGAUAAAGAGUUGUCGGCUUAAUAAUCUGGGAGUUGUAUGGAGAUACAAUUGAUAAUAGUAUCUACCCAAAUGUUUUAUUAAAACUUGCUGAGUGCACUCAAGGUCAUAAUAUAAUUGAUGGGAUCCCAGCCUACUGAAAGUCAAGUAUGGACUUCAUAAAUUUAUGUGAGAGGGUCAUAAAUUUUAGUUAAACAGUAGGAGCAUAAUUAAUUUAAUAAAAGUCCAUAUUAAAUUAAUUGAUGCAUUUUAUAUAUUAUUUUUUUCUUUUUGUCAUCUAAAUUUAUUGAAUCGUGAGUAACCAUAUGUUUUUAAUGGCAUACUGGAUGCCAACAACCAAACUGAAUUUUCUUGAUUGGCACUGCAAUUUGAAAAAUGUUCUCAGGCAUGAGAAAAUUGAUUAUAUCCUUGAGUAGUCUUUUCAAGAAACAUCUGUUGAUGACUCGAUUAAAGAAGAGGAGGCUACUGUAAUAAACACAGUGAUGAUGUUAGUACUGCACAUAUGUGAUGCUUGCAACUAUGUCACCUGAGUUACAAAAACAAAUUGAGAGUAUAGAUGUUAACACAUAAUUUGUUAUUGCAAAAGGUUGUAUGAUAAUAAUCAUGUAUGGAAGGAUAUGAGACUUCCAAACAAUUAUACCAAUGCAAAAUGACAAAGCAAUCUUCGAUCGGUGAUCAUGCACUGAAGAUGAUUGUCAUUAAGAGAUUGUCUCAAUAAAGUUCAAUCAUGAACUACGAACUAAGUAUUGACUUUUCUCUGCAAUCUUUGUCAGAGAGUUAUUCGUACUAAUUAUGAAUUAUGAUAUGAAUAAGUUCGAAUGCAUACCUAUUAAAUUGCUUGACAUGCUUACGACUGUUUUGCUCAAUAUCAAAGUUACAAGUAGGCAAGCCAUUGAUUCCUCUAUGGGUACUAAGAGGAAGUCUAAAGGAGCUUUGGAAAAGAGUAAAUUAUGGCUAGGACGGUCAAAGCGAGGACAAUACCAAAUCUAAUGACCAUUGUUUUCAUUAUAAAAUGAAAGGUCGUUGGAGGAAAUAUUACAAGGCUUAUGUCUACUUCACGAGUUUCUUAGGUAUUUGAUGCCAGAUAUAGAUCUCAUAUUUAUACAAAUAUGGAGAAACUAAAUAAAAGUAGACUACUGCAAAAGGGAGAAGUUCACCUACACAUUGAAGAUGAGCAAAGGUUGCUACAUUGCCUGUAGGAGCAUACUUCUUGCUGUUGCCUUUUGGCUUAGUAUUGGAAUUAGAGAAAUGUUGCUUUGUACUCACCAAGCUGGACAAUAAAAUGAUUUUCACAUUCAAACAUGAACUAUUUUAAUGUUAAGGACAAUUGUUGUUCUUGCUUAUCUUGAUUAAGAUCUUAAUAGUAACGGUAAGUUACAAAAUAACAUUUAUAUUCUAAACACUAAGCAUUCUAUAAUGAGUAUAGAAGUUAAGAGGCAUAAAAGUGAAAAUCUAAAUAAUUCCCAAAUCUGGAAUUGCAAACUUGGUCAUAUAGAUGAAAUACAAUUUCAAAAUUACACAAAAAUGUAUACAUAGAGUCAAUUGAUUUUGAAUUGUUUGACAAAUGCAAAAAUGCCUUUUUGGCACAAUGACCAGAUCUCCUUUUACUUGAAAAGGAAUAAGUCUACGUAAAUAUUGGUAUAAUACAUAGUGACGUAUAUGGACCCAUGUCAAUUAAUGUUAGAUUAGGUUUCUCUUACGUCAUCAAUUAUUAUGUAUACUUGAUGAAAUUCAAGCAUAAAGUUAUUGAAAGGUUCAACUGAUUCAAGCUAGAAGUAGAUAAACAAAUAGGUAAAAUACCCUCAUAUUAAGAUCUGAUCGAAGUGAGUAUCUUAAAGAUAAAAUUUAGAUUAUCUAAGAGAGAAUGAGAUUCUCCUCCAUAUACACUGCAACAUUGUGGAGCAUCUGAACGGAGGAAUCAUAAACUAUUAUAUAUAGUCCAAUUAAUAAUGAGCCAUGCAAAUCUCCCAAAAUCGUUUUGGAGUCAUACACUAAUUGCAGUGUGAUACACACUAAAUCAUGUCUUAUCUAAGUUGGUUAACAGAACUCCGUACGAGCUACGGAAAGGCAAUAGUCCUAACUUAUUUCAUAUGAAAGUUUGGGACCAUGAAGCUUAUUUAAAGUGCAUUGAAUCGGAUAAACUUGACCAUUUAUAUCCGAUGAAUACAUAUUUGUGGGAUAUCCAAAAUAGAUAUUUGGAUAUCAGUCUCACGACAUAUUGCUCUCUUAGAGAAAAUGUUUACUUUAGGAGAGGAUAGUGAGAGAAAAAUAGAACUUGAAAGAGUCCAUAGAUAUAGUUAACUAAGUUGAUAAAUCCGAGUUUUAUCCCAUAUCUGAUAUAGGACUUACUCUUAAUCAGGAAGCAGAGACUCCUGAGGACAUGUCAGCUCUAUGUGAGUCUAGCAGGAUCAUAUGACCUUCAAGAAGGUGAGAAUCUAUGAUUACUAAUCAGGUAUCACUGAUCUAAGAUGAUGAACCUACUAAUUGCACAAAAAUAAAGUCAAGUGUUGACUUAAAAGAGAUGGCAAGUGACCAUGAAACCUGAGAUGAACUCAACGUACGUAAACGAGGUUUAGACCUUGGUAAACCCUCUUGAUGAGAUAAACCUUAUAGGUUGUAAUUGGUUUAUAAGGAUAUGGUCGACAUGGAUGCGAAUAUCAGUAUAUACAAAGCAAGGCUAGUAGCAAAAAGUUAAGUUUUGACCUUGACGAAACCUUUCACCUAUAGUCAUGCUGAAGUUCAUUCGAAUUUUGAUUGUAAUAGUUAUAUACCAUGAUUAUGGGUUAAAAAAAUUUGGAGCUGAAAUCUUCAAUUUGAUGUAGGAUCAAAAGGUUUGAUUUUAUCAAAUAUGAAGCUGAAUUGUGUGUUUACAAGAAGAUAAUGGGAGCAUUGUUACAUUCCUAAUAUUAUAGAAAAUGACAUCCCUAUAUAUCAAUCGGUUAAAUAAUGGUUGUUAAAGGAUUUCUUCAUGAACAAUAUGGGGAAGCAACUUGAUCUAUAAAGAUAGAUUUAGAAGAUUGCUUAACUAAUCCCACUCUAUAUAGAUAAUAUCUUGAGAAGAUUUUAUAUGGAGAAAUUGGUUUACUUUUAAACGGUAUAUUGGAAAGGUUCUAAACAUUAAAUAAUCAUUGAUUCAAUAGCUAAAACCUAAUACAUGAUUGCUUCAAAAGUAGCAAAGAGUUGCGAUGUGGACCAAGAUGUUCAUUAAUGAACUUAGAGUAGUUCUUAAUAUUGUUUAUCACAUACCAUUAUAUUGUGAUGACAAUAGAGCCAUUGCGAAAGCGAUCGAGCUAAGGUCUCAUCAAUGAUCCAAACUUGUAUUAAGGUGGUACAAUCUCAUCAGAGAGAUAAUACGUAGAAAUAACUAAAGAGAAGAACGAAUUUCCACAUUUGACAAUAUUGCAGAUCUACUGAAAAAGAGUUGUCGUAGCAUAAACAUGAUCGUCAUUUAGACUCUUAGGAUAUUUGAUACAUAAGUGAUUGGAUCAAGUGCAAGUAGGAGUUUGUAAGUGUUAUGCCCUAAGUUCAAUCAAUCUUGGACAUAAAAUCUUUUAAUAUAUAAUUAAUGCAAUUUGAUGGCAGAUCUAUUAUUAUAUUAAUAUACAAUUAAAUUAAAUAAUAGAGUCCGUAGAUUUAAAUCUUCAUAAUUUGUUAAUCACAAGCAGUUGUGAUUGUGAGAUACAAAUUAUAUAUGAUUGAAUCUUAAAUCGUUCGUGGUCAUUCUCGUUAUUACAAAUAGACCAUCACGUGUGGCAUUUCAUACUUGUGAAGUAAGUAGCUGAUCUCACAAGCUAAAGUGUAGUGACACUUAAAUGAACACGUGGAUAUUUUGUUAUAGAACAAAAUAUUGAAGACGCACUGAGAGAUUCCAAAUGGAUAACUAUCUGAGUGUCAAUGGUUAAUCUCUAACGUUCAGUGGUGAAAUUAGCCUUUGACUUGAGGUCGUCAUGGUACUUUAUAUGAGGAGAGUCAUACUUUGCCGAUGUUGGAUGCUGCUCUGCUAAGGGCCACUAAUACGACAUCGUUCAGGUAUGUCAAGAGUCAUAUGAAGGUUGUGAAUGACCAAUAAAAGAUUCGUCACUCUUAGAUAGUAAGAGAUUAUGAUCUGUAUUUCAUCAAUUAAGUCGAUAACGAAAUCCUUGGCCAAGGUGUACUCAUAAGUUAAAAAGAAGUUUUCAACUUAUAUUGACUUAAUAGUGGAAUGAAAGAUAUGAUCGGUAAUCGAGAUUGACACACUUCCAUAUCCCGUAAUUGAUUGGAUCAUAAUGAUGAAGGGAUUAUAGUUUCAUGGUAAAUGAACGAGUUUGAUUUUGUCAUACCACUUGACAUUUUUCGUCACAUGUAUUGCCCUGAGACAUUGGUAGAUGUCAACCUAGGACGGCGAGUGUGAAUUGGUCAUAAUUUGAAAUGGUGUUUUAAUUUAUCAAUUUUGAUUGGAUCAAAAUAAUAUUUCACGACGUUAGGCAUCGUGAUCGAGAAUAUGAUGGGUCGUACACAAAAGAGAAUUGGAAGAUUGCAAUUUGUCAAUUAAUUAAUUUAAUAAUCGUUUAAAAAUAAAUUAAUUAAGUUGGUUAUUUAUAGACCUAAAUUAAUUUACGGACCGAAUUUAAUUAAAUGGAUUAAUUAAAUAUUGGAUCGGUCAGGCUAAGUCCAUUUGGGCUUAUAUAAAUAACUGAUUAGUGUUUACAAUUUUGUACAGAAACUCGUUCUUGCUAGCACAAGAAGAAAAUCCUAAUCCUGCAAUCUUGUUUUCUGUGUGGAUCACCAUUGGAUGCUGGAGAAUUGGACAGCUGUGGUUGGCAGAUCAAGAUUGUUGGAACGCAAGAAAAGCAAAAGAGUUUGCAAAUCUAAGAAAGAGGUACGAUCUUUUUCACAAUUUCUAUCUAAACACAAAGAGAUUCCUCAUAGGAAUCGAAAUCUGUUUUAAUUUUCCGCUGCGCCUACUAAGAAGAUUCCCAGCAUUAUAUGAUAUCAUAUCAUAUUUUAAUUUUCUUUUAAUUGUACUAGCGCAUGAUAUAAUCUAGCAUGUAAUAAUGCAAAAGAAUAAACCAAAUAAAAUCAAUUUUAUUUUUAUUCAUAUUGUUAAGAGUAAAUAAUUUGUCAAUUCCUCCAUAAGAAUAUCAUUUUCUAACACAUUUCCCAUUUCAAGGUAAUACAAGUUUUUCGAACUCGUAAACACUUUUAAUUCUCAAUUUUGCAAAUAGAUCUUCGCUUAGUAAUUUUCGAUUCAUGUCAAGAAUAUGUAAUACAUUUAUUAAGGUAGUCAUUUUUCGGAAAGUAAUGAUAUCAAUAUUUCCUUUCUCAACAACAUUGGAGCUGCUAACAUUACCCAUUUGUAUUUCUUGUUUAUUAUCCGACUGGUGAUAAGCCGAAAAGAGUGAUUUAUCAUAUGAUACAUGAAUUGUUGCACACAUAUCAUAGAACCAAUAAAGAACUUUUUUUAUAGCGUUGAUUUCACUCACCGUACCCAUAGUGUUAUCUUUAUCAAUGUGGUUUAUUUUCCACUAUUUUUUGCUUUGUUCUCAAUGCCGACAAUCUCUUGCAUAAUGUUCGAAUUUACCACACACAAAACAAUCUCCUUUAGGGUUCUUCUUUAAAUUUCCGAAGUCCUUGUUAGAAGAUUUUCUUUCGUUUGAUUUGUUGGAUUGCUCAAUCUCUUCAAUGAUAUUGACUUUUGAAGUGUCUUUGUAAGCGUUUUCACUAUUAUCACUUGGUACUAGUUGUUCUUCAAUUUGGAGAUGUUUCUGAAUUUUUUCGAAAGAAUAAUAUUCGGAGCUAUGAAGAAUUUUCUUUUGAUAUCAUUUCCAAGUCUUGAGAACUUUGCAAUGAUUGCUUCCACUUGAAAGGAUUUCAAAAAUUCUAUUUUGAUCGCCUUUAAUUUGUUGACAAGCACUUGCAAUUUAUGUACUUGGGAAGAUAGGGUAAUGUUCUUAAGAAAUUCAAAGUUGAAAUACUUUGAUAUUAGGAAUUUUAUUUUAUCUUUUUCCACAGAUUUGUUUUUAUGUUACAAUGCAUCCUAAACCUCUUUUGCUAAGAUGGUGUUGGUGUAGAUAUUGUAUAAUUUAUCCGAAAGCACAUUGAGACAUGACCCAUACAAGUUAAUUCAUCUUCUUAAUAUUAUUUUCUUUUAGCCAUUAUCGCUUCUGAGUCUUAGAUGCUGAGUUCAGUAGUGGUGUCAAUUCGGAUUAAGAAUGUAGAAGAUCUUCAAUACUAUUAGAAAGGACUUCAAUUUGUCUUUCCACUGGGUGAAGUUCGUUCCAUCAAAUCGAUCCAACUUUAUGAGGUUUUGAUUCAUGAGUUUGAUAGUAGUCAUGAUUGUCUUGUUCUAAAUAAAUAUCAUUUGGAUGUCUUAAAAAAGAAAAAAUACCUAAGCACUUGUGUUUUUCUUCCAAGAAGUUGAAGAAAACAAAAGAGUCUGAGUAAUGAAUUAGGAAAAAAACACUAUAUAAUGGAUUUUAAUUGGUGAUUAUAUGGAUUUAUAAUUGAAGUAUAUCACCUAUUUAUAGAUUUCAUAAACCAUGAAAUAGUGACUAUUCAUGAAAAUUUACUAAAAAUCAAAUUUGAAAAUCAGCCAAUAGGCUAAUAUUUUAGUGCCUGCGCAUGGGCAAAAAUUACUUUACAUUCCAAUCUCAUUCAUUUGGGCCUCGUGGUUUCCCUUGCCAAAUUCCAUCCAUUUUGAGGCCCAAUACCUUGUAUAAUUGUGAACAAAUUAUAACACUUGAGUCACCAAUUAAAAGAUAGUGUACAAUGCUUUUAUCACAAAUCUUUUAAAUUAUAACACAACAAUGACAAAGAUCUUUGCAAUAAAGACAUUCAUUUAUUCAAACUAAAGGACACAAACAUCACCGAAACUCUUCCAAAUUAAAAUAUGAAACAUUUUAGCUUAGAAACACACUAGACAAUUUCUUUAUUGAAACUUAAAAUUCUCCAAAAAGAACAAAUAUCGCUUCAAGAAUAAUAGAUAUUCUCCAUGUUCAAUAGGAACACACCCUUCUUCUUGGAAUUUUUCCAACAUUAUAUUCUUGUGGAAAGAUAACAAGAUGAUGCGAACCCCGUAGCAACAUUGACUACGAAACCCACAACGAGACUGACGAAUCCAAGAAAGCCAAAUUAAUCUAAGAGUUUAGGAUUAAUCCAAAAGAAAGUCGAACCAAAAAAUCCAACAAGAACGACGUUUGAAAUACCCCUUGAUCACGCAAUCCAAGAAUUGAAUCCGAUUGUUUGAACGCCACAAGUUAACACUUGAUAAGUUCGAAAUUGUUUAAUGAAGAAUGAUGAAGAGAAGACAAUAUGCCUCACUUUAAUUCAAUACCAAAUAUGUCAAAAGUUUUUUUUUUUUUUUUUUAACAAUUGAAUAAAAACUCCUAUUUAUACUAAACCUAAAACUAGGUAAAAAUCGUGCAAAAGUCGAGCAUAAUCCCCAAAAUAUGGAAAAGAAUCAAAAACUAACAAAAAAUGAAAAAUUGCCAAAAAUAGAAAAUUCGUAAAAAAUUUUGGCUUAUGCGACCGCGACACUUACUUCUAUGCAGUUGCAUAGUUCACACAGGUUGGCUCCUUUGAGUUUCGCUAAGCAUUCAUGCGACCGCGACCCUCAUAAGCCUAUGCGGUCGCAUAGGCUUAUCAUUUUCCUCUGUCUUCGGCCUUCGAUAUUAAAUUGAUCCAAGUUGAUUCGGCGCUCGACCCGAACAUGAAAGUUGCUCCAUUUUGAGUCCCGAACAUGGUUCCAUCAAUGGUUUCUUGAACGAGCAAUCCCAUCACUUGUUUCACUUGCUUUGCCCUUGAUCGCAUCAUUUUUCCGCCAUCGACUAUCAACGGGUCUCAUCUCGCACUUGCCUUCAUCGAGCUCGACUCCCGGGUCAUAUCAUCCCCUCCCUCUUCAAAAGGAUUCGUCCUCGAAUCUGAACCUGCAUCAAACAAAGAGAGAUCAGAUACAUUAAAAGUAGUCGAAACAUUAUACUCACCUGAAAGGUCCAACUUGUAUGCAUUAUCGUUUAUCUUUUCAAUAACUUGAAAUGGACCAUCGCUCCUCGGUUGCAACUUGGACUUCCUUUGCUCGGAAAAUCGUUCCCAAACCCAAUCUUCCUUUGUUCACCUAUGACGCAACAAAUUUACUUUUGUUUUCAAUUUGCACUUUUACCUUUUCAUGGAGUGACUUAACCAAUUCCGCAUUCUUUUUGCCAUCUAAACUACCACGUUCAUUCACAGGUAAAGGAAUUAAAUCUAAAGGAGUUAAUGGAUUAAAACCAUAUACAAUUUCAAAUGGAGAAUAUGACGUAGUAGAGUGAACAUCUCGAUUGUAUGCAAAUUUUACAAAUGGUAGACACUCCUCCCAACUCUUCAAAAUUUUAUUGAUUACUGUGCGUAACAAUUAUGUCAUGGUCCUAUUCACCACUUCGGUUUGCCCAUCCGUUUGUGGGUGACAAGUUGUGGAAAAUAGUAAUUUAGUGCCUAACUUAUCUCACAAAACUCUCCAAAAGUGACUUAAAAAUUUGACAUCCCGAUCCAACACAAUGCUUCUAGGAACCCCAUGUAAACGCACAAUCUCUUUAAAAAAUAAGUCAGCAAUGUUCGUCGCAUCGUCCGUUUUGUGACAUGGUAUAAAAUGUAUCAUUUUGCUGAACCUAUCUACAACCACAAAAAUAAAAUCCCGACCUCUCUUAGUACUAGGCAAACCCAAAACAAUGUCCAUCGAGAUAUUAACCCAAGGCUCACUAGGUGUAGAUAAAGGUGUGUACAAACCUUGAGGUAAAACCUUAGACUUAGCACUUUUACAACCUACGCAUUGACUACAAAUUCGCUCGACAUCACUUUUCAUCUUAGGCCAGUAAAAAUGCUCCUUCAAUACAUCUAAAGUCUUUUGAACCCCAAAGUGUCCCAUCAAUCCACCACUAUGUGUCUCCUUUACUAACAACUCCCGAAUAGAACAAUUAGGAACACAUAACCUAUUUUCCCAAAAUAAAUACCCCUCAUGCCUAAAGAACAUAUCAACCGCCCCUUUAAUGCAUGACAAAUAAAUAUCCGAAAAAUCAACAUCUUUUUCAUACAAUUCCUUAAUAUGUUCAAACCCAAGUAACUUAGAAUCAAGAGUAGUUAGUAAUACAUACCUUCGCGACAACGCAUCCGCCACCACAUUUUCCUUAUCUUGUUUAUACUGAAUGAUGUAUGAAAACAUCUCAAUAAAUUCCAUCCACUAUGCAUGCCUCUUAUUCAAUUUACCUUGUCCCCGCAAGUGCUUUAGUGACUCAUGAUCAGUGUGUAUUACGAACUCCUUUGGCCAUAGAUAAUGUUGCCAAGUCUCCAAAGCUCGAACAAGUACAUAAAACUCUUUGUCAUAUGUAGGAUAAUUUAAAGUAGCUCCACUCAAUUUCUCGCUGAAAUAUGCAAUAGGCCUUCGAUCCUGCAUUAAAACUGCUCCAAUCCCUAUUCCUGAUACUUCACACUCAAUUUCGAAUGUUUUUAUCAAAGUUAGGUAAUGCCAAAACAAGUGCUUCACACAAUCUACCUUUAAUAGUAUUAAAUGCAAGUUCCUGUUCAACACCCCAGUGAAAACCUACACUCUUUUUAACUACUUCUGUGAGUGGUGCAGUAAUAAUGCUAAAAUCUUUCACAAAACGCCUAUAAAAACUAGCCAAACCAUGAAAACUCCUAACUUCCAUUAUACUUUUAGGUGUCGGCCAAUCUCUAAUAGCUUUUAUCUUUUCAUCAUCUACUUCUACCUUAUUAGAACUAACCACAAAUCCAAGAAAUAUAACUCUAUCCAUACAAAAUGUGCAUUUCUUAAGAUUAGUAUAGAGUUGUUCUUUCCUUAAAACAAUUAGCACACAUUUUAAAUGUUCCAAAUGCUCUCCUAGGUUUUUGCUAUAGAUUAAGAUGCCGUCAAAAUAGACUACAAUAAAUUUUCCUAUAAAGGCACGUAAAGCAUGAUUCAUUAAGAGCAUAAAAAUACUAGGUACAUUUGUCAGUCCAAACUACAUAACCAACCAUUCAUAUAAACCAUAUUUAGCUUUAAAAGCCGUUUUUCAUUCAUCACCCUCCUGCAUACGAAUUUGAUGAUACUUGAUUUUUAAAUCAAUUUUAGAAAAUAUGCAAGCACCAUGUAAUUCAUCAAGCAUGUCAUCUAACCUAUGUAUAGGGUGACGAUAAUUUACUGUUAUGUUGUUGAUAGUUCUACAAUCCAUGCACAUUCUCCAUGUUUCAUCCUUUUUUGGUAUAAGUAAAAUUGCUACCGCACAAGGACUCAUGCUUUCCAUCACGUAUCCUUUGUUCAUCAACUCCUCCACUUGCCUUUGAAGCUCCUUAGUCUCCUCGAAAUUACUUCGAUAAGCCGGUCGAUUUGGAAUGACAGCUCCGGGUAUGAAGUCAAUUUGAUGUUCAAUGCCUCGAAUAGGCGGCAAUCCACUUGGUGCAUCCUCCGGAAAUACAUCGUCGAAUUCUUGCAACAAAGACUUAGCCAAACUAGGGAGGGGUGGGUUAGUUUCCUCAAAAUUGAGGAGUGAUUCCUUAUAAAUGAACAAGAUCAUCUCUUUUCUCUCAACUACCGCCCUCCUCUAAUCACUCUCUUUUGCAAAGAAAUUUGCUCAUGUUUUCUCUCUUCUCUCGGAAUACUCCCUUUCCUUUCUCUCUUGUGAUUUCUCUCUCCUUUUAUCUCUAGUAGCUAUCUCACCACUUUCUCUCUUUUUCUCUAACUCACCACUUUCUCUCUUUUUUUUAACUCCUUGGCUCUCCUCUCUUCCUCACUUCUUAAUUUUAGUUGGUCCUCAUAGACUUGCACCGGUGUUAAUGGCACAAGAGUAAUGGUCCUUCCAUCCUUAAUGAAACUAUAUCGAUUUUUGUGCGCAUCAUGUAUAGCCUUCUUAUCGUAUUGCCAUGGUCGCCCCAAUAAGAUAUGUCCCACUUGCAUUGGCACCACAUCACACACUAACUCAUCCUUAUAACUCCCAAUUGACAAAUUAAUUAACACUUUUCGAUUCACCCUCACCUCGCCACUCUCAUUCAACCAUUGCAAUUUAUAAGGUCACGGGUGUUUCAACAAUGUUAAACCCAACUUUUCUACAAGAGAUACGCUAGCUACAUUAGUGCAACUACCACCAUCAAUUAUAACACUACAUACAGUAUUGUUGACGUGGCAUCGAGUGUGGAAAAUAAUCUCCCGUUGCAACUCCAAGUCAUCUGCUUUGACGUGAGUAGUAAGAGCUUGUCUCGUGACUAGUAGAUCCCCCAACUGGCCCUUCAAUUUUUUCUUCUUCACUAACAUCUUCCAACGCCGGCAUGUCAUCAAACUCGCCAUCACUAUCGGUCACUAUCUUCCCAUUAUCCCGCAACACCAUUGUCCUUUUGUUUGGGCAUUGAGAAGCAAUAUGCCCUUUCCCAAACACCUAAAAUAUUUGAUGUCCCGAUUGCGCGAUGGUUGUGCCUCCAAUUUUGAUAUUAGUUUGCUAGCAUUUUCAUUCUUACCCUUUUGCCAAUCACUUUUACCUCUAGGUGCAACCCCGUUUUCGUUGUUGUUAUCCCACUUCGAUUUCCAUGUUGAAUUAGAAUUCAAAGUACCCAACGAUUGCCUAGACAUCCCCUUCCUCUUCAAUUGCCUCUCGACCUUCAUUGCCAUAUGUAACAUGUCCUUGAUUUCCACAUAGUGUUGCAACUCUACAACGUUUGCCAUAUCCCGAUUUCACCCAUUCAAGAUCCGUGCCAUGGUAGCUUCCCGAUCUUCCUCCACAUUAGCCCGAAUCAUAAGAAUUUCCAUCUCCUUGUGAUAAUCCUCUACGCUUUUCGACUCUUGAUACAAACCCUGCAAUUUUUUAUGGAUCUCCCUAUAAUAGUGACUCGGAACAGACCUCCUCCUCAUCAACGUCUUCAACUCAUCCCAAGUGCUAAUUGGCCUGUCCCGACCCCUACAUCGUGAUGUAAGUACUUGAUCCCACCAAGAUAUCGUGUAAUCCACAAAUUCAAGCACCGCCAAUUUUACUUUUUUCUCCUCCGAAUAAUUAUAGCACUCAAAAAUCAUCUCAACCUUCAUUUCCCACUCUAAAUAUGUGUCUGGAUCGCUUCUCCCCUUAAACUGCGAAAUAGUCAUUUUAGUACUCUCCAAAUUACCAUCUACUUCAUCUCCCAAGUUAUCUCUACCUCGUCUUUCCAUCCUAUCGCCCCUAUGCCUCGCUCGACCCAUAUCAAUAUCAUUUUCAUAAAAAUCAUCCUCAUCACUACGAUACUCAUUUCCUCUCCUAAAUUCACGUCUACCCGGCCCCCUAGCAUUAGACAUCUCCACUUAUCCCCGGCUAAGAUUAGCGAUUGUGGUACCUAUUUACGCCAUCCAUUCCCCUUGCUUAUCCACCUUCUCCCUAACAUCACCAAGUACCCGUUCAAACCUCCGUAUCAUGUCCUCCGAUGCACUGUUGUCAUUACCAUUUUGGCUUGAGUUAGAACCUUCUCUUUCCGACAUCAUGUCAUACAGAUUUAUAUGCCUCACAAAUAUAUCACUCGAAAACACUCAAUAUGUCUUUUUCCCUCUACUAAACUCACCACUCGGCCUUUUACCACUCAAAGUGCCCUCCAAGUACUUUAAAGAACCAAUUGAACUAAAUCAAGUGUUUUAUUGGGAAUUCAAGAAACUGAAUAAUAACAAAGAACAACGAGAGUCAAGGAAUUGAAUUUAGGUGGAAUAGAUGAUUUUUUUUGACAAGAAUAUGUGAAUAGACUCAAUAGUAAAGUGAAGAAUCGACACAAUGAAAUAGCCAAAUCACACAAUUCAAGACUUGUUUUUGUGUUGGUAGUAAAAACAAAACAAGAAAUAAUAAUAUCAAUAUUUUUUUUAUUUUACUGUACGGAUGAACAGCACUUUUUUUUUUUUACUUCUCUUGUAAAGAAAAACGAUUAAACUACCAACAACUCAAUAAUUGAAAUUGACGAUAAUUUAACGACAAAAGAAUGACAAUAGAAAUUGAGAAGAAGGAAGAAAAUAAGAAAAGACUUAACAAGUAAGGAAAAGAUAUAACCUUCAAUUAAUUUGGAGCCUUGCUCAAAUACCAACUGAUACGAACCCUGUAGUAAUGUUGACUAUGAAACCCACAACGAGAUUGACGAACCCAAAAAAGCCAAAUUAAUCCAAGAGUUUAGGAUUAAUCCAAAAGAAAGUCGAACAAAAAACCCAACAAGAACGAAGCUUGAAAAACCCCUUUAUCACGCAAUCCAAGAAUUGAAUCCGGUUGUUUGAACGCUAAGUUCGAAGUUGUUCAAUGAAGAACGAUGAAGAGAAGACAAUACGCCUCACUUUAAUUCAAUAUCAAAUAUGUCAAAAGUUUUUUUAUAAUUGAAUGAAAACUCCUAUUUAUACUAAACCUAAAAAUUAGGUAAAAAUCGUGCAAAAGUCGAGCAUAACCCCUAAAAUAUAGAAAAUAAUAAAAAACUAACAAAAUAUGGAAAAUUGCCAUAAAUAGAAAAUUCACCAAAAAUUUUGGUCUAUACGACCGCAACGCUUACUUAUAUGUGGUCGCAUAGUUCACAAGGGUUGGCUCCUUUGAGUUUUGGUAAGCAUUCAUGCGACCGAGAGCCUCAUAAGCCUAUGCUGUCGCAUAGGCUUGUCAUUUUCCUCCGUCUUCGGCCUUCGAUAUUAAAUUGAUCCAAGUUGAUUCGACCUUCGACCCGAACAUGAAAGUUGCUCUAUUUUUGAGUCCCGAACAUAGUUCCAUAAAUGGUUUCUUGAACGAGCAAUCUCAUCGCUUGUUUCACUUGCUUUGCCUUUGAUCGCAUCAUUGGUCCAUCAUUGACUAUCAACGGGUCUCGUCUCACACUUGCCUUCGUCCGACUUGACUCUCGGGUCAUAUCACAAGAGCUUAUAUCUUCAUAUAGAAGUGCUCAAGUUCCUGCAAGAUUAAACAAUACUGGGAAUCAAAAUUCACAACGAGAAUUAAUUAUUGGAGAGAGACAGAUCGAUAAAACAGCAAUAGUCACAUAUAUAAGGGAUUUCACUUGGAAAAGAAAACGUUUCAUGCUAAUGGAUUGAGGUCCAUAACCAUGGGUUACAUGAAAUGCACCAAAACAAAAGCAAGCCACACCUGAGAGAAAUAAGUGAAUUCCAAGAGUCCUACAAGUAUUAUGGUUUUGCAUUACAUUAUGUUUUUUAAAAUAUGAAUAAAUAAGAGAGGAUAGACUCAUUACUUAGUGGAAAAUGUCCCAAAUAAAUCCAACAAGUACCUAAUAAUCCCGUAUGUAUGUAUGAUGGAAUAAGAAACAUAUACAAAAGAAUGUUUAACCUGUAAUAUUCAGUUUCUAGGAGAAUACAAAAAAUAUAUACACUUAAGCUCCUACAAGAAAUUAACUUUUUCUAUUAUUUGACAUAUAAGCCAAUAUAUCGAAAAACUAGUAAACUAUUUUGAUUAUAUGAUUAAAACAUAACUUUCAGUAUUGCAUUUGAGUAUAUGAGUAUUAGCAGUCAAAAAUUGAAAUAUAAGUUAGAUAUGCUUGUUUUGAUCAAUCUUCAGAUUUUAUUUCCCAGAAUGAGUGUGGAGACAUAUAAAGGGAGGGGGGGGGGGGGGAGGGGGCAAUUNNNNNNNNNNNNNNNNNNGGGAAGGAGCAAUUUUGUUAUUCUCUUAAGUAUGCAACACAAGAUGACAUACAAUAGAUUGAGAGAAACUACUGAUGGUUAAGAAACUACUUGGUCCUGAUUUUUUCAACUUCAAUCCAUCUUUGGAUAUAAGCUCACUGACAAUUUCAAAUGUGAUUUGAGGAACUCAAUUCCUUAAUUCAUCCGGUAGAAUUCACAAUUUUUAACUGCUAAAAUGGAAAGCACAGGCAUGGAUCCUUCCUCCACCUCCCACGUCUCUAAGAAACGCAAAGUCAAGAGCUCUAACCGUUUGAGUU
This 89914-nucleotide long non-coding RNA is filed under the name Olea europaea (common olive). Its description in RNAcentral is "long non-coding RNA (OEUR_LNC014073)". The record is from RNAcentral. Lineage: Eukaryota; Viridiplantae; Streptophyta; Magnoliopsida; Lamiales; Oleaceae.